GUUUAGGGUUUAGGGUUUAUACUAGUUAAACUAGUUUAGGGUUUAGGGUUUAUACUAGCUAAACUAGUUUAGGGAUUUUAGAGUUUAGGGUUUAUACUAGUUAAACUAGUUUAAACUAGGUUUAAACCUAGAAACUUGCUAAGAUAGAGUAUUACUUGCAAUGUGGGUUGCUGUGGCACGGGGGAAGGCUCGGUGGGUCGACAGCGACCGGCGGCGGCGACGUCGGCUGGGGUGGCGGCGACUGGCGGUGGCGAUGACGGGGUGCGGCUCUUCGUUGGAGCGGGAUAGGCAGAGAGGGAGAGAGAGACAGAGAGAUAAGAGAGAAAGAGAGCGAACAGUGAGGGAGAGGUGUCGGGGCUCCGGGUAUACCUAGGUAAGACAGUGAAUUGUUCACCGUCUUCAUUAAAAACAGUGAAGACGGUGAACGAUUCACCGUCUUACCUUGGCCCACCUCAGGUUACCAAUAAAGACGGUGAACAGUUCACCGUCUUUACUCCACCACAAAUAAAACGGUGAACUAUUCACCGUCUUAUCUGUGUUUUAUGUCUCCAGGACUUGGCCAAAGUUGUCUCCAGGACUUGGCCAAAGUUGGGGGGUGUGGUCGCUCUAAAGACGGUGAAUAGUUCACCGUCUCAUGAAGGCGGUGAACCAUCCACCGUCUUCAUGAGAAAUGCGCAUAGACGGUGAACGAUUCACCGUCUUUACGAGAAAAAUCCAGGCUGGCGCCGACAUGGCGAAAGGAGGGUUAGUUUUACAAAUAAAAUUUUCAGAGGGUUAUUUGGCCAAAUAUAAAAUUCUAUAGGGUCAGUUUAAAAAAAAGUCCGGCAGUGGAUCUUCAAACACCGCGAUGGGGACAUUGAUUUGGUAUUUUCUGUUGCAGUUUAAUUGGGUGUUUCCAAUUUGCCAAGCAUAUCGGUUUUUUUCGUAUUUUUAUUUAGCAGUGCUGCCGGUACAAUCCCACAGCGGGUGUAGAUACUACAACCAGUAAAUUCAAUGGUUGAGAAUAAUAGAUUUUUUUUUAAAAAAAUAAUGACGGGUGAUGCUACUGAUACAACCCACAUAGGGUUGUACAUUCUACAACCCACAUAUCUAGGGGUUGUUUGGCCUAGCUAUUCAAAAAUAAUUCUGAGCCCAAAAUUACUUUUGAUCUCAGUAGAGCAUUUGGAAAUGACAUUCUGAAAAUCCGAUUCUGUUUUCUAUAAUCAGAAAACUAAUUUUGAAGGCUUCAAAAUUAAAAGCAGAAAAAAACUGUUUCUCCAAAACUGAUUCUGAUUUUGAACUCAAACUUCUAAUUUUUAUUUUUAUUUUAGAUUCAAAGUAUAAAUUUAACAUUAAAUUUAAAUUUUGAAAUUUUAAAUUCAUAUUUAAAUUUUUAAAUCUCAACUUUUCAAAUUUAAAAUUUAAAAUUUAGAUUUAAAAAUUUUAAUGAUUUAAGUUCAAUCUCAAAUUUUAUAAAUUAAUAUCAAAUUUUAAAAUUUAAAAAUUCAAAUUUUAAAUUUCAAAAAUCAAAAUUUUAAAUUUAAAAUUUUAAAAAAUUUUAAAAUUUAAAUUUCAAAUUUCAAAUUUCAAAUUUUCAAAUUUCAAAUUCAAAUUUCAAAAUUUAAAUUUAAAAUGUCAACUUUUAAUUCAAAUUUAAAAAUUUUAAUUAAAAUAAAAUUAUAAUUAUUUUAAAAAAUAAAAUUUAGUAGAAAUAUUAAUAUAUGCAAAAUCAAAAUUUUUUUACCAAACAGUUUUAGAAAAUCAUUUCAGAAAAAUCACUUAUUUCUAAAUUCAACCAAAGGCUCUACAGCUUUUAACCAAAAUCAAUUCUCCAAACUAAAAUCACUUUUACAGAAAUCACUUAUCCAGAAGCUAGGCCAAACAGGCCCCUAAAGGCUAAAAAAAUUUUGCUUCUGAAAAAAAAAAAAAAUUAGUAUUAACCUCACUCCCCUUUUUUGGCCCCUCACUCUUUCCCUCUUUUUUACUUCUGUGGCCUGCAAGCUAGAGAGAGAGAGAGAGGCCUGCGAGCGAGCGAGCGAGAGAUAGGAGAGCUCGAGCGAGAGAGGGGCGAUGGUGCGAGAGAGAGCGAGAUCAGCGGCUCUGUGCAAGAAACAGAGAGAGAGAGAGAGAGGCAGAGAAAGUGAGAACGAAGCUGGAUUCUUCCAACAAACUAGAUUCUACCAGCUCCUCCCUCCUCUUUUCUCCGUCUCUGCGAGAAACAGCGGCUCUGUGUGAGAAACAGAGAGAGCGAGAUCAGCGGCAAAAUUGAUCGACAUGGCUCACCCGACAACGAUUCCUACACCGCCACAUACACAAUCAGGUAUGAGAUGUCUGAUUCAAACACUCGGUGGAAGAUAACAAAGGGAGCAAUUCUGAGAUCAUUGAUUACAACUGUUCUUUUUUCUGUAAAUAAUAAUCCUAUUAGUUAUUAAAAUAUGCAUCUGCUUUGUUGUGGUCAAAGUGCCUAAGCUAGCCCGAUCACUAUCCAAUAUUUAGAGUUUUAUUCCCAAAUGAUAUUAUGAUUUGUUGUCUAUUGGUGAACUGAUGUUGUGUUUUAGUUCUAUUUAUAGUGCUUUAUGUAAGAUUCAGUUGGUAGAUGCUUAGCUAAACACCCUAAUAGAGUGCAUUGAUUGAGUAAUAAAGUUGGUAUAAAUUUUGUGCUUUGAAAUAUCCAUGUUGAAGAUUACGUAUAAAUUUUUUUUAGUAUAAAUUUUUUCCUUUAAUUUGAACGCAUUUUGCCAUUUGAGCUAAUUAAGAAGUCAUUGCUUCAUUUGAACUCAUUGAUUCACUUAAUUUUUUAAUAUUUUGUAGCAAUUUUUGAGUAAAUUAAUAAUUUUUAAUUAUGAUGAAUUAUUUGAUUAAUUUUAUCAUUGAUUUGGACUAUGAUCUACUAGUUAACAGAUAAUGUAUUUUUAGGGUAUAGUAGAAUGUGGUGUAUACAUUAUUAAUUUAGAUGUAUAGAUUUUGAUAAAUAGUUUGCCUGCUCACCAUUAUUCCAAUUUUGUAUUUCGACUGCAUAUGAUGUCUUACAGGUGAGCAAUUUUGUUAAAUGUCUGGGUUGACUGAUUAUUUGAAUUGAAAAUUUUUGAGAUAGAUGAAGAAAGAAACAGUGAGGUCAGAGAUAUAAAUAUUUCGACACUAAAAAUUGGAAUGUCUUUUAUCAAUUUUGAAGCCGUUUUUAAUUUCUAUAAGCAUUAUGCACAAGAAAUAAGAUUUGGAGUUGUAAAGAGGUCAACAAAAAUGACUGAUGGUAAGGCUACAUAUAUAUACUAAUCGCAUGCUCUCGUCAUGAAAAAAUGCAUCGGACCGUGACGAAUCUUUGUUCUCGUCCAGCGGUAGUGAAGACGAACUGUCUUGCGAGGAUAAAUGUAGUAAUAAAUGUAGAUUCAUCUUGUAUAAUAAGCAAAAUUAUACUUGAGCAUAAUCACGUCCUAAGUCCUUAUAAGUCUCGAUUUUUUUCCUGCAAUCGAGUUAUAAAUCCAAGCGUCAAGAGGCGGCUUGAUCUUAAUGAUCGUGCGGGAAUCAGAUUAAAUAAAAGUUUUAAUUUUAUUGCUGUUGAGGCUGGUGGGUAUGAAAACUUAAUAUUUGGAGAGAAGGAUGCUCGUAAUUAUAUUGAAAAAGUCCGUCGGUUACGACUUGGUGAAGGUGAUGGCGAAACAAUUUGUAAUUAUUUUAGAGAAAUGCAAGAGAGAAAUGGAAACUUUUUUUAUGCCAUAGAUCUAGACGAUGAUUUUCGGCUUCGCAAUGUCUUUUGGGCAGAUUCUCGGAGUAAAGCGGCGUAUGAAUGUUUCGAAGAUGUAAUUACUUUUGACUCGACAUAUCUAACAAAUAAGUACGAUAUGCCAUUUGCUCCUUUCGUUGCUGUUAACCAUCAUGGAUAGUCGAUCUUGUUGGGAUGCGGCCUACUCUCCACUGAAGAUACAGAAUCGUUUGUAUGGCUCUUUCGGAAUUGGUUGUCAUGCAUGUCCGAGCGUGCCCCCAAAGCAAUAAUCACAGAUCAAGAUAAAGCGAUGCAAAAUGCUAUCGCACGUGUCUUUCCUGAUACUCGGCAUCGAUGGUGCUUAUGGCACAUAACAAAGAAGAUACCGGAGAAGCUGCAUGUAUGUGAAUGCUUGUAAUAGCAUUAGUUGUUUAUGUUUUGGGUACUGAAAUUCAUUCAACAUACAUGAUCCAACAAGCGAUGAUACAAGCACCACAAGUGCAAUACAAUUAAGAGCAAGAAUCACAAGUAACAUACAAAUGAAAUAAAGAGAGAUGCAUCUAGCUAUUACAUCACAUUUAACCUUUACAUAUUGGUUUAUAUUUUCAUCUUCCAAAAUGAAUACACAUUCUUCUCAUAAUACAAAAUGGCUCUCCAAAUACAUAAGUAACUCCCAAAUACAUCACAUCUCUAUGUACACGAGGGUACUCUAAUGCAAAAGGGAAAGCUACUAGCUACUAGGGCGCUAUGCCCUUUCCACGGUCCUUUGCCGGUACUCUCUCGCUAGGCCCUGCAAUAAAGUGGGGUGAGAACUAUAUAAAUAUAGUUCCCAGUGGGUUCGGCCGCCGACUCCGUCGAUCUUUCCACUAGGUCCAAGCAGGUCCAAGCAGAUAGAUAGAUAGAUAAAUAUGGAAUUGAAGUACAACAUAGUAAAGUAAUCUGCAACAAUCUACUAUGCAUUCGAUAAUCAAGGAUGUGAGCUACAACAUAGUAUAUGAUCUAUGCCUCAAUGAUCCGAUAUAUGAGCAACUACAUAGUAUGCAAUCUACAUAUGCUAGUAUGCCUCAACAAUAAUGAAAAUGAGCUACUACAUAGUAAUGUAAACUACACAUGGUACUAUGCCUCAAUAAUAAAAGAAAUGAGCUACUACAUAGUAUGCAAACUACACAUAAUACUAUGCCUCAACAAUAAAAAAAAUAAGCUACUACAUAGUAUGCAAACUACACAUGAUACUAUGCCUCAACAAUAAAAGAAAUGAGCUACUACAUAGUAUGCAAACUACACACGAUACUAUGCCUCAACAACAAUGGAAAUGAGCUACUACAUAGUAAUGUAUCCUGCAACAUGCUACUAUGCCUCAAAUAUCCGAAUGCCAUAUCCAAGUGAAAUGCAUGAGCUACUACAUAGUAUACAAUCUACACAUGAUACUAUGCCUCAAAUAAUCACAUGAAUGUACGAGCUACUACAUAGUGCGUUAUGCAACUAUGCCUCGAUAAUAUCUAAUCUCAUGGCCAACCCGAAGGUUGUCGACUCACUCUCAAUCUCAUAGGUGAGGAGAAGCUGCACUCGCACACCGAGACCGUCUGCGGGACAACCCUAUCGUGAAGUACUCCGGAGACCACUGCUUUGGUGGAGCGACCACCGACAAGCGAAAACAGACUAGUGAGUAUGAUCCAAUCCUCACAAGAGGAUACCCUAUCUACCAGGGUCACAAUGCCUCAACUGCACUAAUGCAAAAUGCAUAAUGUCUACAACAUGACAAUUGGGAAAAUCUAUUAUCCCUAGGUUCAAAUGCCAUAGUGUUCCACUACACUAGAUUUGAUGCCACUCAUUUAUGUCAUGAUGUUAUAUGUGUCUCGAUACACUACAUUGACAUGCCACUCGUUCUUGUUAUAUUGUCUCUACUUUACUAGUUUAAUGCUACUCAUUAUGUCAUGAUGUUGUACGUGUCUCGAUACACUAAAUUGACAUGCCACUCGUUCUUGUUAUAGUGUCUCUAUUACACUAAUCCAAAUGCCACUCAUCUAGGCCAAUUACAUGUCCAAGUUCAUCAUCAUUCUUGUUACUAUAGGAUUCUUGUCACAAGACCCAAUCCUCAUGCAACCUAAGUUCAAGUGUCAAGCCCACAAUACAACACUACCAUAGGAAACAUGCAAGGAAAUGGAAUGUAAUCAACUACUAAUCCUAUAAUGCACAAUAUCAAUAUAUGAAUAUGAUCAAAAUAGAACUCAGACAUAAAAGGAAGCUCGGUUGCUUCAGGAUGGACACCCCCCACCUUUUGGUGAUAUCACGAUGCUACGAUUCCGUUUCCAAGAUUUUAGGAAGCUUUCGCCGCAAGCUGUGGCAAUCUGUACCGAAAUCGGCCUUUUCUUUAAUAUCUUUGCGUAGCCUCGACGAAUGCUCAAACCGAGUGCAAGAACGCGUUCGGGGACCUAACAAUUAGGUUAGAGAAGGGUCAAUUGAGAUCAAAACCCCUCACAAGCAAAAGCCCUCUUUUUUGGAGCCCUAAAUCACCAUUGUUGCAAUUAGCUUCAUACAAGCUACUAAUCUUGCAAUAAAUGAGAUCAACUACUCUUAGAGCACUAAUAAACAUCAUCUAGCUAAGUUCAAAGAGGUCUAAGCCAUGCUCUAAACAUUCACCAUGAGAGACUUAAAGAGCUUACCUCAACUAGCUAGCAAGAAGAUGAAGAAGAUGAUGUUGGUCCUUCUCCAAGCUCCAAUCUCCACCUUCUCCUCCUAAAUCCACUCUUAGAGAGAGAGGGAGAGCUCCUAGAGAGAGAGGAAGAGAGUGUUUUAGUGUUUGGGUUGAGAGAAAAUGAGAGGAGAGGUCUCAUAUCACCUCUAUACAACCUUCAUUAAUGCAGAAUUGCAAGAAACCCCCUCAACUUUGUGUUUUAUGCACUGCCCGCGCGGGGCCAUUUUUUGUAUAGGGGACUGGUCUCUGGCAGUGGGAGACCGGUCUCCGAAGGUCCAGAAUUCUAGCAUUUUUAGGACUUAGUCAAAUUUCAGCCUUUUUCGUUUUCGAGGUCGGUUUUCGCUCGUUUGACCUCCGAUUCUUUUCAAAUCGAACCGAGACUCUCUAAACAUGAUUUCGAGCGUAUUUUCAUCAUCUUUUCAUCCGCGCUAAUGCCGGAUUAAGUCCAUGGUCCAACAUAGUGUUCGGGUCCCAUUUUCGCUCCUACGCGCUCCAAAAACGCCCGAAUGCUUCCGGACCUCACCAGAAUCAUUCUAAUGGCUUUCUAAACCAACAUGCCCCGCAACUUCAUAAUUUUGGAGUUUGGUACCCUACACUCGGGGCGUGACACACUCGCCAAAGCUCGGCGCUGGUCCAACUAUCCACACAACGAGGACGCUAUUACCACCACUCGAUCCGUCGGCGCAUAAUCCGAAACUCUCAAACCACAAGGUCGUCCUCAAAACAUCCUGACUUCACUCUCACAAUUAGCUACUCACAAUGCCCAGAGAGUUACUCCAUCAGUUCUACCUCUGUCUCGAGCCUAACUCUCGGCUCGCAACUAACCACUCGCCAACACAAUCCAAUCACACCUAUCCAUUUGGUAGGCGAUACCACUAUCACACAUGCAUGCCAGGGGACUAAAUCUAUCCACGUUCCACCCCCAACUAUACUUAUGCAUGCAAUACUCCGAAUCCACCUCAAAUCAAAUCAUGGAACCUCUUCCGAGAUGCUAAUCCUGCUACAACACCCUCAGUAGCAGUAGAUUCCAUAACCAGGGUCGCUUAUCCACAGCCACUCGACGCUCAUUGCGAACCCUCAGAUCACACCAUCUACCUCGCAACGCACACCAUUGCGUCUGAUGGGAACCACUACAACUAACACCUCCCUACAAGGUCAACAAUCUCGGGAUCACAUCCACAACUAUCUCGGGGUCGCCGAAAACUUGAUCGACCACCCGAUCCAUUCCAAACAUGAUGCGGCUAGCACUCUUCAACCCGCUCCAAUCGUACAAACUUCCUAAAAAGAUUUUCCAUAGAGUCGAUCCACACCACACCACAUCGACUCAUCGUCAUACCACUACAACAACAUGGCCAAUUGACCCCAAAAUUUCGAGUUUCCACCAAGCUCGGCCGACUCGAGGCCACCACUCUUCCAAAGCCACGUCGAUCUCAUUAAAGAUCGGCCACGCACAACCACCGAACAUGUAACAACUCAACCCUCAAGGUCAAGCGCGCGACACCUACACGCAACACUAACCCCGACUCAAAUCCAGGCGAAAGUCAUACAAGGGAGCAUAUUCUCAUCACUCAGUUUCAUGUUGUGUGCACCCAACAUGAACACUCCCUGAUGAAAAUGAACUACACCUUGGAUCCACCCUUAACAUCCGUUAUAGAGGCAUGCCACACAUGACCCAAUCAAUUAACCCUUCGUCACAAAUCCAGAUCCUCGUUACAUUUCACGAACCUAAAUCCUUAUGGUUUCCAACCUAAGGUUCCUGGGUCUAUCCUAUACUUUCACUUUUCACGCUCUGAUACCAUUAUAUCUGUCACGCCGCGCGACCACCAAUUUGGUCGGUUCGGGCACGUCAACAAACGCCGAACGGACAGCACCUCCCCUAUCCGCCCAAAGCUUUACCAACUCAUGUAUUGUAACACACUGGACCUUUGCAAAUUGCGAGGUUCGAGUGUUUGAUCAGUGUUCUGAGUUUUUUCCAGAUAUUCUGGAGGGUCGUUGACAGUGUUCUGACCUAUGGCUCGUAUCUCAAGAAUUAUAGUAUUUAAAGUAGCGCUAAGGUCACCAAAGCGAUGGACUUAGGCUGCUCUCGGGUUGCAGUUUUUUAGGCUGUGUACCGGUACACCUUGAUGGUUGUACCGGUACAGAAAGUGUACCGGUGACAACUCGAUGGUUGUACCGGUGCAAAUGAGAUUCCUGCCAACCCGAGCCUCGGGUUCGCGCAUACGAGGGAUUUGUACCGGUACACUUUCCCGUGUACCGGUACACUUUGCAGCAAAGGCUGUUUUUGUUAGGGGUUGUAUUUGCAAUUGUUGCAAACCCUAUUUAACCCAUUCCAGCCCAUUAGAGGACCUCUUUUGUGCCCUAACUCAUGGAGGAACCAGGUGAGGUCCCCUCCCUUGAGCUUUUCUCCAUUUUUGAUAGAUUGUAGCUAGUUUUGAUCUUUUUUUUCUUCUCCUCCUUGCUCUAUGUUGGUUCUAUACCAUUAGAGAAGCUUUGAGCUCGUGGUUGGAGCUUGGUAUAGGGAAGAUCUUCAUCGCUGGCUGGGUUCUUGGGUGAUUUGAAGCUUCUAGUGAGGUUAGUAAGCUUAAUCUCCUCUUCGAUCCAUGAUUUGUUAGUUUCCACUAGUUGAAACCCUAGAAUUGGGAUUUACGGUUUGUAAUGGGGAUUUUUGAUUAGAGGCUUUUGAAGCCCAAUUGAUCUCAUUAGAACCUUUGUUUAGGUUGGUUUAGAAGGCCUCUAACUCUUUUUUGGAGAUCGUGAGAGGUUUCUUCGCAUUCGGUGAGUUUCCUUCACCUUUGCUUGUGUUGCUUAAUGAUUGAGCAAAUGAUUAUUCGUAACGUUCGUGUAUCCCUCCUUUUGUUACCUUUAGGGUACUAGGAGGUAGUGGGCACCUUCGUCGGUGCAAACAAGGGUUUCGAGAAGUCACGGUGGGUUUGGCUUCAUUGGAACAGGAGAAAUCUUCUCCUAAGUAGUUAAAAGUUGUUGUUUCAUCGAAAUGCAUGCAUAUUUAUGCUAGAUAGAAUUUUUAUGAAUUUUAGAAUACUUAAAAUGCAUGUGUUAUGUAUCGUGAAAAUUCAACUCUAUAUAGUAGAGCUAUAUGUGUAUUAGGCAUGCAUGUGAAAAGUAUUCUAUAUUGCAAGUUGGAAACAUGUCUCAUAUGAUGAAAAUUACUCGAAUUAUGUAUUCUUGAAUACUAAACUCAUGUUUGGACUUAGUGGACAAAAGUGCCAUAAAGGGGCACCCGACUUAGUAAACUGUGAAACUGCAAUAUAGAGACAUAGUGAUAGGCCAUUUGGACAUCGACUAUAUUCUAUGUUUAAGAUAUGAUGACAUAGUGAUAGGCCUUUGAGAUAUUUGCCACAUUCCAUAUUUUAGACAUGAUGACUUGAGACUCGAGACGGACGUUUACACUUGCUUGCCAUCGUGCUCAUUCGCACAUGCUUGUGAGGGUCGCUCCCCCAAAGCCGGCACUCCGAAGAUAGCCAUUGCGACACAUGCUCGCCCGUGCAGGAUUGGGCGCCGAAAUGGGAUGCCGUAGGAGAGGCUCAUUUCUAGAGUGGGGAUGUUGACUACCACGGGGCCAUUAGGCACGGCGCAGACCGGACAACCCACGGGUAGGUCCUACAGGAUUGGAACAUUGGUAGCUUAGUAUACUGAGUGGACAUUGACUAGAAUAGUAAACAUUGACAUUUUACUAUUUAGCUUGUGGACAUUAUGUUGGUCAUACUCAUGUACAUUCAUAUUACAGUAGCUUUAUUACUUAUGCAAAUUCAUGCUAAGUAGAGAUAUCAUGGUUUAAUAAGUAUUCAUGUUUAAAUACUUGUCAUUCAUAUUGCUUAUUUAUUCUUACUUACCUGCUUGGUUUCGGGCCUAGUGGCGCAUUGCACUGAAAUCAGUAAUUGCCUACUGGGAACUAUUAUUUAAUAGUUCUCACGCCCUCUGUUUUAUGGUUUUCUUUUAGAGCCUUCAGCACCGGUGGAGGCACGAGAUCACGGCAAAGGGGUCGCGCAGCUAGAUGGCAAGGAUUUACAGUUUGCUUAAGUGGUUUUCUCUCUUAUUGUUUGUUGUUGUGAGAGAGAGAGGUUUUGUAUCCAUAUAUAGAGACCACCUAUGUAUUACUUAUAGUACUUGUAUUCGGAUUUCAGAUGUACUACUUGAUCGUUUUAUUUAUUAGAUUUUAGCCUUUUGGUUAUUUCUCUAUUGUAGAAUCUAGUUGUACUUUGCUCUGAUACUUCUAGAUGUCUUUCUUCUAUUGCUUUAUUUGCCGUUUUAUACUAGACGCCUUAUAUGUUUUACACGUAUGGCGGGUCUGGACACGUGCCGGGCGGGCUUCUGCUGGGUCCCGGGGCGUGACAGAUUAAUUUGGUAUCAGAGCCUAGGGUUGAGUCUUAGUGGACCUAUUAAACCUUAGGCCGAUUGGACUAUAGGAAAUAGGCUCGUGAGAGACGAGGUCUAUUUGAUUUGUAAGCGAAAGUAUCAUGAUUGGGUGUCCUUGAUAACUCUAGAAAGUGGAGUUAAAUCAAAGUGUAUAGCUUCUAACUUCGCGGAGGGUUACGUUGGCGGCCAACAACGUAACAUCGGGAGUUAGUAGUGAAGCACACUUUCUUACUUUCGCAUGAUUUGGAUAUUAUCUUCUUGAGCGGGGAUUCGAUAGCGUGGGUUUACUAACUUGCGCUUUUAUGAUGUUGUAGUGUGAUGCCGAUGACAUGCUCUCAAUCUGCCGGAGCGGACAAUGCGGCACACCUUGAGCAGGUCGAGACCUUCGCUACCUCCGGAUCCAGCGAGGUCCGUGAGUUGAGGAGCUAGCUUGCUGCCCUCACCGACUUGGUGUCGCAGCAGACAGUGGCGGCUCAGCAGCAGGCUGAUGCGGCGCGCCGACAGGAGGUGCGGAUGAAGCGACUCGAGGACCUUCUUCUACAGCAGGCAGCUUCCAGGGAGGCUCCAGUUCCUUCGCCGCCUGCACCGGUUGGGGACGUCGCACCGAGGGAGAUCUUAGCGUGCGGCGCCUGAGGUCGUGCCUCGGGAGGAGGACUUUGUGGCACCACCUGUGAGAUAUUGAAUCUCGAUGGAAAUUUGCUAACUUUGGCCAAAUGGACCAAAGUGGGCAAUUGAACAGUUUGGACAAGUUCCAGUCGGCAUUCCAACAAGUUUGGAAGAGCAAAAAUAAGUUCCAAAGAUGUUGGAAUGGUUUGGACAUCGAUCGGCGCGAAGUAGAGCCAAAACGGAGUGAAAACAGCAUUCUGGAGCUGUUGUACCGGUACAAGAGUGAUGGUUGUACCGGUACAACCAUCGCAGCUCUCGGGUUGGAGGCUGCCAGACCUUGUACCGGUACAAGGGGGCCUUGUACGGGUACAAGCCCUGCGAAAUCGAAAAACCGAGCUCUCGGGUUGGGCUGUCUGCCAGGCCUUGUACCGGUACAAGAAACCGUGUACCAGUACAAGGGACCCGAAACAGUGGGUCUGCUUUGGAAAUUAGAUUUUUGAGGGGGCUUUUGGGAUUUUGUUACAAUAGAGGGUUAAUAUACCUCUUCCUCUCUCAGCCUCUCUCACUCUUAGCCACUCUCUCGCCCUCUUACUGUGAAGCACUGGACCUUUGCAAAUUGCGGGGUUCGAGUGUUUGGGCAGUGUCCCGAGUCUUUCCAGACUUUCUGGUGGGUCGUUGACAGUGUUCCGACCUAUGGCACGUACUCCGAGAAUUGUAGUAUUUUAUGUAGCGCUAAGGUCACCAAAAAGUUGGACUUAGCCUACCCUCGGAUUACAUCCUGCACAGGUGUACCGGUACACUCUUGAUGGUCGUACCGGUACACAUUUUGUACCGGUACGCGCUUGGUGGUUGUACCGGUACACUUGUGGCAAAUUUCGAACUCGAGCCUCGGGUUCGCAUUUUCGUAGGCUGUGUACCGGUACAUUUUCCCGUGUACCGGUACACUUUGGCAGAAUUUGAACUGUGUGAACUGCGGGGGGUUUUCCGCGUUUGUGCCUAACCUAUUUAGCACCCACGCCCCUUAGGGCACCUCCUGAGCUCACAGCACAGGGAGGAGAAGGUAGGGCACCCUCCCCUUCAUUUCUUUGGGUUUGGUCCCUCUCUUUUGGGUUUUUCUUGGAUUAACCUCUCUUUUUUCGCUUUUUGGUGCUUUUCCUCCAUGGUUGAAGCCAAGAGCUUGGGAUUGGAGCCUUGUGGAGGGAAGAUCUUGGGACUUAGAGCUUUUAGAGCUUAGAUUGAAGCUUCUAAGAGGUAAUCCACUUGUUCUCUUCCUCUAGAAUAGAGUUCUAUUGAGAUUUUUGUGAUGAAACCCUAAAUUAGAGAUUUAGGGCUUAUUUUUGGGCAUUUUGAUUCUAGGGCUUUUGGAGCUAGAUUGAGUGGAUUAGAGGCUUCCAUUAGGUUGGAUUGGAUGAGCCCUAGCUUCAUUUUGGAGCUUUAGAGGAGAUUUUUGCACUAGAGGUGAGUUCUUCUCACCUAUACUUGAUUAGCUUAAUGAUUGAGCUAUUGAUGGUUCGUUUCAUUCGAGUGACGCAUGUUCUUGUACCUCUAGGAUACUAGGAGACUAGGGGACACCCUCGAGGGAGCGCACGAGAAGUUCCGUUGUCAUCGGUGGGUUUGGCUUCGGGGAAAUGGGGCGAAAUGACCCCUAUGCUCUUUCUACUUGUUGUAAAAUAUUUUUAAGUUCAUUUCUAUGCUAAAUGGGAUUUAUAUGAAUUUUAGAGCACUUAAAAUGCAUGCCUUGUGUAUUAUGAAAAUUUCACUAUAUAGUGGAGCUAUAUGAGUAGAAUGCAUGCAUAUGGAAAAAAGUGUUUAUUUUGCAAGUGGAAAAUACAUCUCUUAUGAGUAUUAUAACUUGGAAUAUGUGCUUUGGAACAUAGUUGCCAUGUUUUGACAUAGAGAACAAGAGUGUCAUAAAGGGGCACUCGAAACUAGUAAACUAUGAAACUGCAACAUAGAGAUAUAUGAUAGGCCAUUGUACAUCUGCUAUAUAUUCCAUGUUAGAGACAUGAUGACAUAGAGAUAGGCCUUUGAGACAUUCGAUAUAUUCCAUGUUAUUAGACAUGAGGACUUGGUACUUGCGACAGAUCGUUUGACUACUUGCCAUUGUGCUCAUUCGCACAUGCUUGUGAGGGUCGCUCCCUACAAGCCGGCACUCCGGAGAUAGCCAUCGCGAUUCAUAUUCGCCGUGCGGGAUUGGGCGCCGAAGUGGAUUGCCGUGGGACAGGCUCAUUCCUAGGGUGGGGAUGAUGACUACCACGGGGCCAUUAGGCUCGGCACCGGCCAGACAGCCUACGGGUGGGUCUCAGGGCCAUAGACAGCCUUCGGGUGGGUCUCUUCAGAUUGGGCUAUAUAUAUAUAUAUCCAUUAUGACAUGUGGACAGAUGAUGACUUAGUGUACUACUUGGACAUUGAUUAGAAUAGUAAACAACGGAACUUCACUAUUUCACAUUGUGAACAUCAUGAUAGUUGGAGACAUUUACUUUAUGCAUAGUUGCUUUCAUACUUAUGCUAUUCAUGCUAAGUAGAGAUAUCAUGUCGUAGUAGGUUACAUAUUUACUUACCUGUCGCCUUUCUACUUUUAUAGUCACUGACAUCUUUUGUAGCUUUGGGCCUUGUGGUGCAUUCACUGAAGUCAGUAAUUGCCCACUGGGAACUAUUUUUAAUAGUUCUCACGCCCCUGUUUUAUGGUUUCCUUUUCAGAGCCUUCGGCACCGGCGGAGGCACGGGAUCGCGGCAAGGGGAUCGCGUAGCUAGCUAGCGAGGAGCUUACUUGCCUAGGUGGUUUACUCUUUCUUUUGUAGUUGAGAGAGUGAGAGUUUUGUACCCUGUAUAGAGACCACCUAUGUAUCUACUCUUAGCACUUGUAUUUGGGAUUUCCUAUUGUAUUUACUUUAUGCCUUAUUUAGUGGAUUUACAGCUUUUCCUCAUCCCUUGUUGUAGCAUUUAGACAUUUAUUAUGCUCUGAUACUCCUAGAUGUCUUUUAUUAUUGCUUUUAUUAUUGUUGUUUUUAGACGCCUUAUAUGUUGUAGACAUAUGGCGGGUCUGGGCACGCGCCGGGCGGGCUUCCGCUGGGUCCCGGGGCGUGACAGAUUAAUUUGGUAUCAGAGCCUAGGGUUGAGUCUUAGGGGACCUAGUAAACCUUAGGCCAGUUGGACUAUAGGAAAUAGGCUCGUGAGAGACGAGGUCUAUUCGAUUUGUAAGCGAAAGUAUCUAGAUUGGGUAUCUUGAAUAACUCUAGAAAGUGGAGUUAAAUUGAAGUGUAUAACUCCUAACUUCGCGGAGGGUUACGUUGGCGGCCGACAACGUAACAUCGGGAGUUAGUAGUGAAGAACACUUCUUUACUUUCGCAUGAUUUGGGGUAUUAUUAUUUGAGCGGGGUGCGAUAGCGUGGGUUAUAUUAACUUGCGCUUUUAUGAUGUUGUAGUGUCAAUGCCGACUUCACGCUCUAAGUUAGUUGGAGCGGACGAUGCGGCGACUUUUGAGGAAGCGGAGAUACCCGCUGCCUCCGGAUCCAAAGAGGUCCGUGAGUCGAGGGGUCAGCUUGUGGCCCUCACUGAUCUGGUGACGCAGCAGGUGGCGGCGGCUCGACAGCUGGUGGAUACGGCACGCCGACAGGAGGUAUGGAUGCAGUGCCUGGAGGACCUCCUUCUACAACAGGCAGCUGCCGGGGAGGCUCAGGUCUCGGUACUACCCGCGCCAGUGGAAAUAGUUGCGCCGGGGGGGUCGUCCCCUGUACUCGACACUUCGCAGAUGACACUUACGGUAGCCCUUCGGGAGAAGGCAUUGACAGCACCACCAGCUCAGGUGUCUGUGACAACGGCGACUUUUCCCUUGAUGGUUGAAAGAGUGGAGCGGCAGCGGCUCAUGGAUCGCCUCGACGAGUUCAGGAAGCGCGAUCCCAGGAUCUUUGAUAGAGAGAAAAUCGACCACUGGAUCAUUGAGAAGUGGUUGAUGCAUAUGGAGAAGUUAUUCCGCGACACCUUCGUGGAGGAAAGAGAUAGAGUUGGCUCGCCACUCACCAUUUGGACGGCGAGGCCGAUAGUUGGUGGGUGGGCAUCCAGGAUAAUCCCGACACCGACCUAGCAGCGAUUUCUUGGAAGAGAUUCAAGGAGCUCUUAUUAGAGCAUUACUUUCUCGUCCGCGUGAAGAGGAAAGAGGAGCAGGAUCUGCGCGAGAUGCGCCAGGAGGAUCGGACUGUGGCCGAGUACGAGAGGGGGUUCUUUCAACUUCUACGCUAUGCGCCCUUUGUUGUGCGAGACGAUGAGGAUAAGGCUCGCAUCUUCGAGCGAGGACUUCGGUCGUCGAUUUUACGGUUGGUGCAACCCUUCCACCUUCAGACUUACCAAGAUGUGGUGAACCGCGCUCUCAUCGUGGAAAGCUGCGCGGCAGACUUACAGGAACGUCGGAAAGGCGCAAACAAAGGAAAUGGCAAGAGACCCGUGACUGAGGGUGCGAGUCAGACGCACUCUGGGAGGCCGUCGAGACAUUCCGGGAACUGGAGCCAGUCGCGAGGACGUGGCUCAUCAACACGGCAUAGAGGAUCCGAGCGUCAUCAGACUCGGAGCUGCGUGAUCUGCGGUGGUCAUCGUUACCCGCAGCAGUGCUCACAGAGGCAAGGCAGGUGCUACUCGUGUGGCCAGGAGGGUCACUUCCUGUCAGACUUUUCGAGGGGGUUAGCAUCAGCGCCAUCUUCAGCAUCGGUACCAGUAUUACCGGAUCCCAGCCGGGGGACGCCUUUUACUCACUGUUAGGCCGGAAGGCCACCCGUCCAGCGACAGACGGAGGGUCACGACAGGCCCCGAGCAGACGCCUGUACGCGACCAGACAGGGAAGGCGGCAGCGGCCGAGUUUGUGACUACAGGUAUCAGUUUCAUUUGUGGCAUUCGAGUUGUGCAUUGUUGGUUAUUGGAGCAUUGCAUCUAUGAUCGGCUAUUCGCCGAGUUGCAUGACAUUUCGUUAGUUCGCUGUUUGCGACAUUGUGUAGCCUCUCGAGCCAGGCGAUUGAUUUGCGGGUGCGGGUGGCAUAUUUUGCUAUGCUUGUAGAUUUCACGAGGAUUGCAUUAGUGAUUCGCCCGGCUAACGCUGCAUUGCCGGAUAUGCUUGAGCGACCGUGCCUAACCUUGGGGAUGUGGAGGCCUGGGCCCGUUGGGCCAGGCGCAAUCGUCUGUGUGGCCAGCGCCUCGUACUGCGGUAAGGCAGAGUUUUUGGUAGGAGGAGUCUGCGCGUGGACCCUAGACGCGGAAAGUCCACUGUUGGAAUCGUGAGAUUGAGGACACACUUAAGUGUGUAGUUACCCAAUACUGAGGAUUGUAGCUGUUGAAACUUUCGGCUGUUGAUGAUCGGUUGAUGCGGUGUGUCACGUUUCGAACCCUAUUGCCGCCCGUGAGAUGAUCUCUUUGUGCCAAACAAAUAGAUUGACUUCCUUGGUUGGAGUUGUUAGGGGUAACCAUGGUAUCUUGGAUUGCGAACUGACUUGCAUCGCCCUUGAGACGUGAGCACGGAAAACAAUAAGUGCGAUUUGAGAUUUACUUCGCAAAUGUUGAUAGUCCUUCUUACUCUCUAAAAAAUAGGGUAAUGUUCGAUGAGGUGUUUGGGCCUGAGUGGUCCAUCUAGCUUUGGUAUCGAGAAUCUCUUAGAAAAAUGAUUCUUUGAUCAGAUCGUUAUGUCCCCUCGAGUUCACAAAUCGUUCUGCUCAAUUAGACAGGCAAGUUUUAUAGAUGGUGUUUUGCCUCGUGGAGGAGCACUUCCACCUGUUGUGGGACCGCGUUGGUGCCGUAUCGACUGUAUUCGACUUCUCGUGAUUACAAAUGAAAACACACGAUAUGGAGAGUUUAGUACGUUGCUGGGCCCAUUGACCUUGUCAAGUGCUUGAAUCGUUGGUGUAAUUUUGUUAAAGCUUUUGAGUAAUCGAAGUAAUGCUGGUUGAUGUUGGAAGUUUGAAGGUUCGUACCUCAAUGUGAUUGUGAUGCUAGUGUGGCAUCACAGAAGGAUGAUGCUGCCUAAUAAGCCUAUAAUACUCUACCUGUGGAUAGUCGCGAAAUAUAAAUCCGAGCCUCUGAGUGUAUUUUGUUGAUUCCGUUGCGGAUGACUUGGGGUAUUUUAGAUAGGAAUGUGCGAGGUUGACUGCGUAAGACAGUUGAGGUGAUUGAGUUUUUGGAACUCUCAUGAUGGAAUGAAAACUUGUGAGCAGGAAGUACCAAGUUAUAAUUCCCCGUGUCCCAGGAGCGGCACGUAACACUGAAUUGAGUCCUUAGGAUAAACCCUUAUACAUGCAGGACUGAUGAAUAUGACUUGGUUUGCACUUGAUCGGCAUCAAGUAUACUUUGAUAGAGGCUGUCGUUGAAGUAUGGAAUGAUCACACCUCUGAUCUGCGGAGAAUUGAUUUUGGAUGACCAUUGACACCUGAGCAUCCAAAUGCAUAGGAAGCAUGGAUCUGGAAUUAUUAAAGUGAUUGUUGUGAGCCUUCUGUCCGAAGCUAGCCUUUUAGGCCUAGCUUGUGAGAUUACUGGACUGAGUUAGGACUAAGAUGACGAUCUUAGUAACCUGAUGAAGCUAUGAGCUUUAGCCCGAUCAUAAUAUUUGCAGUGGGAUUACAAAGGACUACCCGAGUGGUGAAUUUAGGUUGAUGAAUUUGGUAUGCGACCCUUAGUCUUUUGAUAGAUAAAAGUAGCAAGUGCUGUUUUGAAAUUGCAAAAUCAAGGUAAAAUUGUUGAAUGGUGCAAAAAGCGACCUACCUUUUGGACUGAUCUAGAGAUGGAUACGUUCGUGGGGAUGGUAUACCACCGCGGAUUCGGGAAUUAAAGAAGAUAUUUCAAGAACGCCACCGGGCGCGUCUAACGCUAUAACAUUCGGGUGCACAAGAUGUACAAGGAUCUAAAGUUGCUUCAUUGGUGGCCCGGGAUAAAAAAUGUAGUUAGAGUUUAGCUCGUUGAUCUAAACUUUGCCAAUCAUAAAAGUUGAACACCGGAGUUCCGCAGGGAGCUUGAUUACCUGCCUGUUGUAAGUGGAGCAAGAUCACAUGGACUUGUGACCAGUUUCCUCGCUCACUAGGCUGGCAUGCAUGCUAUUGGAGAUACGCGGAAUUAGAUUGAACGAAGUCAGCUCACUUAUUAACCUAAAUCAUUGACGACUUGAUGGGGAAGCUCGACAAGUACACUCAACGAGAUUGAUGUGACUUCAAUAAUGCUACACCCGAUAAGUAUCAAUCGCGACACUCGUUGUGUCUUCUUUGGAUAGUCUCAGGAACGUUUUGGGCAUCGAUUAGAUUUACACCACCGCAUUCCACCCACAGAGUGAUGACGUCGUAGCGCACUAUUACAAUGUUUAGAGUAUAUACCAAGGGCAUGUGUGAUGGAUUCCAAGGGAGCUGGUCGCCAGCAUCUACACAUGGCGGAUUUGCUUAUAUUAUUCUAUUGCGGCCGAGAGUGUAAAUUUGAAAGCGAAUCGAUGUCAACAUUCACAAAACCAAAACCGGAACAACAUUGACUACUCAGUUGUCGCCCUACACAGUAUAAUUUGCAACGAUACUAUUUUCUCUUCAUCGAAUAAAAGAGUAAACAUAAUUAUAUUGUUCUAUUUAUGCCCCACGAUGUAAAUUUCGGACGAAUCGAAUGUCAACCAUAACAAACAAAACAGACAAUAAUGCUACACGUGCGCCCCUACCAUUAAUAAAUUGGCAAUAGUGCUUUUUCGCAUUCUAUCGAACCAAGAGUAAAAAAGCCUAUUUAUAUUAUUUCUAUUUAUUGCCCGAUAGUGUAAAUUGUGAACGAAUCAUGUCAACUUCAAAAAGCAAAACCGGAACAACAAUAGACUACUAGUUUGCGCCCUAACAUAUAACUUUACCAACGGUACUUUUUCUCAUAAUUAUCGACAAAGAUAAACCUAAUUACAUUAAUUCGAGUUAUGCCCGAAGUGUAAAUUUGGAACGAAUCGAUGUCAACCUUCACAAAAGCAAAAACCGGAACAACAAUAGACUACUCAGUUGCCUCCCUAAGUAUAACUUGCAACGAGUAAUUUCUCAUUCAUCGAACAAAGUGUAAAAGCUAUUAUAUUUAUCUAUUAUGCCCCGAAUGUAAAUUUGAACGAUGAUGUCAACUUAUCAAAAAAUCAAAACCGAAACAUAUAGAUACUCAUGCGCCCUAUCGACUGUAUAACUUUGCAACGAGAGUUAUUAUUCAUUCAACCGCUCGAACAAACUGUAAAAAGCAAUUUAUAUUAUUCUAGCUAUCGCCCCGAGAGUGUAAUUUAGAACGAAUCAUGCAAACAUUCAAGAACUGCAAAACCGAACAACAAUUGACUAGCUCAGUUCGCUCCUUAUCCCUUAUAACUUUGCAACGAUUACUUGUUUUCUCAUUCUAAUCGAAUAAGAUAAAACAUAAUAAUAUAAUUUCAUAUUAUGUCCCGAGAGUGUAAAUUAUUGGACGAAUCUGAUGUACAACCAUCCACAAGAACGUCAAAACAGAACAACAAAUAGACUAACACUGUUUCGCCCUAACAGUAUAAAUUUGCAAUGAGCGCUUUAUUCUGCAUUUAUCAAACAAAGAGUAAAGCUAUUAUAUUAUUCUAUUAUGCCCAGAUGUAAAUUUUGAACGAAUCGGAUUGUACAACAUUCACACAAAGCAAAACUCGUGAACAACAAUAAUCUACUCAGUUGCGCCUAACAGUAUAUACGACUUUGUCUAAGUGAGGUACAUUUUUCUCUUCUUAAUGAAAAAAAGUAAAACCUAAUUACAGUUAUUCUAAUUUCGCCCGGAGAGUGUAAAUUUGAAACAAUCGAAUGUCAACCUUCACAAAAGCAAAAACGCACGAACAUACAAUAGACUACUCAGAUUGCACCCUAACAUAUAACUUUUGCAACGAUAAUUUUUUCAUAUCAAUCGACAAAUAAAAUCUAUAUAUUUUUCCUAUAUGACCACCGAAGUGUACCAUUUGGAACAAUCGAUUCUAUCUUCAAAAAAUUCAAAACCGGAACAACAAUAGACUACUCAUUGCGCCCUAACAGUCUAACUUGCAACUAGUACUUUUCUCAUUCUAAUCGAACAAAAGAUAAAACCUAUAUUGUACAUAAGCUCCCAAGAAGUAUAAAUUUCAAACGAAUCGAUGUAACUUCACAAGAAGCAAAAAGGAACACACAUAAGACUACAAUCUGUUGCCCCUACAGUAAAAAUUUUCAACGAGUGCUUUUUCGCAUUCUAUUCGAACUAAUAGAGUAAAAUCUAAUUAUAGUUGUCUAUAUACCGCCGAUAGAGUAAAUUUGGAACGAAUCGAUCUGUCAACGGUUCAACAGAAGAGCAAAACCGGAGAAAUAUUAACUACUCAUGAUUUGCGCAACUAACAUUUUAACUUUGCAACGAAUACUUUCGUCAUUCUACAUCGUACAAAGGAAAACUCUAUUAUUGUUCAUUAUUCCCGAGAGUGUAAAUUUUGAACAAUCGAUGAUAACCUCAAAAAACCAAAACCUGACAACAAUAUACACUCAAGUUGGGCUCUUAACAGUAUAACUUUGUAACUAGUAAUUUCUCUCAUAUUAUCGAACAAAGAGUAAACCCCUAACUUAUAUUCGUUCUAAUUUAUGCCUCCGAAGAUAUGUAAAAUUCUCAACAGUAAUCGAAUGUCAACCAUUCAACAAAAACACAAACCGGAACAACAAUAGCUAACUCUGUUGCGCCUAACAAGUAUAAAUGCAACGAGUGCUUUUUCGCAUUUCUAUCGAACAAAGAUAAAACAUAAUUAUAUUGUUCUAGUGUUACCCAGUAGAGUAAAUUUGGAACGAAUUAUGUCAAACGUUCACAAUAGCCAAUAAACCGGAACAACAUAGACGACUGAGUUGCGACCAGUAUAACUUUGCAACGAAGUAAUUUUUCAUCAUUCCAAACGAACAAAGUGAAGCUAUUGAUAUAUCUGUAAUGCACCCGAGAGUGUAAAUUUGGAAACGAAUCGAUGUCAACAAUUCAAAGAACCAAAACCGGAACAACAAUUGACUUCACCAGUGCCCCUAAAGUAUCUCUUUGCAACGAUACCUUUUCUCAUUCUAUCGAUAAAGAGAAAACGUAAUAUAUAUAUGUUCAUUAUGCCCCGAGAGUUGUUAAAUUCGGAACGAAUCGAUGUAAAUCAAAGUCAUCCACAGAACCAAAACAGGAACAUCAAUAGACGACAACUGUUGCGGCCCUAAGCAUAUAAAAUUUUGCAUGAGUGCUUCGCAUUCUAUCGAACAAAGAGUAAGCGCUUUUAUAUUUUACUAUUAGCCCGAGAGUGUCCAAUUUGGAACGAAUAGAUUCAAACAUUCAGCUAAAAGCAAAACGAACGAAAACAAUAGAACACUUUCUGUUUGCGCCCUAACAGUAAUAUAAUUUAACAACGAGUGCUUUUUCGCAUUCCUAAUCGAACAAAAAGUCCAAACCUAAAUUAUAAUUGUUCCUAUAUAAUCUCGCGAGAGAGUAAAUUUGGAACGAAUCGAUGUCACGAGUCACAAGAGCAAAACGAGAAACAUUAAGACUAAUCAUUGCGCCCUAUACAUUUAACUUGCAACAAUUACUUUUUCGCAUCUAUCGGUACAAAAAUAAACCUAAUUAUUUUGUUCUAUUAUAACCGCGAGAGAGAAAUUUUGGAACGAUAUCGAUGUCAACGUAUUCGCAAGAGCCAAACGAACAAACAUUAUACUACCAAGUUGGCGCCGUAACAUAUAACUUUGCACACGAGUAUUUUUCUUCAUUCAUACAUCGAACAAGUGUUAAAAGCUAUUUAUACUAUUCUAUUAGCCCGAGAUGUAAAUUUAGAACGAAUCGACGUGUGAAACAUUCACAAGAACCAAAACCUGACAUACAAUUUACUACUCUUGCUAGUCGCCGCUAACAAUCGUAUAAUUUUGCAACGAAGUACUUUUUCGCAUUCUACGCAUAAUGAGUAAAACUAAUUAUAUUGUUCUAUAUGCUCCGAGAGUGUAAAUUUUGAACGAAUUCGAUGUCAACAUCAUAUCAAUAGACCAAACCUAGGACAAUAAUAGACUACAUUGUUGACCCCUAAACAGUAAUAAAUUAGCAAUGAAGUGCCUUUUUGCAUUCUAACUAGAACAAAGAUAAUAGCCUAUUUACUAUUAUUCACUAUUAUGCCCCGAAGUGUAAAAUUUUGGAACAGAAUUCGAUGUCAAACAUUACACAAGAAGUCAAAACCGGAACAACAAUAAACUAUCUUUGCGCCUAACGAGUAUAAAUUUUGCAACGAGUGCUUUUUCCCGCAUUCUAUCGAACAAAAAGUAAAACUAAUUAUAUUGUUCUAUUAAACCGAGAGAUAAAUUUGGACACAAUCGAUGUCAACGUUCACAAAGCAAACCGGAGGAAACAUUGACAACUCAGUUGCGCCUAACAUUGUACCUUUGCAAGAGUCCUUUUUCGCAUUCUAAUUCGGGACAAAGGUAAAAAACCUAAUUUAUUUGUUCUAUUAUGCCGGAGUGUAAAUUUGAACGAAUCGAUGUAAACCUUCACAAAAACCAAAACCAUGAACACAAUAGACUAUCUCAUUCGCCCUAACAGUAUAACUUUGCAACGAGUACUUUUUCUCCAUAAUAUCCUCCCUGAACAAACAGAGUAAAACCUAAUUAAAUUGUCUAUUUAUGCGUCCCCGAGAAUGGUUAAAUUUAGAAUGAAUCGGAUGUCAAUACCUCACAAGAACGGAAAACCGGAAACAACAUAGACUACUUCUGUUCGGCCUAACAUAUAAUCUUGCAACGAUGCUUUUUCGCAUUCUAUCAACAAAAGUAAAACCUAAUUUAUAUUUUUCUAUUUAUACCCCGAGAGAGUAAAACUUUGACUAAUCGAUGUCAACUAGUUCCGCAAGAGCCAAAUACCGGAACAACAUUAGACUCUACAGUUUGCGCGCCCUAACAUAUAGACUUGGCAACGAGUACUUUCUACAUUCAAUCGAAACAAAGUGUAAAAAGUCUAAUUUAUAAUUAUUCCUAUUAUGCCCGAUAUGUAAAUUUGGAACGACAUCGAAUGUGAAAUUCAAAGAAACCAAAACUGGAACACAAUUUACUACUUCAACUUGCGGCCUAUAAUAUAACUUUGCAACGAGUCUUUUUCGCCAUUUCCUCCUCGAAUAAUGAGUAAAACCUAAUUAUAUUGUUCUAUUACCCCACGAGAGUGAAAUUUCCGAACGACUCGAUGUCAAACCAUACACAAGACCAAAACCGAACAACAAUAGACUACAUUGUUUGCCCUACAAACAUAUAAAUUGCAAUGAUAGCUUUUUCGCAAUUCUAUCGAACAAAGAGUAAAAGCUAUUUAAUAUUAUUCUAAUUAUAGCCCACAGAGUGAAAAUUUGGAAAACGAAUCGAUGUCAAACUUAUUCAUCAAAAGCAAAACCGGAACAACAAUUGACUACUCUGUGCGCCCUAACAGUAUAAAUUUGCCAACGAGUGUUUUCGCAUUCUAUCGAAAAAAAGUAAAACCUAAUUAUAUUGUUCUAUUAUACCCCAGAGAGAAAUUUGGAACGAACGAAUGUCAACUGUUCACAAACCAAAACCGAGAAACAUUAUACAACUCAGUUUCGCCAUAAUAUCUGUAAUGGCAACGAGUACUUUUUACGCAUUCUAUCGGACAAAGAGUAAAACUAAUUAUUUGUUCUAUUACUCCCCAGAUGUAAAUUUGAAACGAAUCGAUGUAAAACUUCAAAAAAAUAACCAAAACCCGGAACAACAAUAGACUACUAGCAUUGCGCCCCUAAAAGAUAACUUUCAACGAGUACUUUUCUCAUAUAUCAACAAAGAAGUAAAACCUAAUUAUAUUGUUCUAUUAUGCCCCGAAGAAUAUAAAUUCGAAUGAAUCGAGUCAACUGCUUACAAGAACCAAAACGGAACAACAAUAGACUAACUCUGUUCUCCCACUAACAGUAUAAAUCUGCAACGAAGUGGCUUUUUUCGCAUCUAUCGAACAAAAAGAUAAAACUCUAAUUAUAUGUUCUAUUUAUAUCCCGAAGAGGUAAUUUGAACUAAUCAGAUUCAAAAACGUUCGCAAGAGCCAAAACAUGGAAUAUCACAUUAGACUACUCAGUUGCGCCCGUAAACAUGUAAACUCUUUGCACGAGUACUUUUUCUCGGUAUUCAAUCGAACAAAGCUGUAAAAGCUUAUCUUACUAUAUCUAUUAUCCCGAAUGGUAAAUUUGGAACGAAUGAUGUGAAACCAUUCACAAGAAUCAGUAAAACGCAACAACAAUUUACCUACUCAGUUCGCCCAUAAACUAAUUAUUAACUUUGCGGCAACGAGUUACUUUUUUCGCAUCUCUAUCAAAUGAUAAAACCUAGGAUUAUAUUAUUGUUCUAUUACCGAUUUUUAUCCGAAGGUUAAAGUUGUUAUUCCAGAACGCAAUCGAUUCAAACCAUUGCACAAGAACUCAAACCGGAAAAACAACUAGAACUACAUUGUUGCGCCCUACAGUAUAAAUUUGGCAGAUUGAUCUUUUUCGCAUUCAGUCGAACAAAAGAGUAACUAGCACUAUUUAUAUUAUUCUAUUAUUCCCCGAGAGUUAAAUUUGGAUGUAAACGGAAUCGAUGUCACAAUUCACUAAGAAGCAAAACCGAACAAACAAAUAGACUACUCUGUUGCGCCCUAACAGUAUAACAAUUGUGCAACGAGUGCUUUUUUCGCAUUCUUACUAGAACAAAAAGUCAAAACCUAAAUUAAUUGUUCUAAUUAUACCGCGAAGAGUAAAUUUUGUAACUAAUUCGACUGUCCAACGUUCGCAAGAGCCAAUACCGACAACAUUAGAACUACUCAAGUUGCGCCCUAUACCGAUUAUAACUUGCCAAACGAGUACACUUCUCUACAAUCACAAAAGUGUAAAAACUNNNNNNNNNNNNNNNNNNNNNNNNNNNNNNNNNNNNNNNNNNNNNNNNNNNNNNNNNNNNNNNNNNNNNNNNNNNNNNNNNNNNNNNNNNNNNNNNNNNNAAAGAGAUUCUUUUGCUGAAUCAUAGGGACCGUCCAUCAUCAUUUGGGCGAAAUUCUCAUUAGCAGAAUUCGGGCACACCUCCAAACCAGGAGCAACCUAACGACCCAACCACUUCAAAUCCUGUGUUGGCUACAACCCCACUUCUCAGUGCAUCCUCGAUGCCAUGAUCUAUCACGGUCGUGGAAGUCCACUUCCCAGGGUCUAAGAGCUCGACUACAAACCGUCUUGACAUAACUCUGCCCCUACCCACGCCGUGUGUCACCCCAAGCUGACUGCGCCUGGUCAUAAGGCCCCGCUUCCACAGUCCCGAGUAGUCGGCAAGCACGAUCGUCCUCCAAGCAUACCCAAUCAGCCCGUCAUCACACGGACUACGCUCACGCCGAGCAAGCACAGCGAUCACUCUAGCGUUACAACACUACGCCCAGCAUUAGGCACACUUGGUCAAACCCCGGAUCUAACUUUUGGUAGGCGACACAACUGUCUCAAACUCAGCUCAUGCAUGGCUAGUAUAUAUACGCGCUCAUGUCCUGGUCCCGUACUCAUACUAUUAAUGCAUAAGUAAGUUAGAAAUGCAUCAUCAAGGUAAAAUGCAUGCAGUUCAUAAGUCUAACCAUCAUGCAGAAACGAUAUGAUUGCGCGUUAAAAUUUAGCCAUACCUGCCACCGAUGGUCGCGGGUGCGCUGCAGAACUCGGCAGGUUCCUUCGACUGUGAGCGGCCGCGAACACCCCGACUCGGGCCGACGCGGGUCGCCUCGAGCUGACGGGCGCGCCCGUCAGCAGGGUCCCGGCAGAUACGGCAGUAGGCGUAACUCACCCAACUACCUCCAGAGUCACUGGGGGGAUGCAAUAGGACGGGGACAGGCGGCAUCCUCUGGAACACUAACGGGCUCAUAUGCCCCCUUGACACACCUGAAGCAUCGUCCUGCCGAUGCUCAACAAUUCCCAUGCCGAUGCUCCCCCGCAGAUCACACACGCAUAGUCCGUUCGACCCUGCUCUCGGUACUUCGGGGGCUUCUUGAACUAGACUGUCCCCCGAACCACUGCCAGGCCGUUUCUUUCCUUUGUCUUUCUCAGAUGGUCCGCUCGGCCUCACUCGCUCACGAGGCAUUCCGAUGCUCGCAACCGCACAGAGCACCAAUCUAGCACUUCGCAAAGGUGCGGAAUCUUAAAAUGCAAUGUACCAUAUCGGAACACUCCGGCCGAAUCCCCGCACAAGCACUCCGCCCGAUCUUGCUCGUCCUUGCCACAUCAGGAACGCACAUUCAAGGAGAAUGUGUAAACCCGCUCUGUACUCCCGAACUGUAGCGGUUGCCUUGCUUGACGCUUCCGAAAAUCCUUCUCCAUUUUCCUUUAUCAUUCACUGUCAGGGAAAUACGUUCCGCGAGACAUCAGCCCUGGAACCCGCCAAUCAAUCGGGGGAAGGUUCGGUAGAACGGAUCCUGCUUCACCCUCCUCCACCAACUCGGGCCCUCUUAUCAAUAGCUAAUGAGUGGCCAAGUUUACUUGUCUUGCUCUCGGUAAUAGAUUCCUCAAACAUUGCUUCUUCCAUCCGUGGCUAAACCAGGUCUCCCGGACCAAGCAUCAUCACUCGCCAUCAAAUUGUCGGAGGUGGAAUUUCAUAAACCUCGGUGAGAGCCGUGUAACCGCGCUCCGCCCGCUUCCUCAGUCGGCCCGCAUCGGGUAUCGUGAACCCGAAGCCGCUGGAGAUGAACACUCGGUCCGGGAGGGGGAAUUGCGCGCCGCCGCCCGAGCUGCCCGCUGCCCCACACCUUCAGCCGCAUUUGAGGCACCGAGCCGAGGCGCGGGAGGACCACAGAUCUCAGCUUGCCGUCGCGGCUUGCCGCCGACCACUUGCCGCUCCAAAAGCCCUGGAGCCGCUCAGUAUCCUGUCUGGUUAGCGCAGUCAACUUGCGCUCGUCACUCCUGCACCUCCUAGGGCCGCCAGCUAGCUCUGGCGGUAGCGGGAGUCCAGCCUGCUUGGCACCACGGGAGGUGGUCCGGAACGGAUCUACUGUGCGUACGUCUCGGGGACAUCAGGCUCCUGAAACGCAAAACAUCUGGUAAUUCAUCUUAACUCCGUUAACCUCGCGCGAUUUUUACUAGACACCCGACUCAUCGGGCGAAAGUCACGCAAGGGCGUCUAUUUCUCAUCACCUGGCUUCAUGUUGUGUGCACCCAACAUGACACCCUCGGUUGAGAAUACAACCACACCUUGAGUACUACCUCUAACAUCCAUUUAGACGGUUCACCGAACACAACCAAUCAUAAAUCCUAUUCGCGACAGCAACCUCAUAGGUUCAGCGUCUCUCCACUGCACGCUAUAGCCUUAGGUUUCUAUCCUACGGGUCUCCUAGGUUAGUGCUAAACUCUCUCUUUGCUGCUCUUAACUCGCUCUUUACCACAACUGUCACACCCGCCCCGAAACCACUACCAAUUGUGCACGGUUCGGGCCACCGGCGGCACCGCGAACACAGGCACUCCUGUCCGCUCCAAGCUAAAGAGACGAGAUUGUGUAGCAACAAGUUUUUCCCAGGGAAACACUUGAAUAAUAUACACAAUCAUUCAAACAACUAGCGAGAGCACAAACAGUGCGAACAAAAUGAGAGCAGCAUCACAAGUAGAACGCAUACAAGUGAAUAAAAGAGAGAAUAAUAAACGUAACUAUGUACACACAUUGGCAUCAACAAUUACAAUCCAUUCAACUUCUAAUACACGACUGAUUUAAUUUAAGCUUCAAAAUAUAACAUAAAGUUUACAACUUAACUUCAAAUGAUCUCAACACCCUAAUACAUUCAUCUACUCUCAAAAGUAUAGUAAAUUGCUAAUGGCAAAUAGGUAGGUAGCUACCAACUCUAGGGCGCUAAGGCCUUACCACGAUCACUGCUGCCGGUCCGGCUCUCACGUGUACCUGUACCCAAAACCACAGGCGGGGUGAGAACUAUAUAAAUAAUAUGUCCCAGUCGUUCGGCCGCCGACCUCCGCCGAUCUUCCCAUAGGUCUAAGCUGGCAGCAUAUAGAUAGAUAGAUAGAUAUAUAGAAAUAAACUGAAUACAUAUCACUAAUGGGGCACCAAAUGCAAGGAAUGAGCAACACAUUUAUCAUGGCCUAGUAUGGCUUAAACAAUGAAAUAAUUACAACUACAACCAUAGUUAUGCAGUGUAUUAUUUAAUCAUGGUAAUGAAUGCAAAUCCACGUUAUGGCAAUUCAUUUAUGAACCCUGCCAAUCCGUUAGGCUACCCCACCUAAGAUUUCGAUAACACACAUAGGUGAAAGAGCUACCCCCGCCUGUCUCACCCGUCCACAACUCUAAUACUAUAGGUAAAGAGCUACCCGCUCUUACCAAACUUAGAUCUCAAGUACGAUAGGUGAAGAGCUACCCCGCUCGCUCACCCAACUCAUAACCCAAUGCUAAGGCAAGAGCUACCCCGCUCUUUCGCCAGCCGACUAAACCUCAUCUCAUAGGUCAAGAGUUACCCCGCUCAAUCUCACUAGGUGAAGAGCUACCCCGCCUUCGCCCGACUCACUUCGCGCAGUCCAAUGGGUGGGGAGCUACCCCGCUCGGAUCCACCCGGUGGCUCCCGCUCAUGAAACUACCCAGCUUCGUUGACAAUCCGGCAGUUGCACUUCUUUGUGGGGGAGGCGAACGCCACAAGUCAAACAGACUAUGUGAGUAUGAUCCGAUCCUCGCUAACUGAGAAUACCUGCUCCAGCUAGGUAACCCUCACUUGAUAAUCCACAAGCUAUCCGCUUGUCCAUUCAUUGUCUCAACCGCCCUAAAUCUUGAUGCAUCACCAGGUCUAAUCACUCUAGUUCCACAACACAGGUUUAAAUGUCAACCUCAUUGUAAGCAACAUUAUGUUAAUGCAUUCGAUCUAUCCUAGGUUCACGACACUGGUUUAGUAUGCCACAUGCUGCAUAUCUCCAAUAAUUAACAAUCGGUUAACAUUCAUUCUUCAUCUAGGCUACAUAUGGUUCUAUAAAGCCAACAUGCAUCAUACAUCUAGUAAUACAUCUUCAUAAUGUAAUAUCCAUUAUGCAACUAAGAUGCAAUCCAUUCAUUAAUGCUACAUGCAUACAAUCUCAAUUACACUAUUCUACAUGUCAUUAGUUUCAUUAUUCAGUCCAAGUUCUUAUUUUCUUUUCAAUUAAUAGGAUCUCAUAUCUAAACCAUUCCGGCCUCAUGCAUUCUAAGAUUCUAGGUUCAAGUCAAUAUAUACUACACGAACUAGCAUGCAUUCAAGAAAGUAGAUAAUUAAUAAUACAUUACAUCUAUAAUGCCAUAAUGAAACAUGUGUAAUAUGACAAAGAUCUUAACUGCGAUAUAGAAGGAAGCCCGAUUGCUCAGAUAGACACCCCCUAGACCUUUUUAUAGCGUGCGAUUGCUCGUCGUCACCUCGCAAUCGGCCACCCCGCCGCGCACGCCCGCUCGCUCGACCGCUAUUCACGCGCGACCCACUCGAACGAUCCUCCGCUUCGCGAUCCGAUGAAAUAUCAGGUUCUUGGUUUCCUAGUCUACGAUGCUCGGGAUUCAAUCCCAUGAUUUAUUGAAGCGCCUCGACUCUCCAGGGCCAAUACGAACUCACGAAACUUGUUUCAGCCGGAACGUCCCGCACCGCUCGACGAAUCGACAGAAGCCGUCGGCUUCCUACGCGUUGGACACAACAUUAGGUUUCUGACACUCAAUUUAAUCCAAACCAAGUAUUUACAAACCUCAUUUUUAACCCUUAGGUUUGUAUACUAAGAGCAACCAACAUACACACCAUUUUGGACCUAAGCUGUAAGCAAUAAACAUCUAAUUAGCAUCUAAAUACUUGCGCUAAAAUGCCAUUUCUAUGAGCAUUUAAAAUCACACCCCUAGAGAAUCUAACAUUUAAACCUCAUUUGGAGCCUAAAUCUCAUUGUUGCACAAAAGCAACAUCAAGCUAUAACCUGCAACAAAUGAGAUUGACAAUCUCUAAGCAUCAAUAAAUCCUAUCUCCAGGUAUUCAAACUCUAAUCCAAGCCAUUCUGUUAGGUCUAUGUGUUGGCAGUUUCGUGGUCGAUCAGAGUCUUGAAGAAGGUCCGGAGCGGAGUAUUAAAGAUCGAAGAAUCCAAGACUUCGAAGUAAAUCGAAAGACCAAACAAAACAUGAAUCAACGAUGCUUAGGUAACCUUUACAUCAUGUUUAUUGUGAUUUCAUACUUAAUUAUAAGAUUUGUAGAAUCAUGUUUUCAAACAGUGUAAUGAAUAGAAAGUUUCUAAGAGCUUGUAAAAACCCGAAACAAUGCAUUUUCAGGCAAAUUAGCAUUAUUGUACGGCGGUACAAGAAUUUUCUGUCCAGGGUAACCAGCCAUCAUCAUAGUUGCGCAGAAAGUUUGAUGGUUGUUCCGUAACCAAUCACGGCUGUCCAGGGUACAAGCCUGUUCGGAACAAAAAGGAAGUCUGUCCAGGGUACAGAAGCUUCGCAAGAAAAAUCUUCGUCAUGCUGUAAACCCUGGACAGGCUUUCCUUUUCGCGGUACCAGUGCUGAUUUUGGAAAGAAAACUUUCUAACCUACUCUGUUUGAUUCUCAAGUCUAUAUAAUAACUAUAGGGCUCUAACUGAUUAAGCAUCCACGAAAAUACUAUUGGAGAAACCUAGAGCUCGGAUUUCAAUCUAAAAACCUAUUUUCUACAAAAAGCCUCUUUUAGAAUCAAAUCGAGAUAUUGAAUUUGAUAUUAAUUAUGCUCAUUUGAUUUCCGCUUCGCUGGAGUUCUAAUUCCUGGUUUUACGAUACUCCAAAGCGAGGAUCACCAUAUUCAGAUAUUCUUCAUGGGUGCGUCGUGGAUUCGGCGUGAUUUGACAGCCGGUUCGUGAUUCGGAAUCGUGGCUCGUGGAUUCGACGUGAGCAGUCGUGGAUUCGGCGUGAUGAAGCUUCGUGGAUUCAAAGUGGGCUUUCGUGGAUUCACGUGAGGGCAUGGACAACACCGAGGUAGCGGCGAAGAUUCAUAGGAGGUUAAGAGAGGUAGAGUCGUGGAGUGCCGUAAUCACCCUUGUAAUCUUUUCUCUAAGUGAAUUAUUUUUUUCGCACGUGUUGGUCACCAUUGGUUUUUCUCCAAGUUGAGUUUUUCCCACGUAAUCUCGGUGUGCUUUUAUUUUCGCAUUUAUUUUAUGCUCGAGAUUUGAUGGUCUUUUGGCUAUUUACACCUAUUCACUCCCCUACCUGGUGUUAGAACUAACCAUCUAAGAUAGAUCUGGGCUACCAACCUUUCAAUUGGUAAUCAGAGCGGAUCUAUAACUUAUUUUCUAAUGCCGAAGCGGUAACGUUAAUCGACCACAUCUUCGAUGGCAUCGAAUUAUGCGUAUUGGAAAGUCGCAUGAGACUUCUAAUUGCGGCCAUCGAUAAGCUGUUUGGGAAAGCUAUUAAUUUGGUUGGGAGCACUGUUCUACGCGAAGUUGUCAAUAAACGCUAUCCAGUUCUAAACCACGGUAACAAGUGGAACAAAAAUGAAAGGAGUCCAUCUUCGUUUAACCGGUAAAGGAAUUUAAUGCUUUAGUCAACGCUUUAUCGCAAACGGAGUUACUCGGGUUUUUGGCAUUGCGAAAGCGGCAAAGAAAAUUUGGGAUACUCUACAAGUUACGCAUGAAGGAACAAGCUUAGUAAAGGUCCAAAAAUUGCAAAUGCUAACUAGCUAAGUUUGAUUGUCGACUUUCUAUGGGAGGAAAUGAGACCUUUCACCGAGCUACUAUACGCGUCCACAAGACAUUGUGAAUACAUGUGCUAACUUGGGAGAGACAAUUCCGGAUUCAAAGUUUAUGUAGCAAAAAAGUUCUUCACCUUCAAGGAAGCGCUUCGGCAAGUUGCAGCGAUUUGAAACGGUUAAGCAUCCGCCGAGAUUAGAUGAAAGUCGAAGAAUUAGUAGGUCUUUACAAACGAUGAGAGACUUUUCCUACUAAUCAAUCUUCUUCGCAAGUCUUCUCUAAAAGUCAGGGGUUGCGUUCAAUCAACAAGCUAAGAAAGACGACGAAAACUCGAAUCAGACGAGAUUAUUUUCGCUUGCCAGGAUUUCGAAAAUCAAACUUGCACUCGAACGAAGAAGUUUCGUCGGAAUUUCCGAAAGAGAGAAUGAUCGGGCCCAAAGGGCUUCAUUAUCUAAAUCUUCAUGCUACAUCUAAGGAAAGAAGCGUGCAAAGGCUUCCGAAAGAAAAGGAUGUAUUGAAGGCGAGAUGCCCAAGUGCUACAAAUGAAAGGCAUAUGCGCACAUCAACGGAUUGCCGCUUAAAGAAGCGUUAACAUAGACAAAAGCAUGGCAAGCAAAAAUCUUGGGAUGAUUCUUCUGAUGAACCCCCAAUUCGUCAAGGUGACGAGAAAGAGAUCCAAAUUGCCUUAUUUGCUAAAUCUCCUUCAUUAACGUUGUGUGUUAUCCUCUUAUUGCUACUAACUCUAAUGUUUCUGUUUCCUCGCAUCGACUCAUCGAACGACAACGCGAAACGAGGAGGAUUGCACACAGACAACAGUAGCAAAGCGUACAAUCAACGUUCUCAUUGAAUCAAAGACAGAUGGCUAAACUCAACAAGAAGUUGAGACGUCGUUUGUUGGAAUUUGAGGAGGAAAACAACAAUGUAACAGAAUAUGAAUAAAGGCUCUUUGAGGAGAAGGGAAAUCAAUUGUGAAAAUAAUCAGCACUCUGCAAGAGAAGCUAGAUGAAGCGGAUCAAACGAUCAAAGUUCUAUAAAGAUAAAGUUGGAAAUUUUGGAGGCAACAAUUCGAGAUGCGUACCACAUCCACAAGUUUGACCAACUCUUCAGUCAACUUCAAUCAACAAUUCACGAUUUUCUCCCGAAUCAAAAGAACUAGAUCAUAUGCUGCGGAUUGGGUCAAACGAACAAGCUUGGACCCGAUUACGAACGGACAUCACGUCUGAGUAAGUACUCAAAUUCAACUUUUAAAGUCUCAACAACUUCAAAAGAGAAGAAUGUGUCAUAAAUUGGCAAGAAAAGGUCACAUUAAAAGGAAUAUGGCCUAAAUAUAGGAAAGAAAAUCAAUCGGCCUUCUACAACCUCAAGCAUCAUCUACACAUCGACUUCGCCCACGGAAUCAAAAGAAAAAUCAAGUUAGUCGAUACCUCAAAAGAAUCGGUUUGCUAUAACAACGCCAAGUUCAUGCAAACGGGCUGCGUAAGCUCAACGACAAAUUCAACCGACGACGCCAUCAACCGAAGAACCACCAACGGUUGAUCAAAAAUCUAAAACAACGGCACCGUGACCCGAGAAAAACCAAAGAUCGACAAGUUUGGAUGGCCGGAAAGGUGAUAUGUUUCUUGCUCCUCGUCUUAGUCAUUUUUGAUUUUUAGUGUAAUCGCUUUGAUUGGUGCUUGUUGUAUAUUUUGUAUUCAUUGCAUUAUAUUUACAUAGAUUUUUUGUACUUGAAUUUUAUUGUUAUAAUAAAUCUUUUUGAGGACAAAGGUGUUUAGUGAAUUCAAAAUUUUCGGAGAAAGAGAAUAAUUGAGAUCGCAGUCGAUUUUGGAGAAAGAAAUUCUUUAGAAAAAAAAGAGGUGUUUGAACGUUGUUUUUUCCAAAUGAUAAUUAAGUUAAAUUCAUAUUAAUUAUCGUUUUUACUCCAACUUUUAUUAUUUGACGUAUAAUUAAUAUAUGAUUUCUGUAUGGCAUAUAUUCAUCAAAACUCUGAAUCAAAUUGAUUUUUUGGUGAUUAAUUCAUCUUGUUGUGAGUCGUUGGAUAUGAUGAAUGGAUAUUCUCUAAUUGACUAAAAUUCGUCAAAUUAUUUUCAAACUGUGAGAUUGUCCUAAUUAAGGGGGCAGUUUGAAAUUGUGUUAAAAUAAAAAAAGAGAAAAAGAAACUCCUAUGUUUAAAACUGUGGAAAGAGUUACAUCCUAAAAGGAGUGUGAAAACUACCAACCACGUGUAGGAAAGAGCUACACCCGGUCCGCCGGUAAGUGUUGAAGCUAACCACAUGGAAAUUAAUUGAAAAGCCGCAAAGCGUGAAAAAAAAUAAUAAUUUUAGAAUUUUUGGAGUAAUAAGGUUGCUACUAGUUUGAAAAAGAUCUCAAAGAGGCCCCCCCGGGUAUCAUGUUAGUCUUAAAUGCUCUAUUUUGAACGUGUUACGAUAAUUUUUGGUGUCAAUUUUUGUUGAAUUCUAAAAAAAGCAUUUUUCACGCCAACUUACAUGCUUUGAUGUUUUUGAUCAUUAAUUAUUUUUGAUAUUGAAAAUUUUGAUCUUUUUCGAUGUGUUUUGAAUUUUAUAAUAUUUAUUUUCAUUAAAUGAUUUUGAAUAAAAGCCUAAAUUUAUUUGAAAUUAAUUUUAAUUUGAUGGAUUUUAAGCACUUUUUUGAAAUAUGAGAUUGCUUUGUCAGCUACUUUCCUCUUUCACUGGCGUUUGCUGUUUAGCAGCCAUGUUUUAGAUUUGCUUCGCGUUAUGCUUUCUAUAGGUAUGCUUUUAUUUUUGCUUUUAGGCCAUGUCCUAUGAUGACUACUCUAUGCUUUCUAGUAUGUUUUCUUCUCUUUAAUUUGCUUUCUUUGGGCAUUUUGACAAAAAGGGGGAAAGCGUAGAUGAAGAGGGAGAGCAUGGAUGAACAGGCAUUGACUGAAGCAGAGGAUGAUAGUUCAGAACUAAAGAGGGAAGAUGUGAACAAAGAGAGAGGAAAUCAGAGACUUCAAGACUUCCUGUUGCGUCUAAGUCAUAGAGUCCGUGUUUUAGGAGUUUUGAAUGUAACUUUGAGUUUCAAAUGUAUUUGAUUACACGCGGAUGGGUUUCGAUGUUUUGGUGAUGACAUUGAACUUCGGUUUUUUUCUUUAAUUGUUAAUUUGUGAGUUUGUGUGUGUUUUUGUCACGAAAAAUUGCCAAAGGGGAGAUUGUAGGUCCUAUGUGUUUGGCAAGUUAUCGUGGUUCGAGUUCGAGUCUUGAGAAGUUCGGAGGCGGAGUAUUAAAGAUCACGAAGAAUCCAAGACUUUCGAAGAUCGGCAAAGGCACGCAAACACGUAAAACAUGAAUUCACCAUGCUUAGGUAAAACCUUUUAAAUCAUGUUUAUUGGUGAUUCAUACUUAAUAUAGAUUUUAGAAUGCAUGUUUCAAGUUGUAAUUGAUUAGAAAGUUUCUAAAGAGCUUGUAAAACACGAAAUAAAUGCAUUUUCAGCAAAAAUUGCAUUGUUGUACGGUACAAGAAUUUUCUGUCCAGGGUAACAAGCCAUCCAACGUUUUGCCAGAAACAGUUUGAUGGUUGUUUCCGUAACAACCAUCACGGCUGUCCAGGGUAGCAGCCCUGUUCGCGAACAAAAAGCAGUCCUGUCCAGGGUUACAGAAGCUUCGUAAGAACAAAAUCUUCCGUCAUGGCUUUGUACCCUGGAUCAGCUUUCCUUGUUCCGAUGGCAAGGCUGGAAUUUUGGAAAAAACUUUCUAAUCCUACUCUGUUGAUUCUAAAAAGUCUAUAAAUAAGCUAUCAGGGGUUCUCUAUACUGAUUAACUUCACGAAAAUACGAUAUUGGAGAAACCUACGAGGCUCGAUUUCAUCUAAAAAAACGCUAUUUUCUACAAAAAGCUGCUUUAGAUCAAAUGCGAGAUAUUGAAAUUUGAUAUUAAUAUGUCGAUUUGAUCUCCGCUUAGCCUGGAGUUCUAUUCGUGGUUUUCUACGAUACUCCAAAAGCGAGGAUGCCCAAUAUUCAUUGAUAUCUUCAUGGUGGCGGUCGGUGGAUUCGGCGUAUUCUGACGCGGAUUCGUGGAUUCGGAUCGUGGCUUCGUGGAUUCGAGUGGUGUCGGGAUUCGGCGUGAUUGAAGCUUUCGUGGAUUCGAAGUGUGAGGCGUUCGUGAUUCGACGUGAGGGCGCUGGACAACCCGGAGGUAGGCGAAGAUUAUCGGAGUUAAGAGAGGUAGAGUCCGUGGAGUUCGGAAUCACCUUGUAAUCUUUUCUCUUAGUGAGAUUAUUUUUCGCUGUGUUGGUCCCGUGUGGUUUUCCUCCAAAGUUGGAGUUUUCCCACGUAAAUUCUGUCUUUUUAUUUUUCAUAUUUAUUUUUUUGCAUCGAGAUUUUUGGUCUUUUGGCUUUUACACACUAUUCCCCCCUCUAGGUGUUAGAUACAUCUAUAGAUAGGAUCCUUGGGCUAACUCCAAAACUUUCACAUUCACUAUGUGAGAGGGGUUCAAAACCUUACCUCUACCAAGCUUCUUCUCCAAGCAAUGGAAGAGGAAGAUGAAGCUUUUGCUCCCUCAAGCUCCAAAUCUCCUCCUUCUCCUCCUUCUUGAUCAACUCCAAGAGAGAGAGAGAGCUCUAGAGAGAGAGAGAGAGGGUGUUCUUUUAGGGUGGGAGUGUGAGGGAGUGAGAGGAAAUGAGCCCUAGCCCCUCUAAUCAACUCCUCAUGUGGCAAAAUUGCCAAAAAGCCCCUCAACUUCAUGUUUCCUGCAUUGCCCCGCGCGGGGGCCAUUUUUGUAUAGGGGACCGGUCCCCGGACUUGAGGGACUGGUCCCCGUAGGUCCAGAUUUUCAGCAAUUAAGGACUUAGCCAAAUUUCAGCCUUUUUCGCCGUUUUAGCUCCGUUUUCGCUCAUUUUCGCUCGUUUGACCUCCGAUUCUCUUCAAAUCGAACCGAGACUCUCCAAACAUGUUCUCGAGCGUAUUUUCAUCAUCUUUUCAUCCACGCUAAUGCCGGAUUUGGCUCACAGCCCAACACGGCCCUUCGGGCUCCGUUUAGCGCCUAUGCGCACCGGAACGCCCGAAUGCUUCCGGACCUCACCGGAACCUCACCGAGACCAUUCAAACGGCUUUCCAAUCAAAUGUAUUCCGUGACUUCGUGAUUUUAGAAGUCCGGUAUGUUACAAGAUUUGUGGUGAUUAAGCUUUAGGAUCCCAUAAGCACUGAGGGUCUACCUUUUAAUCAAACAUCUACUUGAUUCUCGUAUGAGUUCUCAAGUAAAAAUGAAGAAUCAAGUCUAUUGUUGAUUGUUAGAAACUUGUUAUAAGAAUCAAACCAUAAGAACGAGAAAAACAAGUUUCUAGGGUUUAGAAUGAGUAGAAAUUCAAAGCCUCGAAUUUUUAGAUGACCCCCAUAGCUUAUUUAUAUGUUUAGAAGACUUAGAAGUAGACUAUGAUUGCAAAAAGUUCUUUUUUAAAACCUGUGUCGUCCUCAGUGACCGGUCCUCUCGAGGAGACCGGUCUGUGAGAGACCGGUCUCUCAAGUGAGGAACCAGUCCCUCACUGCGUGACCAAAAACACAACGUUCGGGAACCGGUCUCUCAAGCUUGAGAUCGGUCCCUCGCUGCGCGACAGAAUUACCAAGGUUCGGGAACCGGUCUCUCAUCUCAGGGGACCGGUUGCAUUAAAACUCACGCAGAGAGGACCUUAGGGGAACCGGUCUCUUCACCUCAGGGACCGGUCCUAGAACACAGAAAAGUUCAGUAAAAAAGUUUUAAAGCAAUCUAAGCCUUCUGACCUUAUUCUAAUUAAGUAUCUUCACCACAAAUGAUCUUUUCUCCAUACCUUAGGUGCCAAACUUUACGAAUGAAUCUUUGUUCUUCAAUUUGAAUCUUUUCUUCAAAAACUUCCGCGAUCAACUCUUCAAGACUCCAAUCAACUUUACGAAAUUCGCCAACCUAUAAAAUCCUUAACAAGGAGGCACAAGGCACAACCACCCGAAGGAUCUUCGCCGGGCACAUCCACCCGUGGUGCUUUUCUUCUCCGGAGUACACCGCUUGUGGAGGAGCGACCUCCACAAGCCGGAACCAAUACAUGUGAGUAUGAUCCCAUCCUCAAUUUGAUGAGGUAUGGCCAACCUGUCACAAUUCUCACAGUCUCAAUGCCGAUGAAUGGUUAAUACCUAUUCAUGCACAUACUAUCAUUUGCCAACGUCAUAAUGGUCCUGAUGCCACAAUACACAUAACGUCUCUCGGUUAAACCUUGUUUAACUAUUCUCUUUUCGAUGUCAAUCGAGUCACUAAUGUCAAUGUCGCCUUUGUUUACUACGGUCAUAGUCAUUUCUCACAGUCACAUGCAUAUAUGGUCAUUCAUUUUCUUUGUUCACAUGGUUCUAUAUCAUUACAAUAAUCUUGAGCAGAUAAUUGUUACAACCAACAUAUGCCAUUCAUUAUCCUACAUGCAAGAAUGCUAUAAUACCAACAUGCUCAAAGAAGGGACAUAGACAUAGAAAGAGAUCCGGCGUUUCCGGAUAGCACCCCCCACCUUUAUGUGCCACAAGGAUGCCGUGGUCCAGAUUUCACGAUUUUUAGACUUGUUCGCCGCGAGCUACGUCGAUCUGUACUAUUUCAGCUUGUUUUCUUAAUAUCCUUGCGCAUGCUCGUCGUAUCGCCGAACCGAGCGCACCGACACGUUCAUAGACCUACCAAUUAGGUUAAGAUGAGAUCAAACCCAAGUUCGAACCCCAAAAUUACAAAACCCUAAAUAUAGGUCCCUUAACAACAUCAUCUUCCCCAACUUAGGUCCUUACUCAUAAGAAACUUAGGGAAAAUAUUCUAAUCCAUCUCCUAGAAGUAUACUAGAAGGAAAAACCCAAACCCUAGUUCAAAACCUAUAAGAACUCACCUUUGGAGUUCAAAACUUUCCUUCAAAAGCCUUGCCUAGCUUGCUCUUCACCUUGGAGAGCUUCUUCUCCAAGCUUGCUCCUCCAAAUCCCCUCUUGGUCCAAGCCCUAGAGAGAGAGGGAGAGAGAAAGGAAAGGUUUUUAGAGAGAGAAAGAGGAAAAGGUGUUGGUGUAGGAGUGAGAGCAAAUGAGCUCUCACUCAUGCCCUAGCCCAUAUAACCCUUCACAUGUCACUUUUACACUUAAACCCCUCAACUUUUAAUUUUUGCAAUCAGCCCUUACUGGGCAAUUUCGGGCUCGGGGACCGGUCUCUCCCCUUCAGGGACCGGUUCCCGAGAGCUGCCCUGCACUCUGCGUAGAAGGGGACCGGUCUCCCCCCGGCACAGUGCGGUCUCCCGGGACCGGUCUCCCGCCGAAGGACCGGUUCCCGAGAGCUCAGCUUCUAGGACUUAGCCGAUUUUUUCAUUCUGCUUGGCUGAUCAACGUUCAGGAACCGGUCUCUCACCCAAGGGACCGGUCCCCGAGAGUAAAAUUUCUGGAACUUUUCCAAAAAUGCAGUUUCACUCUCUCAGGUCCCUUUAUACUCUAUAUAUAGGCUCCAAUGCACUUCAAGCCCAUAGUAACUCAUUCCCUUCCGCAUUCCGCUCAUUUUGACGGAACUCGGCACAACCUACGGGGGAGUGAUACGUUACAUUCCCCACACCUUUAAAAUUGUUUCGGCUGCGAAACUAACUCAUUCGUAAUCCAAAAUCCAUACCUCAUUUUAGUUCCUCGAAGAGAUAAGGAUGACGCUCUUUCAUCGCAUCCUCAAGCUCCCACGUUUCUUCCCGGACGCCGUGUUUGCUCCAAUGGAUCUUAACAUACGGAAUUUCUCGGUUCCGUAGCUUUCGCACUUCCCGAUCAACAAUGUAUGCCGGGAACUCCUCGUAAGUCAUGUCCUCUUGAAGCUCUAUCGGUAUAUACGAGAGAACAUGCUCCGGAUCAUGAACAUACUUGCGGAGAUUAGAUACAUGAAACACAUCGUGCACCCCCGCAAGCCUCGGCGGUGAUGCUACUCUGUAGGCCACCGCGCCAACCCUUUCCAAGAUCUCAAAGCGUCCGACAAAUCGGGGACUUAACUUUCCCCGAAUACCAAACCUCUUAACACCGCGCAUCGGCGAUACCUUUAAAAACACGCGGUCUCCAACUGCGAACUCAAUAUCUUUUCUUCGCUUAUCGGCAUAACUCUUGUACCUUGACUGCGCCGUCGCUAAUCUUUGCCGGGUGAGACGAACUUUUUCUUCCGCCUCCCGAACAACUUCUGGGCCAAGAACAACUUUCUCUCCCACCUCGCUCCAAUGAAUUGGUAAGCGACACUUCCUUCCAUAAAGGGCUUCGAAUGGCGCCAUUGCAAUACUUUCUUGGUAGCUAUUGUUGUAUGCAAACUCCGCCAUCGCUAAGUAAUCGUGCCACCCUCCACGGUAGUCAAGCACACAUGCUCGCAACAUGUCCUCGAGUAUCUGAAUUGUCCUCUUAGAUUGUCCAUCACUCUGAGGAUGAAACGCCGUACUAAAAUCGAGCCGCGUGCCUAAAGCAUUCUGCAAGCUCCUCCAGAAAUGAGAAGUGAACCGAGGGUCUCGAUCUGAUACAAUCGACAGGGGAACCCCAUGCAGUCUCACUAUCUCGUCCAAAUAAACCUGGGCUAACCUAUCUCCUGACCACGUGGUGUGGAUCGGCAAAAAGUGAGCCGAUUUCGUUAAAUGGUCCACAACCACCCAUAUGGCGUCAUGUCCAGCUUGCAAUCGGGGCAACCCGACCACAAAGUCCAUCGCGACAUUCUCCCACUUCCACACACGGACCGGUAAGCUCUGCAAUUUCCCCGCGAAAAAAUGACGCUCAGCUUUUACUUGUUGGCACGUUAAGCAUUGCGCCACGAACGCUCUGAUGUCCUUCUUCAUACCCGGCCACCAAUAAUGCAACUUUAGAUCCCUAUACAUCUUAGUGCCACCCGGAUGAAUACUAUACGGGGAAUGAUGCGCCUCUUGCAACACCAUCUUAUGAAUCUCGUCUUCCUUGGGUACGCACAGUCGGUUUCUGAACCGAAGUACACCGUCAGUUCCCACGCUGAAAUCACCAGAGCGCCCGUCACUAACAUCAUUCCGCACCUUUUGGAGAUACGGAUCAUCAACUUGCCGCUCCUUAAUUUGCUCCAACAAGAUCGGUCGAACUACUAGUGCCGCCAAGAUAAUCGAAACUUCUGGCGCCACUACCUCCAAUCCAAACCGUUGCAUUUCCUUAUACAAUGCCGGUUGACUAGUAAUCGCCGUCGCCAAGUUCUCAACCGAUUUCCUACUCAGCGCAUAGGCCACCACGUUGGCUUUACCGGGGUGGUACAGGAUAGUAAGAUCAUAAUCUUUUAUCAACUCCAGCCAACGCCGCUGCCUCAUAUUCAAUUCUUUCUGGGUGAACAAAUACUUGAGGCUUUUGUGAUCGGUAUACACCUCACAAUGCUCACCAUAAAGAUAAUGCCUCCACAGCUUCAGCGCAAAAACAACCGCCGCUAGCUCGAGAUCGUGUGUCGGGUAGUUCUUCUCAUAGCUUUUCAAUUAGCGCGAAUACGCAAUGACUCGCCCAUUUUGCAUAAGAACACACCCGAGACCGGUGUAGGAAGCAUCACUGUACACCACGAAGCUCUCUCCCGGCGUUGGCAACGCAAGUACCGGGUUGACGUCAAUUUCCCCUUCAACUCUUGGAAGCUUCGGUUGCAAACUUCGCUCCAAUCAAACCUUACUCCUUUGUGCGUAAGGCGUGUGAGAGGAGUAGUCAAUUUCGCAAACCCCUCAACAAAACGCCGAUAAUAGCCCGCCAAUCCAAGAAAACUGCGGACUUCUGCCACACUUGUAGGACGGGGCCAAUCUCGAAUCGCCUCAAUUUUCUUCGGGUCUACCGAGAUUCCACUCCCGGAUAUGACAUGGCCUAAGAAGGUCACCUCCGAAAGCCAAAAUUCGCACUUCUUGAGUUUAGCGUAAAGCUUCUCGUCACGGAGAUCUGCAACACAGUCUCAAAUGUUCCUCGUGCUCUUCUUCACUCCGCGAAUACACCAACACGUCGUCGAUAAACACCACAACGCACUUAUCCAAUAACGGUCGAAAGACCCUAUUCAUCAAGUCUAUAAACGCUGCCGGGGCAUUGGUAAGCCCAAACGGCAUCACCGUAAACUCGUAGUGGCCAUACCGCGUACGGUACGCCGUUUUGUGCACGUCCUUCGGUCGGAUUUUUAACUGGUGAUAUCCCGACUGAAGAUCUAUCUUCGAGUAUACUCGCGACCCUUGCAACUGAUCGAAUAGGUCGUCUAUUCUCGGCAAUGGACACUUGUUCUUGAUCGUCACCUUGUUCAACUCGCGAUAAUCAACGCAAAGUCGAAGGGUGUCGUCCUUCUUCUUCACAAACAACACUGGUGCUCCCCAUGGGGACACACUUGGUUUCAUGAAGCCCUUAUCGAGCAAGUCCUGCAACUGGGCCUUCAACUCUUUAAGCUCCACCGGCGCCAUCCUAUACGGAGCCUUUGAAACUAGCGGCGCCGCACCGGGAAUCAAGUCGAUAACGAACUCAACUUCUCGAUCCGGUGGCAACCCCGGUAACUCCGCCGGAAAUACGUCCGGAUAUUCACACACCACCCGAAUGUCCCCCAACUCCGGGUACUCCUUUUGAGGGUCCACGAUGGUCGCCAAAUAAGCUUUGCAACCACCCUUGAUCAUCUUUUUCGCCCUCACCGUCGAUAUAGUCGCCGCAAAGCGCGUGCCUUUACAUGCCCGAUACACAAACUCUUCUUGACCAGGCUCACGAAAAGUGAUCACCCUACUGUCGCAGUCGAUGCUGGCAUAGUACUUGGAGAGCCAAUUAACUCCCAAGAUGACAUCAAACCCCCACAACUGUUUCAACACUAACAGGUCGAUCGGCAUAAUCCAAUCGCCUACCUGUACCGGACAGUCCAAACACUCGUCAUGCACAUAAAACAUAAGUCCAGGUGCAGUCACCGUCCAACAAUCCUCAUAAUACGUGACCUCUAUGCCUUGCGCUAGUGCAAAUGAUGCCAAAAUAAACGAUUACGAUGCUCCAGUAUCGAAUAUGGCUCUAGUUCUACUGCCUCUGAUAAGGAUAAUACCUGCCACGACAUCGUCGGGUACAGCAGGCUGCUCCUCCACCUGAGUGGCGAAAACCCGUCCACUCGGUGCACGCGAUCCCUCCGGCUGUCGCGGUGAUGAAGCACGCCCAACCGACAUGGCAGGUGGCAGUCCUGGGAGCUGUCGUGGAGCAUACUGAGCCGAAGCAGCUGACGGAGCAGGUGACGCGUCGCCCGAGCAAUCCCAUCUCAUGUGUCCCGCUUGGCCGCAUCGGAAACACCUCCCGUCAAGCUGAGAACAUUCACUCGGCCUAUGAUGCAAAUUACGCAUGGAGAGGUACUCAUCUGGCUCCUUGUCUGGCUCUUAUCUCGUCGCCAUUGCGAUCUAGGGUGCCGAGGGGGUCGCUUGGAACUCGACUGCCCCGUGGAACCACCAGCCGGUCGCUUCUUAGACUUCUCUCUGUCCUUGUCCCUUUCAAACGCCUCGCAUUCCUCGCGCGCAAUGGCAUUACCGCGCUCUAUCCAUAGCGCACGAUCGAGCACCUCUUCAUAGGUCUUCAGCCGAAGCGCCUGAACAGUCUUGAAUAUCUCCGGCCGCAACCCGCGCUCGAAGACUUCCGCCCGAUCCCGGUCACCAUGAAUCAAGCCGGGAACACAAUUAACCAUGUGCGAGAACUCCCUUUUAUACUCCCGCACCAUUCGACUUCCUUGCCUUAACUUGCGAAAGUCCUCCUUGAUCUUCCGCUUGUCACUUUUCGGAAAGUACUCCAUUAGUAGAAUCUCCCGGAACGCCUCCCAAGUCAUGGUAGCCGGAUACAAGGACCGACCACUCUACACUCCCAUCCACCACGAUCGAGCCGGCCCCUCUAAACAGUGAUCCGCCAAACGAACCUUGUCCUUCUCGAGGGUGUAUAUAUCCUCGAACAACGCCUCCAUCGCGAAAAGCCACGCCUCCAUCAACCAUGAGUCUUUCACAUAACCCAAAAAGGUCGGAGGAUUAAACCGUUUGAAGGCCAUCAAUACCGCCAACGAUCGCUCCUGCUCGGCCUCGAGUACCUCCGGGAUAGGAACCGAAGAACCUGAAGCCACCGGAGGAAUAGCCGUCACCGGUGCUGCCGCCACCGGCGUAGGUACUACAGGUGCGGGCGGGUCCUGAGGUACAGGUGCAGCCGCCGCCGCCUGUCGAGCCACCAAGUCGUGGAGCCAUCCUAUCUGCUCCCCUUGCUGUCGCAUAGCCCCAGUCAGAGUUGCUACUUGGGCCCGCAACUCUCGAACUUCAUCGGUUACAACCUGCUCUGGCACCUCGUCAGGUAAUGCCGGAGUGGCCCGACGCGUAUAUCGUCUCGGUGACAUCUGUCCUGAAAUGAAACACACGCAUUAAUACGCGACAUCCGAGACUCUUACUCGUUCCAAACAACUACCCAAUCAAGCGAAAGCAAUCAAGCACGUUCAUUUUCUACUCUCGGCAUUAUGUAGUCGUCCGCCCCACAUAAUACCUUAAAAGAAAACAAACGUUUCCUUGAAUCCAUAUCUAUUUCCGUUUAGAGAAGUUCUACUCAUAACCCAAUCAAUUUGCUUUCGCAUCUCUAGGUCCACGUCAUACGUGUCCUAAUUCCUAAGGUCUCCAAUCCUAAGGUCCCUAAGUCCAUCAUAGACUUUUGCUUCCACAACGCUUUGAUACCACCAUAUCUGUCACGCCCCGAGCUCCGCCAAUUUGGUCGGAUUCGAGCACACGACAGACGCCGAACGGACAGUACCUCUCCUGUCCGCCCAAGGCUCCAACAACAAGUAUAUUACAAGCAAAUCAACAAGGAGAAUUACGAGAUAUACAGGGUUUGCACGAGGGCAAAUGACAAUCACAAGUGAAAGCAUCGAAACUAACUAAACAUCCAAUAUACAUGUCAUUUGAUUUCAUUUGAAUCAAACACAAGCAGUCUAUUACAUUCAUUUACAUCAUUUUUCACAUUACUAUUUCAACAUACAAAAGUUCAGUACACCGAGUGUAGGGUAUGCCUAUAUAACUCCGAGGCCGCUAUCUACGGCGCGAUUCCCUUGCCUCGAUCCUCCGCCACCCCGCUCGCGUACGGAUCUGCAGGGUUAGUGGUAAUGAGAACUAGAACGAAGUUCCCAGUGGGUUCGGCUGCCGACCACGCCAAUUCGCCCACUAGGUCUAAUUCAGGCAUAUGUAUUUCAAUAAAGAAGAAUAACAAACCAACUAAUGCACUUCUAAUACAAUGCCUGCAAGAAAGUAAUCCACAGAUAGAUAUUCAUAUUCAAAUACAUGAAGUUUAUGCAUGCAUGUUCCUUUCACAUUCCUUUGGCCUUUACCCAAUCAACCUGGGGUGCUCCUGGUUUACCCCAACUCACAGUCCACAUAUCCCGUCUAACGGGGGAGGCACAAGGCACAACCACCUGAAGGAUCUUCGCCGGGCACGUCCACCCGUGGUGCUUUUCUUCUCCGGAGUACACCGCUUGUGGAGGAGCGACCUUCACAAGCCGGAACCAAUACAUGUGAGUAUGAUCCCAUCCUCAAUUUGAGGAGGUAUGGCCAACCUGUCACAAUUCUCACUGUCUCAAUGCCAAUGAAUGGUUAAUACCUAUUCAUGCACAUACUAUCAUUUGCCAACGUCAUAAUGGUCCUGAUGCCACAAUACACAAAACGUCACUCGGUUAAACCUUGUUUAACUAUUCUCUUUUCGAUGUCAAUCGAGUCACUAAUGUCAAUAUCGCCUUUGUUUACUGUGGUCAUAGUCAUUUCUCAUAGUCACAUGCAUAUAGGGUCAUUCAUUUUCUUUGUUCACAUGGUUUCUAUAUCAUUACAAUAAUCUUGAGCAGAUAAUUGUUACAACCAACAUAUGCCAUUCAUUACCCUACAUGCAAGAAUGCUAUAAUACCAACAUGCUCAAAGAAGGGACAGACAUAGAAAGAGAUCCGGCGUUUUCGGAUAGCACCCCCCACAUUUAUGUGCCACAAGGAUGCCGUGGUCAAGAUUUCACGAUUUUUAGAUUUGUUCGCCGCGAGCUACGUCGAUCUGUAUUACUUCAGCUUGUUUUCUUAAUAUCCUCGUGCACGCUCGUCGUAUCGCCAAACCGAACGCACCGACGCGUUCGUAGACCUACCAAUUAGGUUAAGAUGAGAUCAAACCCAAGUUCGAACCCCAAAAUUACAAAACCCUAAAUAUAGGUCCCUUAACAACAUCAUCUUCCCCAACUUAGGUCCUUACUCAUGAGAAACUUGAGGAAAAUAUUCUAAUCCAUCUCCUAGAAGUAUACUAGAAGGAAAAACCCAAACCCUAGUUCAAAACCUAUAAGAACUCACCUUUGGAGUUCAAAACUUUCCUUCAAAAGCCUUGCCUAGCUUGCUCUUCACCUUGGAGAGCUUCUUCUCCAAGCUUGCUCCUCCAAAUCCCCUCUUGGUCCAAGCCCUAGAGAGAGGGGAAGAGAGAAAGGAGAGGUUUUUAGAGAGAGAGAGAGAGAGGAAAAGGUGUUGGUGUAGGAGUGAGAGCAAAUGAGCUCUCACUCAUGCCCUAGCCCAUAUAACCUUUCACAUGUCACUUUUACACUUAAACCCCUCAACUUUUAAUUUUUGCAAUCAACCCUUACUGGGCAAUUUCGGGCUCGGGGACCGGUCUCUCCCCUUCAAGGACCGGUUCCCGAGAACUGCCCUGCACUCUGCGUAGAAGGGGACCGGUCUCCCCCGGCGCAACCGGUCUCCCGGGACCGGUCUCCCGCCGAAGGACCGGUUCCCGAGAGCUCAGCUUCCAGGACUUAGCCGAUUUUUUCAUUCUGCUCAGCUGAUCAACGUUCGGGAACCGAUCUCUCACCCAAGGGACCGGUCCCCGAGAGUAAAAUUUCUGGAACUUUUCCAGAAAUGCAGUUUCACUCUCUCAGGUCCCUUUAUACUCUACAUAUAGGCUCCAAUGCACUUCAAGCCUAUAGUAACUCAUUCCCUUCCGCAUUCCGCUCAUUUUGACGGAACUCGGCACAACCUACGGGGGAAUGAUACAUUACAAAUGAUUUUGAGAAGCACCAGCCACCUCGUAGGCUUGCUAAGGUGCUCAGGUUCAAAUUUCACGAUUUUUGGCCGCCUAUUUCCUUGCCUGCGGCAAAACGAAGCCAAAUUAGGCUUUUCGCUCAUAACUUUGCAUAGACUCUUCGUAACGUCAAACCAAGCGCACCAACGCGUCGGAAACACCCUCAAUUAUAGGUUUCUACACGAUCAAUUUUGAUCAAAACCCCUCCAAUGCAAAAGCCCCAAUUUGGUGCCCUAGCUUCACAUAUGCAUCAAACCCUUGGUUUGAUCUCUUCCACAAGCAAAAACAAGCUUGUUAACAUCUAAAAACCCCAACAAAACCAUUCUUAGAUCAUUCUAAACCCUACUUAGGGUUCUACCAUGAGAGAGGGCAAGAAACUUACCUCUAAGCUUUCCUUUUCUUGCACCAAUGGGAAUAAAGAAGAUGGUGAUUCACUCCUUAGCCUCCUUCUCCACCAAAUCCACCUUCUUCUUCUCCUUCUCCUUCUCCUUCUAGAGAGAGAGAGAGAUAUGAGAAGGUGUGUGAGGGAGAAAAAUGAGAGAAAUAUCUCAUUUGCCCUAUUACAUAACCCACAUGAUGCAUAAUUGUAUUUAAACCCCUCAACUUUGCAUUUUGUGCAAUGCCUGGACUGGGCAUUUUCAGGCACAGGGACUGGUCUCUCUAGCAGAGACCGGUCCUCGAGAGCUUAACUCCAGGGACUUAGCCAAUUUUUCCCAAUUUUGGGACUUUACGCGCACGGGGACCGGUCCUCCCCUCAGGGACUGGACCUUCAGAGACCGGACCUUCCUCAAGAGACUGGUUCCCGAGAGCUCUCUUUUCUGUCUACGCGCACGGGGACCGGUCUCUCCCGCCAGGGACUGGUCCCCGAGAGCUAGUUUUUCAAUACUUAGCCAUUUCACCAUUUUUACACCUACGGGGACCAGUCUCUCUCACCAGGGACCAGUCCCCGAGAGCUCAAAAGCUGCAGUUUGCAGAUUUUUUAUUUCCUAGCUCUCGAAGAUCCCCUAUAAUGCACUUUUGGUCUUUUUGACGCCUUCGGCCAUUCCGAAGCAUACCAACCUCGCACUUUGGUCAUUUUGACUAAAGUUCGACAUUCGUUUACCGAGAUUUCGGUAUAUGGUGAGCAUUGUGAGAUCUGCACCGAUCAUAAGAGUCUCAAAUACUUGUUCACCCAGAAUGAAUUAAAUUUGCGACAGCGGCGGUGAUUGGAGUUGCUAAAAGAUUAUGAUGCCACGAUUCUCUACCACCCCGGGAAAGCAAAUGUUGUGGCCGAUGCUCUAAGUAGAAAGUCGGCGGAAAAUUUGGCGAUGGCAAUUACACCCCAACCGGCAUUGCAAAAAGAGAUGCAACAGCUUGGUCUUGAGGUUGUGGCGCCGGGAGUGUCGGCAACACUUGCCACGUUGGUUGUACAACCGACCUUGUUGGAGAGGAUUAAAGAAUUGCAAGUUUUCGAUUUAUUUCUCCAAAAGGUGCGGGGUAAAGUUGAGAGCGGUAGUGCCAAUGAUUUUGGCAUUGGGACCGAUGGCGCACUACGAUAUCAGAAUCGUUGGUGUGUGCCCAAGGACGAUGAUCUUCGGAGGGCGAUUAUGCAAGAAGCGCAUCAAUCUCCCUAUAGCAUUCACCCGAGCGGCACUAAAAUGUAUCAAGACUUGAAGCUACAUUAUUGGUGGCCGGGCAUGAAAAAGGACAUAGGAGAGUUCGUAACACAAUGUCUCACGUGCCAACAAGUAAAGGUGGAACGGCGGUUUCCGGCGGGGAAGUUGCAAAGUCUAUCAAUACCCGUGUGGAAGUGGAAAAAUAUCGCUAUGGACUUUGUGAUGGGUUUGCCUAGAUCUCAAGGCGGACAUGACGCGGUUUGGGUAGUAGUGGACCGGUUGACAAAAUCGGCACACUUUUUGCCAAUCCACACUACUUGGUCGGGAGACAAGUUAGCUCAAGUCUAUCUCGACGAGAUUAUGAGACUCCACGGGAUUCCGGUAUCCAUUGUAUCGGAUCGGGAUCUGCGGUUCACAUCACAUUUUUGGAAGGGUUUGCAAGACACAUUGGGCACACGGCUCGACUUUAGUACGGCAUUCCAUCCUCAAAGUGACGGUUAAUCUGAGAGGACUAUUCAAAUACUUGAGGAUAUGCUUCGAGCGUGUGUACUCGACUACAAGGGCGGAUGGCACGAUCACUUACCAAUGGCGAAAUUCGCAUACAACAAUAGCUACCAAGAAAGUAUUGCAAUGGCGCUAUUCGAGGCCCUUUAUGGGAAGAAAUGUCGCUCGCCGAUUCAUUGGAGCGAUGUGGGCGAGAGAGUUGCUCUUGGCCCCGAUGUGGUUCGGGAGGCCGAGGAGAAAGUUCGUCUUGCCCGACAAAGAUUAGGAACGUCGCAAUCGAGGCACAAAAGUUAUGCCGACAAGCGAAGGAAAGACAUCGAGUUCGCUGUUAGAGACCGCGUGUUUCUAAAGGUAUCACCGAUGCGCGGUGUUAAGAGAUUCGGUGUCUGGGGGAAGCUAAGUCCCCGAUUUGUCGCACCCUUUGAGAUCUUAGAAAGGGUUGGUGCGGUGGCUUACAAAGUAGCAUUACCACCGAGGCUUGUGGGGGUGCACGACGUGUUUCAUGUAUCCAAUCUCCGCAAGUAUGUCCAUGAUCCGGAGCAUAUUCUCUCAUAUAUACCGAUAGAGCUUCAAGAGGAUAUGACUUAUGAGGAGUUCUCGGCAUACAUUGUUGAUCGGGAGGUGCGAAAACUACGAAACCGUGAAAUUCCGUAUGUUAAAGUUCAUUGGAGUGAACACGACAAUCGGGAAGAAACUUGGGAGCUUGAGGACGUGAUGAGAGAGCGUCAUCCUCAUCUCUUCAACGAGCUAAAGUGAGGUAUGAAUUUUAGAUUGCAAUUGUAAGGUACUGGACUUCUAAAAUUAUGAAGUUACGGUGUACAUUUGGUUGGUGAGCCAUCGGAAUGGUUCUGGUGAAGUUCCGAUGAAGUUUGGGAGCAUUCGGGCGUUUUUGGAGCGCAUAGGCUCAAAAAGGGACCCGAAAGGCUAUGUUGGGCCGUGAGCUAAAAACGGCAUUAGCGCGGAUGAAAAGAUGAUGAAAAUACACUCGAAAACAUGUUUGGAGAGUCUCGGUUCGAUUUGAAAAGAAUCGGAGGUCAAACGAGCGAAAACGGAGAAGAAACGGUGAAAAAGCUGAAAAUUUGGCUAAGUCCUGGAAUGCUGUUUUUCUGGACCUACGGGGACGGGUCCCUCAGCCAGGGACCGGUCCUUCAGGGUCCGGUCUUUAUAGCCAAGGACCGGUCCCCGUACGCGAGAAUGCCCAAAAUGGGCUGUGCACAAAGAGGCAUUGUUGAGGGAGUUUCUUGCAUUUGUUGCAUGAGUGGGGCUAUUUGAGGGUGAAAUGAGGUCUCCUCUCUCAUUUCCCUCAACCCUAAACACCAAAGCAUCUCCCUCUCUCUCUCUAAACUUUCUCUCUCUCUAGAAGGUGUUGGAGGAGAGGAUUUUGGUGGAGAUCAAGGUCAAGAGAAGGAAUUUCUUCUUCUUCUUCUCCUUCCUUGGCUAGUAGCACACUUGGAGAGGUAAGCUUCUAAGCUCAAUCAUGGUGAAUCUUUAGGGUUAGAUUCUUAUACUAUAAAGAUGGUUUUAGAUGAACCCUAGGAUGUUAAAUAGGUGUUAAUUGCAUGAUUCAAGACCUUGUUUGAGGUAUUCUUGCAUUGUUGAACACCUAGGGCUCCAAAGGGUUUCGUAAAUAGUUAGGUUUGAUCUUAAUUGACCCUCCGUAAACCUAAUUGUUAGGUAUUCUGACGCAUUGGCGAAGUCGGUUCAGCAAUCCGUCGAGUCUAUACAAAGAUAUGGAAGAAAAGGCUUGUUGAGGUACUAUAACACACUGGACCUUUGCAAAUAGCGAGGUUUGAGUGUUUGAAUUGUGUUCCGAGCUGUUCCACACUUUGUGGAGGGUCGUAGACAGUGUUCCGACCUAUGGUUCGAGUCCCGAGAAUUGAGGUUUAAAACUUGGUACCAAAAUCCAAAAAGUUGGAUUAUUGGUGUGCUCUCGUGUAGCCUUCAGCAGGCUGUGUACCGAUACAGGGUUGAUGGUUGUACCGGUACGGGGUGAUGGUUGUACCGGUACGCGGGGCCGUGUACCGGUACGCAAGCAGCUUCUCAACCAACCCGAGGCUCGGGUUUGGCAUUUUCGUGGGAUGUGUACCGGUACGGGACCCCGUGUACCGGUACGCAGUGCAGUACGCAGACUUCUUGAACUGUAGGGGUGUUUUUGCUAUUAUAGCAACACUAUAUGUGUACCCACACCCCUUAGGGCUCUCUUUGAGCCUUGCACCAGUAGAGAAUAGGUAGGGGAGCCUCUCUCUUCCCCUCUUUGGAUUUGAUCUCCUUUUAGCUUGGAUUUUGGUGGAUUGAUCUCUCCUUUUUCCCUCUUUGUGCAUCUCUACCAUGGUUGAAGCUUGGAGCUUGGACUUGAGGCUUGUUUGAGGGAAGAUUCUUGGACCUUGAGGACUUUGAGCUUGGUUUGAAGCUUCUUAGAGGUUUGUAGCUUAUCUACUCCCUCUAGAUUUUGAUUUUGAUGCUUUAUGGUAGAUGAAACCCUAGAAAUGAGAUUUAGGAGUAUUUUUGGGGCUUUUUGAUUAGAUGCUUUUAGAACUCUCUUGAUGGCUUUAGAACCUUGGAAUAGGUUGCUUUGGAAGGGAUUUGGCUUCCAUUUGGGGUUUGUGAGAGGAUUUCUACCUCAUAGGUGAGUUUUCUCCACCUUAGCCUAUGUGGUUUUAUGAUUGAGUUUAGGGUUAAUCGUAAGGUUUGUUUAACUCUUGUCCCUACAUCUUUAGGGUGCUAGGAGAUUAGUGGACACCUUCGUCGGAGCAAACGAAGGAGCGCAAGAGUUGUGGUGGGUUUGACUUCAUGAAAACGGGGCAAAAUGGCCCCCAUGCUUUCUAUACUUGUCGUAACGUCAUUUUAAAUGCAAAUCAAUGCUAAAUGGAAUUUAUGUGGAUUUUAGAACAAUUAAAAUGCAUGUGUUGUGUAUAAGCUAAUUUUCACUCUAUAUAGUAGAGCAUUCUGGUAUUAUUACAUGCAUGUGAGUAGUGUUCGCACUAGCCGUUUGGAAACAUGUUCCAUAUGUUAAAGUAACUCAAUUAUGCAAUUAUGAACAAUUGGUUUAAGCUUGGACUUAGUGAAAGAAAGUGUCAUAAAGAGGCACUUGGUCUAGCAAACUAUGAGACUAUUGCAUUAAGACUUAGUGAUAGGCCAUUGACAUCUUCUAUUUUUCAUGUUGUAGACAUGAUGAUAUAAAGAUAAGAUAUGUGACAUAUAUUCCAUAUUUUUAGACAUGAGGACUUGGUACUUGAGACAGAUCUUUCGCUUGCUUGCCAUUGUGCUCAUUCGCACAUGCUUGUGAGGGUCGCUCCCUACAAGCCGGCACUCCGGAGAUAGCCAUCGCGACAUAUGCUCGCUCGUGCGGGAUUGGGCACAAAAAUGGAAUGCCGUGGGGAAGGCUCAUUCCUAGAGUGGGGAUGUUGACUACCACGGGGCCAUUAGGCACGGCGCAGGCCAGACAGCCUACGGGUGGGUCUUACAUGAUUAGAACUUAGUGACAGAACAUGCCAUUUGGACUUUGACUAGAAUAGUAAACAAUGACAUUUUACUAUCUACAUUGUGGACACUCUGCUGAUUGCGUAUACAUGCUUAUACAUGCUAGUCAUACUCAUGUACAUACUUGUUGUAGUUGUUUUAUUAUUUAUGCAAUUCAUGCUAAGUAGAGAUAUCAUGAUAGAGUAGUACUCAUGGUUACAUACUUGUUCUUUAUUUAGCUUUUGUGUAUACUCGUACUUACCCUCUUUUGUUCAGUUUUGGGCCUAGUGGCGCAUUUCACUGAAGUCAAUAAUUGCCCACUGGAAACUAUUUUUAAUAAUUCUCACGCCCCCGUUUCUGUGGUUUCUUUACAGAGCCUUCGACACCGGCGGAGGCACGGGACCGCGGCAAGGGAGUCGCAUAGCUAGCUAGUGGAGAGCUCGCUUUACACCUAGGUGGUUUACUCUUUCUUUUGCUAUAGGAGAGAGAGAGAGAGAUUUUGUAUCAUGUAUAGAGACCACCUAUGUACUUUGUUUAGCUUAUUGUACUUGGGAUUCCUAUUAUACUACCUUUUUUUUUGUAGUGGAUUUUAGCUUUAUGGUUCUUUUCCUCUAUUGUAGCAUCUAGUUAUACUUUGCUCUGAUACUCCUAGAUGUUCUCUUUCUACUGUUUCAUUUCUCACUUUGUUUGGACGCCUCGUAUGGUUUAGACAUAUAGCGGGUCUGGGCACGUGCCGGGCGGGCUUCCGCCGGGUCUCGGUGCGUGAUAGAUUAAUUUGGUAUCAGAGCCUAGGGUUGAGUCUUAGGGGACCUAGUAAACCUUAGGCCGGUUGGACUAGAGGAAAUAGGCUCGUGAGAGACGAGAUCUAUUUGACUUGUGAGCGAAAGUAUCAUGAUUGGGUACCUUGAUAACUCUAAAAAGUUAGAGUUGAAUCGAAGUGUAUGGCUUCUAACUUCGCGGAGGGUUACGUUGGCGGCCGACAACGUAACUUCAGGAGUUAGUAGUGAAGGACACUUCUUUACUUUCGCAUGAUUUGGGUAUUAUCUUUUGAGCGGGGAUGCGGUAGCGUGAGUUUUACUAACUUGCGCUUUUAUGAUGUUGUAGUGCGAUGCCGAUUACACGUUCUCAAUCUGCCGAAGCGGAUAAUGCGGCAAACCUGGAGGAGGUCGAGACCUCCGCUACCUCCGGAGCGGGUGAGGUCCGUAAGCUGAGGAGCCAGCUUGCGGCUCUUACUGAUUUGGUGACGUAGCAGGCGGGGGUGGCCCGACAGCAAGCCGACACAGCACGCCGACAGGAGGCGCGGAUGAAGCGCCUGGAGGACCUACUGUUGCAGCAGGCGGCGACCAGAGAGGCUCAGGUCCCCACACCACCUGCGCCUGUGGAUGUGGUUGCACCAAGGAUGCCGUCCCCUGCACUCAACACUUCGCGGACGGCACCUGCGGAUGUGCCUCGGGAGGAGGUGAUUCCGGCACCACCAGCUCAGGUGCCUCUAGCGGGAGCGGCUUUUCCCGUGACGACAGUUGGAGAGGAAAAGGACAGACUGAUGGAGCGCCUCAACGAGUUCAGGAGGUGCAGUCCCGGGAUUUUCGAUGGAGAGAAGGUCGACCACUGGAUCGUGGAAAAGUGGUUGAUGCACAUGGAGAAGCUCUUCCGCGACACCUUCGUGGAGGAGAGAGACCAAGUGUGGCUCGCCACUCACCAUCUGGACGGCGAGGCCUAUCGCUGGUGGUUGGAUCUUCAGGAGAACCCUAACAUUGACUUGGCAGCUAUUACUUGGAAGAGGUUCAAGGAGCUUUUAUUGGCGCAUUACUUCCCGACCAGCGUCAAGAGGAAGAUGGAGCAGGACUUGCGCAACUUGCGCCAGGGUGACAGGACAGUAGCCGAGUACGAGCGGGAGUUUUCUCGGCUUCUACACUGCGUGCCGUUCGUCGUGCGGGACGACGAGGACAAGGCCCGCAUCUUCGAGCGAGGGUUGUGACCAUCGAUCUUCCGGUUUGUGCAAUCCUCUAACCUCCAAACCUACCGGGAGGUGGUGGAUUGCGCACUCAUCGUGGAGAGCGGCGCGGCAGAUGUCCAUGAGCGGCGUGAGGCCAUGGACCGGCGGCAAGGGAGUCGCAUAGCUAGCUGGUGGAGAACUCGCUUUACACCUAGGUGGUUUACUCUUUCUUUUGCUAUAGGAGAGAGAGAGAGAGAUUUUGUACCAUGUAUAGAGACCACCUAUGUACUUUGUUUAGCUUAUUGUACUUGGGAUUCCUAUUGUACUACCUUAUAUUUUUUUUUGUAGUGGAUUUUAGCUUUAUGGUUCUUUUCCUCUAUUGUAGCAUCUAGUUAUACUUUGCUCUAAUACUCUUUGAUGUUCUAUUUCUACUGUUUCAUUUCUCACUUUGUUUAGACGCCUCGUAUGUUUUAGACAUACGAUGGGUCUGGGCACGUGCCAGGCGGGCUUUCGCUGGGUCCCGGGGCGUGACAAGUACAGAUUGCCGCAGCUCGCGGCGAAAGCUUCCUAAAAUCACGAGAACGGAACCCUAGCCUCCUGGUAGCAUUAAAAGGUGGGGGGUGUCCAUCCCGAAGCAACUGAGCUUCUUCCUAUGUCCGAGUUAGAAUUGUUGAUCAUGUUCCAUAUAUUUGUUCUUAUGCAUUAUAGGAUAAUUGUUAUAGAAGCAUUCUUUCCUUGCUUUCCUUGCAUGCUUGCUUAGUAGUGUAGCUGGGUGGCUUGACACAUGAUUCUAAGGGGCAUGAGGAUUGGGUUGUUUGACAUGAGAUCCUAUGGUGAUAAGAAUUGGUGAACUUGAAUUUGGUAACGAGAACCAAUGAAUCAUAAAUUAGUGUAUUAGAAACACUUAGAACUUGGACGAGUGGCAUGUAAACAGUGUUGAUAACAUGACAAGUGGCAUCGGAACCUAGUUGUGGCAUAUUGCAUGAGAAUCUAGUGUAGCUGACACUUAUGGCAUGGAACAUAGGGAAUAGGUGCAUUUUCCUAGUUGUGGCAUAUUGCAUGAGAAUUUAGUGUAGUUGACACUUAUGGCAUUGAACAUAGGGAAUAGGUGCAUUUCCCUAGUUUGUGGCAUAUUACAUGAGAUGGCAUAUUGCAUAAAACUUAGUGUAAAGUGACACUUGACAUGUGAACUUAGGGAUAGGCGGAUUCCGUAGUGAUGAGUCAUUGAACAAAAACUUAGUGUAGUUAAACACUUGCAUAUGGACAUUUGGAUAGGUGGAUUCCCGAGUAACUAUUAAUCCUAGUGGUUAGGGUAUCCUCGAGUUGAGAGGAUUGGAUCAUACUCACUGUAAGGAAGUGAAUUCUCGAAAUCCGAGAGUUGUACUUCGUCCAGGAUCGACUGUUUGUCGAGAGAAUACCCUUUGGGGAAGUUAAAGAUGUCCAAAGCACAAAAAGUGCUUUGGAGUUGAGUCCAGGAAAGCAAAUGAUGCAAACUGCAUCAUUGGGCUGAUGUUACUCUCGGGGAUCGGUCUCUGGAGGUGAGAGACCGGUUCCCUUGGUUGGGUGUAGCGGGGUUGCUUGGUGCAACCGGUCCCUGGCAGGGAGGGAUCGGUUCCCAAACGUGGUCCCAGCGAGAAAUGCCAAAAUUUGGUUAAGUCCCGAAAAUCAAGCUCUCGGGGAGCGGUCUCUCAGGCGAGACCGGUUUCCCGAUGACCGGUCUCUCGGGGAGAGACCAGUUCCCGAACGCGUGCGCCCGAGGGAAGCUCUCGGGGACCGGUCCCAAGUCGGGGAAACCGGUCCCUCCGCGCGAAUUCUGCCCAAUAAGGGCAGUGUAUAGGAUUAAAAGUUGAGGGGUUUUUGUACAAAAUGGCAUUAGUUAAGGAGGGAUUAGAGCGGCUGAGCCCUCUUCCUCUCUCUCACCUUCACUCAUACUCUCUCUCACACUCUCUUCCUCUCUUGCUCUCUCUCUCUCUCUAGAAAGGAAAGGAGAAGAAGAUGAACAAGAAGGAGAGGAAGGAAAAGAAGAGGAAGGAAAUGAAGGAGAAGAAGUAGGAGAUCAAGAAAAAAGCCUUGGACACCUUCAUUGUAACAUACCAGAUUUUGGUAUAAAAAUAAAAACUAAAUAAAAAUAGUGUGGAAAACUAUUUUUAUUGGAUUUAUAGAAGUAAAACAUAAGUCAGAAGUGACUUGUGCUGAAAUCGGAAUUAAAACAGAAGAUUUAGAAUUUUCUGUUGGAAACGGGGCAGAUAAAUUAGCAGAAAAUGCACAGUCUCAGAAAAUUAUGAAAAUUGGCAGAGAUGUCAGAAAUAUUUUUAUGAGGCUAGAUUUAAGGUUUCAUAUUUUUCUGACACCCAUAGAGUGAGAAAUAAAAUCCGAAAACUAUCUGAUAAAGAUUGCAGUUCGGUACAGUUUUCAGUGACCAAACGGGGUCGAAACUGAACCAGUGAUCGUCAGCUUGUUAAGUUAAGUAAAACCGAACAUGACUGUCAAGUUUGAGCUCAAACGGACAUUCAGGGAGCUCCGGCGAAAGUUAUCAGAUUUCAAGCUGCCCGGGAGUGAAUAGUGUCGUGGGGUGUGUUAUAAAGAAGCUGAAGCUUCUUCCUCCUCCUUCAGCCGCACACACGCCACACACACACGCACACUCAUGGAGAUAGAGAGAGAAACACCUCUACCUCUCUCUAGAUAUCUCCCUCAUCUCUCUAAAUCUCUCUCUAAAAAUUGGAGGGUUGGUGGAGAAGAUGCUUGCGAACGCGUUGGAGGCGACGGAUCGGGCUUUCGUGCGACCGUUGGAGCGGUGUGUUGUCGUCGCGGCGUUCACAUUGAGGUAAGCUUUUAGGAUUUGGCUUAAUCCUUAGUUUUAAGUGUUCUAAUAGCCUCUAAUGAGCAUUCUAAACAUGUUUGCUCUAUUUAAUUUGGAUUAUUUAGAGGUUAAUUGCAUGUUAGUGCUCCGAAUGAGGUUUUGUAAAAUGUAUGGGUUUGAUCUCAUUUGACCCUCCGUAAACCAAAUUGCUAGGGAAAUGAACGCGUUGACGAAGACGGUUCGGCGAUUCGUUGAGCCGUUGCGAAGUUAUUAAAGAAAUGGACGUUUAGGCUUCGUUUCCGCCUGGAAGGCCGAGGCGACAUCGUAAAAUCAUGAAAACGGAUUUGAAGCAUCGUGGCACAUAACCGAAGACCUUUAAUUUUCGGAUCGUGAAUUGGAGGCCGUUCGGGUGGUCGCGCAAGAGAUCGGGCCAAACCGGGUGCCGGGUGCCGCGGGAGGCCGAUUGCAAGUGUCGACAAGCAAUCGGAAUGCGAAAUGAGGUGGGUUGUGCUUACCGAAGCGACUAGGUCGCCCUUUAUGUCUAAGAAAUGAGAUUUCAUAUUGAUGCAUAUUGACAUAAUAUAAGAAUGUGAAAAGAAUGCAUGUUAACAUACUAUAGAAAUGCUAGAUAAAUGCAUAUGAUUAAUGCUUUGAAUGCAUAAUAUAAAGGGCGUAUGAAUGUUAGCAUUAUAAGAACAUCAUAAAAGGAAUGUAUGAUGACAUGUUGUAGAAUAUGCUAAAUGUAAUGCAUAAUGAAUUAAGUGCUAAAAGAAUGCAUGAGAUGCUAAGUAUGGACUAUUUUGGAUAAUGACUAUAUGUAUGUUGACAAAUCAUGUGAUGCUAGUGGUAUAUGUGCAUGAUGAUAUAUUAUGAAUUUACAUAUUGUGGAUUAUGUUAAAUAGAAAAACAUACUUGAUGACAUAUUGCCAUGUUGUGGAACAUAGUGGACAAUCUAUAUAUAUAUUAGAUCGAGUGGCAUUAAACCUAGCAUCUUGAACCUAGCAAACACUUGUGGUGAUUGAUCAUAUAUAUUCUGGUGUCAUUCAUGUAUGUUAGGACCCUAUUAUUGUGUAAAUGUGAGAGUUGGACUUGAACAUUAGUAAACAAGGGUGACAAUGACAAUAGAGACAUGAUUGGCAUCAAGAAAGUGAUUGUUAAACAUAGUUUAACCAUAUUGACAUUGGUCCAAGUUGACAUAGAGAGUGGCAUGAUUAAAUAGGUAGAGACCUAUCAUGACAUUGGCAUUGUGACGAGUGGCUAUGAAUCCUCAAGUUGAGGAUUGGAUCGAUACUCACGUUACGUCUUGGCUUGAGGGAGGUAGCUCCCCCUCGGGCGGUGCGCUCCGGAGUUGGUCACCACUGGGCGUGGUAAAGUCCCACCAGUUGACGGUCCCUAGGGAGGUUCGAGUCCCCCGUUAUUAAGGGAUUUGGUUGUGAGUUAUUGGGGUUAACAUGGUUAACCGGUAAGAUUGGGUCAUAGCCAAAUGAGUGUACAACAAGUAUGCAUUAUGAGUUAUGGAUUUGGUAUCCUAGUCGAGAGGAUCUAGGGCUGAGGUGUAUGUGAGACGUCCAUCGCCUCGAGCCUGGUUCUAGUGCGGUACUCCGCAGACGAUUGACUCAAGACCGAGUCGGGUGGUUAGCCUUGUAAAGGUAGAUGAAACUUUAUGAUUAAAACGGUGAUUGACAAGAAUCUAAGAUAGAGGAAACCUUAGAUAUCGAAUGGAUGAGCUAUGGUUAGCAGAAUUGAAAGUAGUGUCAAAUGAACUACUAGUUGGUUGCAUAGUUGCAUUAUUGCAUGAUUUGCAUAUAGCAUUGCAUUAUUGCAUUCGUGAGGCAAUGCAUGGUUUUAUUCGUUGCAUAAUCAAGAUAUAUAUCUAUCUGUUUAUUGAACUAACUUGCAGUUGCCUCCCUUGGACCUAUUGGUCGAGCUUUUCCCUUGGGUGGCCGUACCCACUGGGAACCAUGGAGUUGGUUCUCACCCCACGUGGUUUUGGGGUGUUACAGGUUCGCACGUGAGCGGCGCGGCGGCGCGAGGCGAGGGCGUAGCUCCAUAGUUAGCGCCCUACCACCGAGACCAGAGAUAGCGGUACCCUGAGUCGGCCUUACUUAGGGAUGUAAGAAAAUGAAAAGAAUCAAGUUGUAAUAAUAUUGUUAAAGCUAGAUUGUAUUUGGAAGCUAAAAAGAAUGUAUUAAGUACUUGGGAUGUAAAAUGUAUCUAGUGAAUGUGAAUGCAUGUAAUAACAUAGGAUGUGUUAUGUUGUUUGAUACCUUCCUUAUGCAAUCUUUGAUCGAAAUGUGUUCCUGGUUGGAACUUUGUACAUUGUAUUGAUUGCGAUGCCUUGAAUGUACAGGGGAGACUCUGUCCGCGGUAUAGGGGAAACCCUGUCCGUUCGGCGAUCUGUUGGCGGCGCUGCGACCUGGCCAAAUAGGCAAGCGGUCGCGGGGCGUGACAUUCAUCUCCCUCUCCUCUUCCCUUUGGUGUAGUUCAAGAGGUAAGCUACAAACCCUAGCUUGUAGAACUUGGGUUUUUUUGGUUUUAUGCCUUGGAAUGGGUCAAAUGGACCCUAGGCAAGCUUCUAAAUAGAUCAAUCCCAAGAAUCUAGGGAUUUAUUGGGUGGUUUGCUAUAGGUGCAAACCUAGGGCUCCAAAUGGGGUUUUUAGUAAAGUAGGAGAUUGAUUUCAUUUGAGGCCUUGUAAACCUAAUCGAUAGGUGCUCAAACGCGGGGGCGAAGUCGAUUUCGCGAUUCGUCGAGCGGGAUUGGAGCUAUCGGCGAAAUACGGUCGUUUUAGCAUCGUCUUAGACAAGGAAGGCUAAAGCCUUUUCGUAAAGCUUGCCGGGAAGAAUUUCUAAAGCCUCUACAUUGAUAAAAGGUGGGGGUGUCAUCCGAAGCUUUCGAACUCCUUUCUAUGUCUUAGAUUGCAUUUAACCUCAUCUCUUCAUGUUGCAUGGUAGGAUUGCAUGAUAGUACCUUUCCUUAUGCUUUCUAAUUGAUAACCUAGUGUACUUGGAACGCUUGGUAACUUAGAUAGGUGAGGAUUGGGUCGGAGCGUGGAUCCUAUAAUGCGAAAGAAAAAUAGAUGAACCCGAUGGGGGAAUUGAUGACAUAGAAAGUAGUGUUUAGUGUUAAAGAACACACGAGUGGCAUCCAAAUGUUAAAUGAUGACGAGUGGCAUUAAUGUAGUGUAAAUAACACUAGGGAUUUGAGAACCUAGGGAUAGGUGGAUCCUUUAGAAAAUGCCUUGUGAACAAUGAAUUUAGAAAGCUAAAUAGCAUUGCAUGAAUGUCGGGAACAGAUGAUUCCGCGAGAGAUGUUGACCCUAGUGCAUAGGGCAUCCUCACUUGGAGAGGAUUCGAUUGGGUUAUUGACUCUAGUUGUAGAGCAUCCUCACUUGGAGUGGAUUUGAUUGGGUUGUUGACCCUAGUGUAGUGUAUCCUCACUUGGAGAGGAUAGAUCUAGCUCACAGUCUGCUUUUGGGGUGGUAUAGCCAUCCUAUCCCCACAUAGAGGGGAUUGUCGUCGAGUACUCCGGAGUGUCGCGCGACUAGGACCACUUGGAGGUCCGGACCACUUGGAGGUCCGGACCACAUGGAGGUCCGCAGACGGUCCCGGGCUUGGGUGCACUUGGAGCUCCCUCCCCACUUUGGGAUUGAAAGAUGAGUCAUAGGCGAGCCCUAGGGCCUCGCCACAGAUUUGGGUAAAUGAAAGGUUAAAGGUUUAAAAUGUCAUUGAAUAUUAUUAUUCGAACAUAGAUCGAAUUUGUUAGCUGGGUAGCAAACCUUUAUUAUAUGAUGCAUGCAUUCAUAUUCGUGAUUAUGGGCAUAGUAGCAUAGUUUUCCUACUAUCACAUUUACAGUUUUCAGAUACAUAUCUAUCUAUCUAUCUAUCUGUUGUUACUUGUGCCCAUUUGGACCUAGUGGGGAGAUCGGCAGAGUCGGCGGCCGAGCCCACUGGGAACUAUGGAAGAUAGUUCUCACCCCCUCUCUAUUUCCAGUGGUAGGUUCAGGGCUGCCGAGGGAGGACCGCGGCAAAGGCAUCGCGCCUGAUCAGUGAGGCCGUGGUAGUAUAGUAGCUUUCCUUUUUGCAUUAGUACACCUAUGUAUUGAGAGAGAUUCAUUGUAGGUGAGGAUUUAGAGAGCUAUGUAUUUUGGAUGAAAAAGAAUGUAUUCAUUUAAAGAAAAUGAUGUAAUGAAAAGAAUGGUACUAUUGUAAUAGUUAGUAAAGUACUCUCUUUAUUUCAUAUGCUUUAUCUUGUGGAUUACUUGCUCUUAGUAUUGUUGGCACUGUUUGUGCCCUUGUGAGUGUGUAUGUUUAGAAUUUAAUUUUCUGGGUAAAUUCUUGUACACAUUCCUGUUGUUGAGCCUUGGGCGGACAGGGGAAGUGCUGUUCGUUCGGCGGUCCGCCGCCGCGGCCGAAUCGUGCCAAAUUGGUGGUAGUUUCGGGGCGGGGCGUGACACUCACUGUCUGUUCAGAGCUUGUGAUGGUCGCUCCACACAAGCGUGCACUCCAGAGUUUGUCACACGUGGGAUAGCCUUAUGGGGUCCCGGGGAUAGCCUUAUGGGGUCUCGCAGGCGGUCUCAGGUUUGUUGAGCGAGUUGAGUCUCCUUACCUUACGAAAUGCAUGUGAGUCGUGGGCGAACCUCAGAGUUGGCCAAGGAUUGGAUAAUGACAUGAAUAACAUAGUGAAUUUGCAUUCAUGCUGUGAGUGGACAUACUAUUCCUUCACCUAUGAGAUUGAGCGGGGUAGCUCUGUACCUAUUAGAGUGAGAUUUGAGACGGGGCGAAAAGUGGGGUAGCUCUUCACCUAUGUCUUUCGAGAUGUGAGUCGGGCGAGGAGCGGGGUAGGUCUUUGCCUAUGACCUUCGAGAUGUGAGUCGGGCGAGGAGCGGGGUAGCUCUUUGCCUAUGACCUUCGAGAUGUGAGUCGGGCGAGGAGCGGGGUAGCUCGUUAUUGUUGCUUUAUCUUGUACGUAUUUCAAGUUGUUCUCCUGGGAACUUGUUGUACAUGAUCUCGUCGCUUUAGCCUUGGGCAGACAGGGGAGGUGCUGUCUGUCCAGCGUCUGUUCGACGCGCCCGAACCGUCCCAAUUGGCACGAGUCAUUUACUAGGGAAUCCAUCUAUCCCUAAGUUCAUGAACCUCUAGUGUCAAGUACACUACAUUAAUGCCACUCGUUAUGUUCUUUAAACAUUUAGAUGCCACUCUCUAUGUCACUAAAUAACUAUCGAGUUUAUCUCUUUUCUUUAGCACUAUAGGAUUCAUGUUCCGACUCAAUCCUUACCUAUCCAUUUCACGAAGCAUUCUAUGUACACUAAGUUAACAUUUAGAAGCAUAAAGAAAAGGUACUACAAUGCAAUCCUACAAUGCAACAUGCAAGAGAUGAGAUUAUAUGUUAUCCUAAGACAUAAUAGAGAGUUCGGUUGCUUCGGGAUGACACCCCCCACCUUUUGAGGGUACAAAGGUUCUAGAAAUGCUUCCCGACGAACGUUACGACGACGUCUCAGCCUCCUUAGUCCAAAACGGUGCUCAAUCGGCUAUAUUUCGCCGAUAGCUUUUCACCCGCUCGACGAAUCGAAAAUCCGACUUCGCCCCCGCGUUUAGACACCUAUCAAUUAGGUUUACAAGCUAUCAAAUGAGAUCAAUCUCAUAAUUGCCAAAAACCCCUAUUUGGAGCCCUAGGUUUGCACCUAUAGCAAACCACCAAUAAAAACCCUAGAUUCUAGCUCUAAGAAAUCUCUUAAGCAUGCUAGAGGUCCAUUUGACCCAUUUACGAAGCUAGAAAUCCAAAACCCUAAGUUUCAUCAAGCUAGGGUUAAGUAGCUUACCUCUUGAGCUACCCCAAAGGGAUGAAGAGAAAGAGAAGAAGGUGAUGGAGAUGAUCUCCUCCAAGUUCUCCUCAUUCUUCUUCUUCUCCUCCUUCUUCUUCUUCUCUUUUCCUUCCCCUCCUUCUUUGCUUCAAGAGAGGGAGAGAGCUUAGAGAGAGAGAGAGAUAUGUUAGAGGGUGGAAAUGAGAGGGAGAGAGAGCAAUGUCCUCUCUAUACCUCUAACUAAAGCAACAAUUGCAGCCAAGCCCCUCCACUUUCCCUCUCUCAACUUACUCUGCCUGGGCAGAUUUCGCGCGGAGGGACCAAUCUCUCCCUGCUUGGGACCGGUCCCUUGGGACCUUCCCAAGUUUACGCGUUCGGGAACCGGUCCCUCGGGCCCAGGGACCGAUUGCAUCGCGCGCUGCCGCAACCACCAGCCGAUGGGACCGGUCUCUCCCUGCCAAGGACCGGUCCCCGAGAGCAAACCCGCGCAGACCACGUUCAGGAACCGGUCCCUCCCGCCAGGGACCGGUCCCCCAGAGCAGAUCUGCCAAGUGCAGGUCUUUGCACUAUUUGCUCUCGCAGACUCCAUUCCAAUGCACUUUUUGGGUUUCGUGCCACUCCGGCUUUUCCGAAGGCUACUCACUCGACAAAUAGUCGAUCCUGGACGAAGUCCAACUCUCGGAUUUCGAGAAUUCACUUCCUUACAAGUAGGGUCCGGGUCGGGUAUGGUAUAUCGGAUAUUUUGGACAGCUCUACUCCAAACGGGAGGUGUACAAGUAGCAUUUUUCUUAAUUUAUUAUUUGUAAACCAACUCGUUACAAGCUGAAUUUUUCAGCUCGAUGCUUCAACGAGCCAGCUCGUGUUUGGCUCGUUUCAUAAAUGAGCCGAGCACGAUCCGGCCUAGCUCGCUCGUCGUUACACACCUACAGUUGCAGCAACAAAUGCAAAUAUUUUAUAAACUUAUGAAUCGGGACCGGGCGUUUUCUAUCACGCACGUGGCGAGGGGGCGAGGUGUAGGGGCGUGGCGCCAGCGCGGCGGCACGCGAGGGGAGCGAGGAGGAGGGCGCGUGUGGUCGGCGGGGGCUGGGCGCGUCGUGCGCCGGGGGGGGGGCGGGGGCGGGCGAGCCGGCGCGGACUCGAGCCGCGCAGGCUUUUUUUUUUUUGUGGGACCCACUCCUAUCUCUCUCUCUUUUUUUAUUUAUUUUGUUCUUUUCUAACCUUUCUUAUUUAGAGUGUUAUUGGCCACAUACAAAAAUAAAUUUUCUUUAAAUUUAAAAUUAAAAUUAAAAUUUAUUAUUAAUUGUUUUGAAUGUGUUGGCUUAACUUUAUAUUUUAGUUAAUUAAAUAUAUUUUUUAAAAACUUAAUUAUAGUGUUUUUAUAAAAAUAGAUUAUUUAUAUCUAAAUAAUUAUUAAAUUAAAAUUAAUAUUAAUACAUACAAUCUAAAAUAUUUAAAAAGUAGGAUAAAUAAUUAUAUAUUUUAAAAUUUUAUUAUAAUUAAAACACAAACUUAUGAAUUUACAAUCGGAACCCGAACUGGUGUUAAGAUCAGUAUUGUUGUUUAUAAUCAAAAUUUACAUAUCUGAUACAAUUGAUCGCAGGUAAAAAUAUCUCUAAAACUUCUUUAUUUAAUUAACUAAAAUAUAUUAUUAUUUACUUUAUAAAAAUAUAUUUAAUUAUUUAUUAAUGAUUUAUAAAGAAGAUAAAUAAAUCUGUUGCAUAGCACGGUUCCUUAACCGGUUGCAAUUUGUAAAUGAAAGGGAACCAAAAAUAAAAUAAAGGAGGGCUUUUUUUGCAAAUAGUGUAAGGUGCCGAACUUCUGUAGUUACGAAGUUGCGGUGGAAUGUAAUAUACCGGAUUUUAAUAUAAAAAUAAAAAAUAAAUAAAAAUAGUAUAAGAUACUAUUUUUAUUAGAUUUAGAGAAGUGAAAUAUGAGUUAGAAACGACCUGUGCUGAAAUCGGAGCGAAAACAGAAGAUUUAGAAUUUUCUGUGAGAAAUGGGGCAGAUAAAUUAGCAGAAAAUGCACAGUGUCAGAAAAUUAUAAAAACUGGAGAAUAUGUCAGAAUUAUUUUUAUGAGGCUAGAUUUAAAGUUUCAUACCAUUCUGACACCCAUAGAGUGAGAAAUAAAAUCCGACAGUUAUCUGAUAAAGAUUAUAGUUCGGUACAGCUUUCGGUGACCAAAUGGGGUCGAAACUGAAAACUUAAGAUAUAUUCUUACUCAGUACGUUAAACCGAGCCUGCCUAUCAAAUUUGAGCGCAAACGGACGUUCAGAAGGGCUCCAACGACUCCGAACUGCUAAACUGCUGCCCGAGGUGAAUAGUGUAAUUGUUGAAGGGCUGAUUUGUAAAAAGGGAUUUAAUCCCUUUUCUUCUUCCUCCCUCAACCAUGCGACACAACCCGCACAUAUACACACGACACACACGCAUGGAAAGGAGAAAGAGAACUCUCCCUUUCUCUCUCUAAAUCUCUUCCAAAAAGAGAGGGUUUUGGUGGAGAAGGAAGCUUGGAGGAAAGUCAUCUUCUUCAUCUUCCUCAUUGGCCAUUGGAGAGCAAGCUUUGAAGGUAGGCUUCAAAACCCUUUAAUGGUAUCUCCUUGUAGUUUGGGUUUUAAGCUUCAAGAGUGGAUUUAGAGGUAUUCUAGCAUGCUAAGUAAAUGAUUGUUGCUUAAGUUGUAGAUCAAUUUAAUGAUUUCUUGCCUAGUUGUAAACCUAGGGCUUGAAAUGAGCUUUUUGAACCCUCUCAUGGUAGAUCUUUAAAGCUUCAUUUAUAAUCCAUAGAAAUGAUUUAUUUGGAAUCCUAGCAUGCUAAAUAGAGGAUAAAUGCUAGAAUCUAGGAGCAAUUUAGUUAAUUCUUGCAAUAGAUGAAACCUAGGGUUCAAAAUGCUAUUUUUGGAAAUAUGAGGGUUUGAUCUCAAUUGACCCUCUGUAAACCUAAUUGAUAGGUCACUGAACGCGUUGGAAGCGACGGUUCGUCGAUUCGUUGAGCGGGUGCGACGUUCCGGCUAAAACAAGUGUUGUAGGUUCGUGUUGACCCGGAGAGCCGAGGCGGCUUCCAUAAAUUGUGGGAUCGGAUUCCUAGCAUCGUAACGAAGAACCGAAGACCCUUAAUUUUCGGAUCGCGAAUCGGAGGUCGUAAGGUGGUUGUGCGUGGAUUGGGUCGAGUCGUGCGGCGUGCACCGUGGGAGGCCGAUUGCAAGUGACGACGAGCAAUCGGAACGCUGUAACAGGUGGGUGGUGACCAUCUCGAAGCAGUUGAACUGCUCCCUAUGUCUAAGUUAUAUAUUGAUCAAUUUGCAUAUCGAUGUCUUGCAUUAUAGGGUGAUAAUUGAUGGUUGGUUCUAUAUAUGUAUCGCAUGCUUCUUGGUAAAGUAAUGUAUUUGGCUUAGCAAUUGUAUCUAGCAUGCUUGAGGUUUAUAUAUAUGUGAUGUGAAACCCUAUAAUGAGAUGAUAAUUAUAGAUGAGAACUUCGUAAUGCAUUGGGUUAUUGUAUUGGAAACUCUAAUCGUCAUUGAUCAAGUUGCAUAUUGUGAUAUUGCAUUAUAGGGUGCUAGAUGGUAUUGUUGCAUGUUAUGUCAUGCUAGUGGUAGUGUAGUGUUAAUGGUUUAAUACUUGUACCUAGUAUGCAUGGGAUUGAGACAUAGUGUUGUGAAACCCUAUAAUGGCAUGAUCAAUGUGGAUUAAACUCUAGUUGGAUGACAACCUAGUGAACAUGUGCAAGUACAGUGUUGAGAACCUUAAACUGUGACGAGUGGCAUCUAGUUAACAAUAAACACGGAACGAGUGGCAUCUAGUUAACAUUAAACAUGAGAACCUUAGUGUAGUCGAAGCACUAUGAGAUUGAGUACUAGAAUACCUGAUUCUAUGAUGACACCAACCUUAGUUGGUAGGAUGUUCCCAGUUCAAGAGAUUGGAUUAUACUCACAUAGCCUGUCUGCUCUUGUCGGGGUCGCUCCCCACAGGCUGUGCACUCCGGAGUAUUUGUCACUCGAGGGGCAGCCACGCGCGCUGCCAGGACAGUCAGUGAAUCUAUCCGCAGGCGGUCUCGGGGGAUAGUUCAGUGAGGCUACUCCCCUAUGAGACUUACAAACAUGAGAUUGAGAAUGAGUUACUGGUUUAACCGAAUGAUUGGGUGAUCUAAUGAGUAGCUUCAUUGUUAAGGAUAUUAGCAUGAUAACUAGCCUUUCUAUCAGUUUUAUGCAUUCAUUAUAUCGGAUUGAGACAUAGUUAGAUGUUCACAUUCGUACUUGUUAUCAUUACAGUAGAUGCUUUCCAUUACACCUAUCUAUCUAUCUAUCUAUUUGUCUUCCUGUGCCUUCUUAGACCUAGUGGGGAGAUCGGCGGAGUCGGCGGCGGAACCCACUGGGAACUAUGGAAGAUAGUUCGCACCCCCUUUUUAUUAUAGGGCCGAGUUCAAGUGUGCCAGCGGAUGAUUGCGCUAAGGGCUUAGCGCCCUAGAGGUGGUAGUAGUUUACUUUCCUAUCUUGCAUUAGAGUUACCCUAUAUAUGUAUUGAGAGUAGAUGAUGUAUAGGGUGUGAAAUAUUUUGGGAUGAAUGUAAACUAAAUGUAAACUAAAGUUUAUACCUUGGAAAAUGUAAGCUUUAUAUUACAUUUUGGAAGCUUAAUGUAUAAUCAAAAUGUAUAAAGGUUGAAUGAAUGUAAUAGGUAGAAUAUAUCUCUCUUUUAUUCACUUGUAUGUUGGUUACUCGUGAUGCUUGCUCUUGAUUGUUUAGCACUGUUUGUGCUCUCGCUAUCGUUGUAUGAUCAUGUAUGUAAUCAAGUGUAUUUCCUGGGAACUUGUGUACAUGAUCUCGUUGUUUACCCUUGGGCGGACAGAGGAGAUGCUGUCCGUUCGGCGUCCGUUCGCCGCGCCCGAACCUGACCAAAUUGGUAGCUGCCUUCGGGCGGGGGCAUGACAAAUAGCCCCCUGACAAAUUUUAUUUUUAAAAAUAGCCCCGUCCAAAAUAUAUUUGCAAAAAUGGCCCUGGCCCUGCCACGCAAGCGCCACGUCAGCGCCACGCUGGCCAGGCUGGGGCCAGGUGGUUUAAAUGAACACGGUGAACCAUUCACCGUGUUCAAACACGGUGAAUGGUUCACCGUGUCCAAUGUAUUAUAUGCACCGCCCCGCGGUGUGUAGGAAUACAUAGGACACGGUGAACUAUUCACCGUGUCCAGACACGAUUAACUGUUCACCGUGUCUAGACACGGUGAACCAAUCACCGUGUCCAAUGUAACCAUAUAAACCUUAGCCAAAAAUGGUUGUUGCGGAUAUUUGUAUUGGACACGGUGAACUAUUCACCGUGUCUAAACGCGGUGAACAGUUCAGCGUGUCCAAUACAGAUACCAGGGACUUUGCCAUUUUUCGGGCUAGGUCGUGGUAUUUGUAUUGGACACGGUGAACUAUUCACCGUGUCCAAUACAAAUAUAUUGGACACGGUGAAUGGUUCACCGUGUCCAAUGCAAAUUUCCACCCUUAGCCAUAUUUUUGGCGCACAACAAUAAAUACAAGAAUACAAUACAGAUACCUAUCAAUACACAUCACAACAUCACAAAAUUAAUACAUAUCACAACAUCACAACAUCACAACACAACAAUACAAUACAGAUACCUAAACACAACAGUACAAUACAUCAUCACAACAUCACAACACAAGAGUACAAUAUACACAUCACUACUAAUAAAAUCUCAAUAAAAUAUCAAUACCAAAUAAUCAAAACAGAAUAUAUAAAAUAAAAGCAAGUUGUACAAUAAUAUAUAAAUAUAAUAUCAUGCUCUCCUCCUACUCUCUCGACCACGUCGCCUACCACGUCCGCGACCACGAUCGACGCCAUGCUCAUCAAAAGGCUCCAAGAUCUCCAACUGGUCUAGAUGCUCUAUAGCAGCACCCUCAAUAACUGGCUCAAUCACAGCAGUAGUAGGUGUCGGUAGUAUGUCUGGCCGUGGAGGAGCAGAAGAGGAGGGCUGAUCUAUACGGAUAGACCUCAUAUGUCGUCGACGUCUAAAAUAAACAAUAUCACCUGCUCGAGCUGGAUCCUGCGGUACUGGUGCUGGUGCCGGGUCCGUAACAUUAGCAUAAUGUGGCUCCUCUAUAGGUGAUGAUGACCUCGGUGGACUAUAUAUGGGUGCAUGGCCGGACGUCGAUGCUCCACCAUAGUCUGCUGGUCCUGGAGGUACAUAGUCUGGAAGCGUAAGUAAAGACUCUAAAACUGCUUCCAUCUGAUCGGCAACCUGUGAUAGGGUAGCUAAGACUCCACCUACUGAAAUAUCGGGCAGGACACGUCUGAUCGUAUAAUAUGAUCUCUGCACAAUAUCGACCUGAAAUAAAAGCACAAUCAAAACAGAUUAUACGAAACUUUCUUGUAUAUAUAAAAAUUAAUAUAAAAAGAUAUUAUAUAUUAUAAUCGUACUAAUACUCUCUCGACGUGUCCACGUGGCUGAUACGCGAGUGGUUGCCGCUGUACAGGUGUAGAUAUCCACCUCCUGGUGAUCAUCCAAUACCACUGCAUGUAAACAGUGGUAGCUCGUAUCGGAUCUGGAUCUGUCUCUGGGGCCACCUCUGCUAUUUCUAUCAAUUUAUCAUUCCAACGCUGAAUGUAUGAAGCAUGGUAUGCCGCCCAAUCCUCAUCUGCUCUGCCUCGUGAAUUGAUGCGAGAUAUGGCAAGCACUGCUUCAGGUAUAUGCUGUAAUAGCCCAAACUGUCGUAGCACACGAUCGGGAUGAUGGAGCUUAAUAAUGUGGAAGUAGACUAAGAUAGUCCUCGAUCGCCAAACCUGGGACCCCGCCAGACAAAAAGGUGGGAGCGUCUCUAAAACUGUGUCGUCAUAAGGUCUCCAUGUAAUCUAUUGUGAAAAAUACAUAUGAUUAGUUAUCAAAAUUAAACUAUAUUGAUCUCGUGUUUCUAAGAAAAAUGAGUGUUUCGGCGCUAACACUAGUGUUUCGGAGACAAAAUUAAACUAUAUUAAUCUAUAUUGAAGGAUUUCGACGCUAACUUUGAUUAAAUAGAUCAAAAUGAGGCUUGAGGAUAAUGUGUGGUGUCCCCGAGUUAAUUUGGAAGUGUGGGGAUAGUAAACUAUGAGUUUAUAAAAUAUUUAGAGGGUAUUGAACCUAAGCUCGAUAAUGCACUUUUGCAGGAUUGAGACCCUAACUUGAAAUUGAUCGCGUAUAAACCUAAUUGAGGGUAAAGCGAACAUGUUGGCGAAGUCAGUUUGGUAAUCGGUCGAGCCUACCCGAAGAUAUCGCCAAAAGGACGUUUUCGGCUUUGAAAUUCGAUUUCUUUAAAACAAACAAUUAAUUUCUUUUUAUGGUGAACAAAAUUUUCAAACUAAAACAAAAUUUCAAACCCAAAAAUUAUUAGAUUAACAUUGAAUACAAAAUUCGACAGAUUGAGUAACUUUUAUUUACCUGAGACUCUAACUGCUGAUCCAGCUGAUCACGAUAAAACUCAAUGUCAGUAGUCCUGACAUUGUCCCGAAAAGCCAGCCUGGUAUUUCACCUGAUUCAUUUAUAUCAUAUUAGUUAUGAAUAAAUAGUAUAUACAAAACUUAUAAUGAAAAAUUACUUACCGACACCUUAGAAGCAUGUCGACAAACUCAGGCUGCGGUCCUACUACCUCAGGGCGGCCAAUGUGCAGGUGGUCCCAUGCCCAUAUCUAUACAAAAAUAGCAUUCUUGUUAGAAAUGGAAACAAUAACCAUGACUUAAGUACAAGUAUUGUAAAGGUCCGUGUCGCAAAUUAUACCUGAGCUAAUGUCCCAAAACAACAACACUCGACCUUUCCCCUGAGGCAGGCAGUUCCUAGGGUGCGAUAAAGAUGAGCUAGCGCGGCUACACCCCAUGCCAACCCACAACAAAGGUCAAAAUCCACUAGAUGUGGCAACCAUUUCAAAUGCACCAUAUUCCCGCUUAGAUUUGGAAACAAACUACAUCCUAUCUGAAAUAGUAUAUAUGCUCUCGCUGUAGCUCGAACAAUAGCGGGAGGUGCAUCUAAGGGGAUAUCAUGGAACUGCUGAUAUAACCAAUCUAUCUUGAUCUCACCACCCCUAAUAUCCUGUGGAACCACCCCGAGAAGUAACCCGCAGAGCUCUGCCCACUGAUAGGAUCCCCCUCUAGUCACAGCCCCACCAUCGACGGAGAGUCCCGUAAUAACUGCGACGUCCAUCAAUGUAAUACUCAUCUCUCCGUGUCGCAAAUGGAAACUCUGUGUCUCCCGCCGCCACCUCUCGACUAAUGCUCCCAAUAACGACUGAUCGAGCUGUAGGCGGCGCAAUCGUGAAACAUAAUAAAAUCCUGCUCGUCGUAAUAAGUCCAACACGGCAGGAUGCUCGCACUGCCAUCUGUUCAUUUUACAGCCAUGCUCCGUAAAUUCAACAGGAGAAUAUCCCUGCAUGAUUGUGAAAGCAAGCUCAAAAUUAGUACAUAAGUUAAAGAAGAUCUACGUAAAUUUAAAAUGUUUUAAAAAAAUUCACCUCCUCUCUGAUCAAAGUAGAUCUAUGUCAUGGCUGCUCAGUCAGCACGGAUGUAUCAGUAGGUCCCGGCUCGUCAUGAUCGUCCAUUUGAAAUAGGCAAAAAAAUUUGAGUUAGAAACAACAUGAUGUAACAUUAGUGCGUAAGUGUAAAAGAUUUAAGAAGUUAAGUGUCAUUUUCAUAUAGAAAAACCUAUCGACGACGUCUCUCGGUCCUUCUUUGAUGAUUUUCAGGACAAGUACUUUUAUAAUGUCCAGGCUGUUUACACAUACUACACUUGCCCCUCCUACUCCCAGCGGCUUCGUCCAUAAUAUUACGGAUACGCGUAGAUCUGGGUCUUCCUUUUUUCCUUCUCCCGCGUGGUGGCAGUAUAGGGGCAGUAUAGGGGAAUCAUAUGACGCGAUCCAAUAACGACGAUCGAGAACGGGGUGGAACUGCGGUUCAUAAGCCUUACAAUAGGAUAGGACAGUAUACCAAGGAGAACAUAAGGCAUAAUAAUCUAUGUUCAUGUGUGAAGAACUACAACAUGACAAAAUGUGUGAACAAGGGAUUCCUGUGAGUUGCAAACACAAACAUGAACAUGUAGAACUAUUUCCAUUGAUAAUCACUUGGUAUUGAUCAUCACCCCCAGUAAGUAUGUCGAACAUGUGAAAUGCAAAUCGUCGAACUGUAUAUGCUCUAGCAGUUCUCAUCCGGCUAUUGAUGGUGUUUUCAACAGUUGAUACAAAUUGCGUAGACAUUGCAACGCCCUCCCCCCGAUGUUUUAGAAAAAUUCUACCACUCGAUGAAACGUUGCCAUCACAAAAGCUGUAAUUGAUAAGGCGCGAACUCCCCUCAACACCCCAUUUAAACUUUCCGAUCGGUUAGUUGUCAUAAUACCAAAUCGUCGACCACCAUCAAAAGCUUUAGCCCAGUAUAUCCUAUCGUUAUAAAGAUUGUCAACCCAACGCUAAGCUUCUUCAUCCAUAGCCUUCAAUUCUUCCUUUAAUGCGUAAUAUUGCCGUUCUUCUGAAGCACUCCCAAUUCGAUAAAAAAUUUAAGUAAGUGUUUUCCUUUGAAAUGAAUAUUCAUACCGGCCUUCAUAUGUCGCAAACACCAUCGAUGAGCAUGACCUUCAGAUUGUGGGAAUACAAGUGCAACGAGGCUCGCUAGGCCUUUAAAACGAUCUGAAAUUAGUGUAAUAACUCGAGAUCUUGUUAUAUACCUUCUUAGGCAACUUAAAAACCACUCCUAAUGUCACGCCCCGGGACCGACAGAGGCCCUCCCGGUAGCGUGCCCAGACCCGCCAUAUGUCAACACAUAUAAGGCGUCUAAAACAACAGCGAAAAAUAAAACCCGAGAUAAUCUACAUCUAGAGAUAUCAGAGCACAGAUAGAUCUAUCAUCUACAACAAGGUAAAAGAAAUAUACUAAAACAGUAAGAGUGAAACAUAAGGUUAUACAACAUCCGUCCAAAAUGGUACACAAAAGGGUGGUCUCUAGUACACUGGUACAGCUCUCAACCUCUCCAAAAUAAAAACAUCGAGAGGUAGACCACCUAUCAACUCGUCACUCUCCGAAGAGCUAGCUCGAAGCAACGCCCUUCCCUCGGUCCCUAGCCUUUCCUGGCGUGGAAGGCUUUGAAAGAAAACAUAAAACAGAGGACAUGAGAACUAUAAUUUAUAGUUCCCAGUGGGCAAUUACUGACCUCAACUCAAUGCACCACUAGGCCCCAAAAGAAAAGGGUAAGUCAAAAAGGGCAGUAAUAAUGAAUAAAUUGCAUUUAUGAAAGUAUAAAUAAAAUGCUAAGAUACUAUUGCAAUUAAACAUGGAACUAGUAUGAUGCACCUUUCCUUAUCACAGACAAUAUGUCCCUAUAUGGCCACAGGUAAAUGUCACGGUUUACUUUAUGAAGUUAAGAAGAUCAUGCUUUAUCAUGGGAUCAAUGUAUGUAUACUCAAGUGUCCAAAACUAUGCUAGAAGCAAGUCCAAGUAAUCCAACUACUACUCUCUAUCUAGUAGUGAUUCUAACAUACUCGACACCGUGUCGAUUUUCAUUUCCAAAUAAGGACCUACCCAAGGUGGUCCAGCUUGUGCCGCCUAAGUGCCUGUGGUAGCCUAACAUUCCUACGCUUGGAAUGUGUCUGUCCCACUCGACCCCGUAGGCUUCUCAAUACCGCACGAGCGAACAUAGGUCGCGUAGGCUAACUCCGGAGUGCCGGCUUGUAGGGAGCGACCCUCACAAGCAUGUGCGAAUGAGCACAAAUGGCAAGCAAGCGUAGUCAAAACUCAAGUAUCCAACCCUCAUGUCUCAGAUAUGGCAAUAGCUACUAGUAACCCAACGGUCUAACCCUAAGUCACAAAGUGAUAUCCAAACACUCACUUGCGUAGUGCCUCUUUAUGACACUUAAGCAUAACAACUAAUCAAGUCCCAGUCAUGUUCUAAGUUCCAAUUAAGACAUUAAUACCAAUGUUCACUAUAGCCCGAGCCCAAUGCCUCUUUAUGACAUUUGCCCAAAUUCUCAAAUAGUAUAAGUCCCCAAGCCUCUCUAGGCUUCCAACGUCCCCAAUGUCACAAUUGGGCAUAAAAGUUAAAUACAUGGAAGCGAUGUUGUAAGGUACCGGAUUCUAAAUGUAAAAGUGAAAAUAAAUAAAAAUAGUGUGGGAUACUAUUUUUAUUGGACUUAUAGACAUAAAUUAUAAGUCUAGAGUGACCCGUGUUGAAAUGGAAGCGAAAACAGAAGAUUUAGAAUUUUCUGUGAGAGACAGGGCAGACGAAUAAUAUCUGUAGCGUGCUGCUAAACUGAAUGUAAAUAGUGUUCUUGGAUAACUUGGAGGCCAAGUUUCCUAGAUAACUUGGAGGCCAAGUUUCCUAUGAAACUUGGAGGCUAAGUUUCCUAUGACACUUGGAGACCAAGUUUCCUAUGAAACUUGGAGGCCAAGUUUCCUAUAUAUAUAUANNNNNNNNNNNNNNNNNNNNNNNNNGAGACACAUAUGCAAUGGUUUUAAUUUUUACAAUGUCAUUAGGUUCACAUACAUAGCUCACUCAGAUCUAGUCUAUUCUCACAUCAUUCCUACUGCAUAUGUCCGCUAGCAAACUCAAUGCAACAUGCAUUAGAGUACAUCUGAUAUUGGCAAUCUAUAAAGCUUCUCAUGCAUAAUACAUUCCACAUCUACUACACAUGCAAAUUAGAUAUCUCUUACCAGGUAUCGAUGCAAUCAUGGAAUUCAUCAUCCUCACACUAAGCAUGAAAUUACCGCAACCCCAUGGUAUUUUGCUACAUGCCCCAAUCCUCAUGCAGACUAAGUUUUAGGUCAGCCUACAAAUGCUACGACUGACCGUAGGAAACAUGCAAGGAAAUGAAUGUAAUCACUCUAAGUCCUAUAGUGCACAAUAUCAAUAUAUGAUAAUAUGAUCUAAAAUAAAACUUAGACAUAAAAGGACAACCGUGUACUUCGGAUUGACCCCCACUUUUACCCUAUCACGAGGCUAGGUUCUCUUUGACUUCCCUAGUCGCACCGCUUUACUUCGUCGAUCUGCUCCGACGAAUCGACGAAUCGACGCUUCACACGGUUUUAGCGACCUCAAACACAGCUAUUUUCCUCAAACCAAGCUAAUGAAGAGGAUGAAGACUUCACUCGCAAGCAAACCUUUUCUUCUCAAAUGCACCUCCAUAUCUCCUUCUUUGGUGGAGAAAUUGUUGGAAGAGAGAGAGAUAUUCAUCGUUUGUGUUGGAAGUGAGAGGGAGAAAGAAGAAAGCCUCAAGUCCCUAUAUAUAUAUAGCGAAACUUGGCUCCAAGUUAUUAGAAACUUUGGCUCCAAGUUAUUCCGAAGAUACUAUUAUAUUCAGUUUAGCAGCACGCUACAGAUAUUAUUCGUUCUGGCCCGUUCUCUCACAGAAAAUUCUAAAUCUUCUGUUUUCGCUUCCAUUUAACACAGGGUCACUCUUAGAUUUAUAUUAUGUCAAAUAUAAGUCCAAUAAAAAAUAGCAUCCACACUUUGAUUUUAUUUAUUUAUUUUCACUUUUACAUUUAAGAUCCGGGUACUUACAUCCUCCCCUCCUUAAAAGGUUUCGUCUCGUAAACUCAAAUCUCAUUUAUUCGAGUUGUCGUAGCAUCUGAAGGAACAAGUGCACUUUUGCAGCCCCGAGUGCCUUUUUCUCACGCGAACUUAUCACAAGGCCCACUUAAGAGUAUUAUGAGACCAGAAAUUCAUCUCACAUUUGCUAGCAUAACACAAAAGUGCAUUACGGGUUCCGCAAGUCUUGGUGGGGAUACAAGAGCAAUACACAUGAUGAACGAGUAACCACAGUCGACAAUCGACACUCUACACGCUCAACACUACUGCUACCGAAUUUAGGGAAUAUACAUUCGAUUCGCAUCGACUGGCAUUGCCUUGAAGCAAUAUCAUUGUGCGCAUCGAACCAUCGCAAGUGCAUUAUCCACAAUCGAAUUUGCUUUUACGAAAGAUGGGGCACCCUCGGCACAUCUCCAAAUGUUAAUCUCCAGAGAGCAUAAUUCUCCAGAUCUCGUUGUGGCAAUCCAAAAUCCAAAUGUGUCUCCCAAGAGACACUUUACUUCUCUUUCCAUUGCCGCGGCUGAACAAUGUUCUGAUAAUGAAUUCACAUGAACCUUUGUUCGACGCGAAUCCGAGCCAAACUAUCAGAAUCGGUUUCCCUUCCAAACGUUCACCUUGUGCUUCCGAAUGGACUGGACAAAAGGUCACAAACCAUACGUUAGAUCUGCCCGCCCAAACCGUAUCUCAACACGUAGUGUCUCGUCGACUCGCACAGCGUAGACCCCAUAUUCAACACUACUGGGCCGAAAUUAUCACUGGGAAUUCGUCUACACACUCGACUAAGUGAUGAACUAUGACCGCAAAACCACGUCGGUCCUCGCGGUUGGGUUAUUGCACAUCGGGCUUGUGUCAUAACGAUCCUCGUAAUCGACACGUGGAUUCCAGCUCCGUGAGUCUGAUGCUCGGACUACGCCCUGUACCAAAACUUGCCUUACCCGUAGGUGCCGUGCUGCUGCACUCGCGUCCGACUGUGGCCUACGCAACAAUUGGCCAGCUCCACGUCCACAAAUGGUCGUGGGCACGGCGUCGUCCAAGCACUAGCCGCCGUCGGUCGUCCUACACGACAUUGUUCAUACCGGCCACAUAUACUACUAUCGGCUCGCGGUAAGCACCAUACUGCCGAGACCACAGUGCCCAGAAUGACGCCAUGGCUGCUUCACACUUAGCAUGCUACAAGUGCUAAACUGCCAUUCACUCCUCGGCUGAAUAAAAUCCGCCAUCACGAGUAUUUUACACUCGACGCGCUCUACGCCAAUACCAGAGUUCCACGACUGAAAUUAGCAUAGGCAAUCUUGCUAUGCACACGGCGCACGAGCCCAAACCGCCUUACCUCAAUUAAGGUACUACUUAGGCCCACGUGCUCAAAACUUGGCCACUAAUCGACCGUUCUCUCAAACAAUGACUCUACCUUCACGGGUCAGAUCUACCGGAACAAUAUCGCAAUUUUCGGAUUCUCGUGCGCCUUACAAGUAUCAUGGGCUCAACCUUGCGAAUCUACCUGAUCAUGUUGCUUGAGAGUCGCUUCACAUUCAUCUACACGCGACGAGUCUCAUUUCUCGUCCAUAGGCCAUACUAGCAAUAUUGCUAGUUGACGUCUAGCUUUUACCUGCUCAGACAGGCCGUAUACUCUCUCACACAAGCAUGCCCGGGUACCUACCUACCCGUCCAUGCGUUUGUGCCAACUAAACAACCUGCCAAGGCGCAUUUUCAACAGCAGCAGUUCUCGAGUUGAGCGGCAAAUACCUGGUCACUCGGGUCGACUGGGCCACCCAGCGUGACGAUGGGUGCCAUCGCAUUUCCAGCUAACAAACAGUAGGUGGGGUCUCCAUAAUGGUCCGAAACAAUCGCCCAGACGAUGCAACAGACGGACAGGACGAGGUCCUCGUUGCGAACAGUGGCGACUAAUGUGGCCCGCGCUGCACCAACGUGAAGAUCUUCCCUUUUUUGCUUGCAAUGGUUCGGGGUCAUGUUUACUCCAGCAAAUGAGCACUUCGAGGCCCACAACUCGUGGGACGUGCUCGGCGGAUACUUCGGAGGCUUUAGACCAUGACGACCUCUGAUGACCAUCAGAGCUGUUUCUUACGCCGUCCCUCGUGGGACGCCUCUCGCUCCUCCGCGACGUGGCUAUUACUGAUGCUCGCCACAACGCUCGAUCAGCACUUCCGGCAAAUGUGAGUGGCUUCAGAAUGUAAAACGCAUAAUAUAUAUCGGUCGGAUCCCUCAUCAGACGAACCAGUUGGCCCAUCUCUAUGUCUUGCACCACGUCGGGACGCAGUCAACAUAGUGAGAACUCCUGUCGUACUCAUCGACGGCGGUUUCCUGCUUUACAUUUCCGGAAUUUAUCCUGGAGCAUCCUCUUCUCACUAUCGGGGAAAUAGUUGACAUAUAACAUUAGCUCCGACACCUUUCCACAUCACGGCGCGAAAGGUCGGUGAGACGGAUCGAUUAUCGCCUUCCACCACACUUCGCCGCCGCUCCAAGCAAUGGGUGCGAGGGGAACUUUAAUCCUUCUCUAUAUAUAGAGAUCUUCGGAAAAGAGUCUCCAUCGAGUCCACCCACGACUCCGACCAUCCAAGGCUAACUCUCUCCCGUUAGAACAUCGGUGACUAAUCCGAAAUUUCAGAAGAGUCGCAGCGCGCGCUCCUCUCCGCUUCGUAGUACUCUUCUGGGAUUUGAGUCCCCAACAUAGCCACCUCGUCAGUGCGGAUGUGCGCCGCAACGGCACAGUCCGUCGGCCACCCUUUGUCACGCGGGCAGACCACCGAAGGGCUGCGGCCGCUCAACAUUUCGCUUUGUAGCUAGCGCCAGUGCGCUACAAUAUUGUAGCCUCGCAAUCUUGGUCCUCUUGGCGCUGUCAUCGCGCCGACCAUCGAAUGCGAUAUGCGUCGCAAUUCCUGCACUCUCUCAGAUCCGACUGCUCGGGCACCUCGGGAGGUGGUGCCAGAGUGGUGUAGUCACGGUGGCGUCUCUUUGGUGCCAUAGCCACUCUGAACAACAACUUGUUAAUCACUGUAACCGUGUAAUUUCGUCGUACACUACUAGGACAACGUGACUAAACGUCCCUCAUAAGCGCCAGAUCCUAUGUAUUAGUCUAACUUCUUAGGUCGUGUGUCGGCCGCCACACAAACUCCUCGAGCUCGGAAACUAACAACCGUCGGAUCUUAUCUCUAGUCACCUAGAGAGAUUAUACUCGAGUCCGACCAAUCGGAAUUCUUCCUAACCUGAUAUAGUUUACAGUUUCUCUCACCGUACUUAUCACCAUUAGCUUUGCAACUAGGUCUCUAGGUCCAUCCUAGACUCUCUCUUUACUUGCUCUUAAUGCGCUUGAUACAUACGGUCACGCCCGCCCCCGAAUCACUCCAAUUUUGCAGCGUUCCUGGGCACAUCAGGACGGACCGCCGAACGGAACAGUGACCGCUCUGUCCGCAAGCGCCAGCAACCAGCAUCAGUAUCAGUUAGGCGCACCUAGGAAUUUGCCCUAAAUAACAUACAAUGAUCAAAUACGAUGGACAACAAGUGGCAAUACAUCUAAAGAGCGAAGAACACAGAUUGAUAUACAAGGCUAUAAACGAGAGAUAGUCUAACUAUCACAAUCAUUUCAACAUUUACAUUAUUUGAAUAUAUUAUAUUUUCAUCUUCAAAAUGUAAGUACAUGUUUUUUCAAAAUACAAGUAGAUCCUCAUGAUAUCUAUCCAAAAUAUACGAUAGAUAGACACGAGCUGUACUCUAAUGCAUGCGAAAAGCUAUUAACUAGGCUCAUUAUGGGCGCGCUAUCCUUGCCGCAGCGGUCGCGUCGGCCGCCUCUAUGUGUACUGCUACCCAAAAACCACCGGGUGAGAACUCAUUAAAUAUAGUUCCCAGUGGGUCGGGCCGCCGACGCCGCCGGUUUUCCAUUGAGGUCCUAAAGAAAGAGGCCAUAGAACAAUACAGAGGUCAACAGUUCAAAGGAUUAAUAGAUAUAACACAGAGCCUACUCUGCCUCAUCUACAUCGUAUAUCAUGUCAAAUGUGUGUAGCUAUGCCGUACUAAUACUGUCAACAAGUAUAAUACUCUACCAUGUAUGCACCUUAUGUAAUGCCGAUGAACAUGGCUGGAUUCAAUCCAAUCGGUUCGCCAAGGUCGAACCACGACUCGGUCACACCGUCACGCCACCGUUGACGUCUUGCGGGGGCCACACCGCCUGUGACCACCUCCCGCCGUUCAAUCUCACUUGAUACAACUCCGAGAGCUCACAGAUAAUGGGAGGCCGACUCCUCAAUACAACUAGAGAACUGAGUUAUGAUCAGUCCUCCCGCACGAGGACAUCAGGGGGAAUCCCACACCCAAAUAAUUCACAAGGCAUGCUAUGUCAAAGUCGCCCACAUAUUGCAAUGGUUUAAUUUUACAAUGUCAUUGGUUCACAUACUAGCUCCUCAUAUCUAGUCUUUUUUUUCUAUUCUCACAUCAUAUCCUCAUAUGCAAUAUAGUCCGGCUAGCAAUUCAAUGCAACAUGCAAAGUACAUCUAUAUUGCAUCUAUAUAAAAGUUCUCAUGCCAACGUUACAUUCACACUUACCUCAACAUUCAUGCACAAUAGAUCUUGCCUACUAGUAUCAUGCAAUCAUGACGAUCAUCUAGCCUCACACUAAAGAUGAAAUUACCGCAACUCAUAGGAGUUUUGCAGCAUCCCUACAUCCUCAUGCAACCUAGAGUUUCUGAGUGUCAAGCCACAAUGCUACACUACCAUAGGAAACAUGCAACGCGAUAUGCGAAUUAUCACCUACUAAUCCUAUAGUGCCAAGAUAUCAAUAUAUGAAUAUGAUCAAAAAUUAAAACUAGACAUAAAGGAAACGUGGAUACUUCGGGAUGAGCACACCCACCUUUUACCGCGUAUCACGAGCCUAGGUUCUCAAUUGCACGUUUCCCUAGUCGCGCUUUACUCUGUCCGGUCGAUCUGUCUCGACGAAUCGACGACGACGCUUCACACCGUUUAGCACCUCAUAACACAAGCUUUUCUCAACCAAGUAAUGAAGAGGAGGAAGACUUUCACCUCCAAGAACAUUUCUUCUCCAAAGCACUCCAAUUCAUCUCUUUGGUGAGAGCAAAGUUGUUGGAGAGAGAGAGAUAUUUCUCUGUUGGUUGCAAGUGUGCAGGAGAAAAGAAGAAAAGGCUCCAAGUCCCCCAGGGUGAGGCCAGGGAUCGCGGGAAGGGAGUUGCUUCGAGCUAGCUUCCUUCGAGGACGAGUUGCUAGGUGGUCUACCUCUCGAUUUUUGUUCCCUUUUGCGAGAGGUUGAGAGUUCUACCAGUGUACUAGAGACCACCACUUUUGUACUUUUGAGACAGAUAUUGUACUACUUAUGACUACUUUACCUUGGUGUAGAUGUUAGAACUUUACUCGCUCUGAUAUCAUUAGCUGCUCAUUAUUUCUCUUCUUCUAUUUGUUUUAUUACUUGCUUUUACUUCCGCUUUUAUUGUAGACGCCUUAUAUGUGUAGACAUAUGGCGGGUCUGGGCACGCUACCGGGAGGGCCUCCGCCGGUCCCGGGGCGUGACACCCGAGGCUCGGGUUGCGGGGUCUGCGGCUCUGUACCGGUACAAGCCUGAUGGCUGUAUCGGUACAACCAUCAACCUUGUACCGGUACAAGACAAGUCUUGUUCCGGUACAAGCUCUGCUGCAGGCUACCCGAGAGCUGACCAAGGUCCAAUCUUUUUGGGUUUUUGGCACCAGCUUAAAACCACAAUUCUCGGGAUGCGAGCCAUAGGUCGGAACACUGUCUACGACAUUCCAGAAAGUCUGAAAAAGCUCGACACACAGAUCAAACACUCGAACCUCGCAAUUUGCAAAGGUCGAGUGUGUUACAUUAGGGUUGAAGCUUACCUCAAAGCUUUCCCUUUCUUGCACUAGAGAGGAAGAAGAUGAAGUUGCUUCACUUCAAUGGCUUUUUCAUCACCUUCUCCUUCUUUUCCUUUCCUUUCUUUACCUUCUUCUUCUCCUCUUUUGUCUUCUAGAGAGAAAGAGGGAGAGAAGAGAGCGUGAGAGGAUGAGGAAUGAGAGAAAUUUCUCAUUUACUCCCAUACAUAGCUCUAUGGGUUGCAAAAAUACAAAUAAACCCCUCAACUUUCACUUUAAUACACUGCCUGGACUGGGCAGAUUUCGUGCUCGGGGACCGGUCUCCCCGACUUGGGACCGGUCCCAGAGAGCUCUCCCCGCGAGUAGCAGGGCGCACGCGCAACGCAACCGAUCUCUCACUGGGGGACCGGUCUCUCGGGGACCGGUCUCUCCCCGCAGGGACUGGUUCCCAAGAGCUACUUUCUGGGACUUAGCCGAUUUUUCGGCUGUCUCAUUUCUCACGCGUUCGGGGACCGGUCUCUCCCCGCAGGGACCGGUCCCCGAGAGCUGAAAAUAUGCAGUUUGCAGAAUUUAAUUCUUUAGCUCUCUAAAACCUCCUACAACACACUUUUGAUCAUUUUAACACCUCCGGACUUUCCGAAGUGUUCCAACCUCGCACUUUGGUCAAUUUAACUAAAGUUCGAUAUUUAUUUUUCGAAUUCUCGGUAUAUUAUAGGGGGGUGGGGAUUCUCACAGUGAGAAGCCUCACAGUGGCUUCUCACUGUGAGAAGCCACUGUGAGAGUGCUGNAAUGCACGAGAGAAAUCUAAAACUAUGUUUGCUGCAAAGGGAAAUGAUUUCCUGCACCUGGUCCAUCUAUACCCUUGCGCACCACUCGUCUAUUACUCUCUCGCUUUAUCAAUUUUCCUUCUAUCCAUUCGACACUGAUGGCUAAUAGAUAGGCGGUGCAGAGUUACACUAAUGCACCGGAUGCAUGCAGUAAUUUUGAAGAGGGGAAAGAGAGAGAGAGAGAGAGAGAGAGAGAUGCUUCUAGGGCUAGAGAGAGAACGAGUGAAGCGACCAACAUCGGAAAACAAAGCCCGCGCAGGCCGCCGCUGACAGAGGAUCGGGCGGAGGCCAGAGAGAGAGAGCAAGAGCACGAAGAGAGCCACAGAAGGGGGAAAGAGAGAGAGAGAGAGAGAGAGAGAGAUGCUUCUAGGGCUAGAGAGAGAACGAGGAAGCGAGCUACCUCGGGCAACAAAGGGCGGCGGCGGCGACGGCGGCGGCGGCGGCCAGAGAGAGAGAGCAAGAGGAAGAGAGCGAGAGAAAGAGAGAUCGAGAGAGAGAGAGAGAGAGAGAUCGAGAGAGACAGAGUUCGGGAGGGGGGGAUGUUCGAAGAGAACACGGUGAAUGGUUCACCAUGUCUUGACUGGUUAUACUGGACACGGUGAACCAUUCACCGUGUCCAAUAGAAAUACCCUACUCGCAAGGUGGCAGUAUUUAUAUUAGACAUGGCGAACAGCUCACCGCGUUUAGACACAGUGAACAGUUCACCGUGUCCAAUAGAAAUGCCCACGACUUAGCAGUAUAGCGGCUAAGUCCCUGGUAGUUAGCCGUAUAGCGGCUAUUCCACAGCCUUUAUUUGUAUUGAACACGGUGACUAGUUCACCGUGUCCAGACACGGUAAACCAAUCACCGUGUUUAGACACGGUAAUUGGUUCACCGUGUCUAGUAGAAAUAACAUUCUGGCUAUUUCUAUUGAACACGGUGAUUAGUUCACCGUGUCUUCUACUAACAUUCUGGCUAUUUCUAUUGAACACGGUGAAUGGUUCACCGUGUCUAAACACGGUGAACCAACUUAAACACCUGGCCGGCCCUGCCUGCGUGGCGCUGACGUGGCGCUGGCAUGGCAGGGGCAGGGCUGUUUUUGCAAAUAAUUUUUUGACAGGAUUAUUUUUGUAAAUAAAUUUGUCAGGGGCUAUUUGCAAAAAACCCCAAUAAGGGAAAUAAGGGAUACGGUCUCUCUCUCCUUCCUUAGGUUGCCAACCAAACCCACCUCAACGCAGGGCCGGCCUUCUUGUGACCGUACGGCUCCGGCGACCCACCCCUCCGGCCGACGACGCAGCCACAGACCCUCCUCUCUUCUCUUUCUUCUCCCUCAGACGCACGCAGUCGCCGCCUUCUCCUUGGCCGAGCUCCAUCCCCAGCAGGCCGCCGUCGCCUCCUCAUCUCCUGCUAGCAAUCCUGCGAGCCGCGGGAUCUCCUCUGCGUCGAGGUCUCUCUUUCUUUCCCAUCCGCUCGUCAUUAUCACCAAGCCGCCGCUGCCUUCUCGGUGCCCGCACGUGACCGGCGACUUCCCCUCCGGCUGGCGACGCGCUCGUUCAACCCGUGCGGUUGUCCUCCUGCCCCCCUGGCCGAACAACAUCCCCCUGGGCCGGGCUCCUCUUCCCUGGGCCGAGCUCUCCAUCGUCUCCUUCUCCGGCCACCUCCUCCCUUCCCCUGCGGCCAGCGAGUGUCGCCGGAACCCUUGGAUUGGUGAAAGAAAGGCCGGGCUUCGUUGUCAUCCUCCUUGGGCGGCGCCUCGGAUCGGAUGCGAGGUAUAGCUUUGGGUAAAAUAAUCUAAACCACCUCGUUUGUGUUCGUUAAUGCGUGCUGGUAGGUUUAAGGGUUACGUUUUGAUGUUGUAUUGUGUUGAGAGCCUUGCGGACAGCGCAAGGUGGUUGGGCACAGCACUUGCUGGCGGAAUCCUCCCUCCUGUCCUUUCUUAACCCGUUGUGUGCUGAGUGUGACUCGACUGGUGAUUUAGAUGCCGAAAAGGGUAUCCGAGAGUUUCAUUUGUGGCCGAGCCUCAUGGUCGUGUGGCCCAUUGCCAUGCACUAUUCUCGCAGUUGUCCCGACGCCGAAGAUGGUGCGUGUUGGGACCCCUUGGGGCUGAAGCGACGCUCCGGUCACAUGGAUCAAUGAUUAGUGUCGUUUCAAAGGCUGGUUAGCAGAAACAAUGUCCUGAGCAUGAGUAAUUGGUCUUUGUGCAUCCUAAACUUGUUGUUUAGCGUUGUACAUAUGUUUGAGGGCGAAGCUAUGAUUUGGAAGUUCUUCUACUAUCAGUAUUGAUCCGGAAGCUUUUACUGGCUGGAAUUGAUGGUAGACAAGCGCAAUUCGGCAUGCUGGUUCUGACACCAAAGUUGGUGUUUGGAGAACCCGUAACCCGUUUGAGGCUAAGUUUCGUGGCCAAGAACCCUAUAAUGAGCCACCUUAUGUGCUGCUGUUUCAACACCUAAAAUGAUGCAUUUUAGGACUAUUUAGGGGCUGAAGUGAUGUUCGAAGUAUUAGGCAAAGUUCGGAGUUGAUUUCGGAGUCGGUUGGCGGAAUUGAUGCUCUGUAAACCCCAUAGCUUAUUGUUGAGUGACCUAGUUGUGUUGCAGCAGGUUGCUAUGUGAUCUUAGUCGCCAAUAGUGUUUUGGAUGCGCUAUUUAGCGUCAUGGCAUAUAAUUGGGGCCGUGUGCGACAAGUGUGGUCGGUUCGGACGCCAAAACUCGAAACAUCGAAACCUAGGCCUUGCCGACAAGUUGAGUGAUUGGGAGUUUGUGGCUAUGCUUGUUUCUGGCCAAGGCUUCGUUGUAGAUGGGUUUCAUGCGGAAUUAACCCUCGGGGCUGAUUGUGAUGUGCGCUGCUGUCCUGAAACCGAAAAGUGUAGUUUCGGGACUUUUCAUGGCCGAAUUCUGUUCUCGCAAUGCAAUGCUCAUGCAUCCGGCCUUCGGGACUUGUGGGUUGCAAGUCGGAGGCUCGUUGCUGGUCAAAACUAGCUAUGAUCGAGUGUUAAGCCUUUAGCUGGUUCCAACACCAAAGAUGAUGCAAUUUGGAACCCAUUAUUGCGUAGUUUUGUAGCCGUAGUCCCUGUUGUCACGCCCCGCUCCCACAACGGAAGUAUUCAUCGGGCAUGUGCACCAGACCCGUCGAACAGACAGAGUUUUCUUUAUUUGUCUAAGGCGUGACAAGCAUAUAUACACAAGAUAUUUCAAACAGCAAUUGAAUACAUGGAUUGUACAAAGAAGCAUCACAAGACAUAAUGUAAAUACUAUAUCUAUUACAUCAUUUUUUUUCCAUUCAGUUACAUACAAGUUUCAUGCCAAAAUACAAUCCAAAAUGGACUUUACAUUUGAUUAACCUUGUCCUUACAUUAUCCAAAAUGAGGUGCAACUAUAAAAGCAACAAAAAGUGGAAAAUGCCGUUAUCUAUUGUGUUACGCCCUUUCCUCUCCGCGUCUAGCUUAGAUGGACCUGAAAAACAUGGGGUGAGAAUUAUAAAUAUAGUUUCCAGUGGAUACGACCACCCAAAGGAAAAAGCUUGACCCACCAGAUCCAAAGGAAAACAACAUAAGCAUGGGUUAGUUCACAUAUACAUGCAUAUAAGGAAUAACAUGCUUAUGCCACAACGCAUAACAAUGAAACCUACUUGUGUGAUGUAACUACAUUUAAUCACUAGGUUCAUUAUUCUAGCCACGUUGCCUGACUCAACCUUGAGUCAAUCGAAUGCGGAAUCGCAGCUCUCAUUUGGCAUUGGUAGUGGAAUCAUCGCACCAUUCUGCUACAAUUCAUAAGUUGCAGAAUCGCCGUGCUCGUUGGGUACCGGGGCAUAGAAUCGCUAUCCCCUUUAUUUGCCCAACAUCAAUGGUAGCGGAAUCGCCGCAUCCAUGGCCUCACUAAGGGUCCACGUAUUCCACCCUAUAUGUUAACCUUUCUAGGUUUAAUGUUGUUCAUGUCCAAGUGGUAUUCUACCCAUUAUGUUCUCAAACCUAUGUUCCAAUGGCACUAUGUCCUCUACAUUCAUGUGUUGAGUUCUCUAAUGACCCUAGAGAAAUCAAUCAUCUAUCUAGUCCAUAACAUAGGUGUACCAAACCAUCAUGCAUGCAUUCAUCCAUCCAUGAGUCAUAAUAUACAUAUGCAAGGAGUCAUGCAUGAUGUCAUUUAUUCAUGAGCUAUAUCAUAAAUAUGAAGAAUAGUCAAAUAUGCAUACAUUCUUUCAUGAAAGGUAGUGAUCCUAAACUCAUAUAUAUCUCUCGCAUGGACUUUCUCUUAUACAAGACAACAACAUUAACAAGUCCAACUAACAUAUGCUUCUAUCAUGCAUACCUAGUAGGCUAGUAUUUUAAUUAACAUUCAACCAUAAAUAACAUAAUUUAGUUGUUUCACCCUAGACAUGAAAGUGACCAAAUCACUUUGGUACAACACAACCCACCUUAGCACACCCCUAAUUGCUUGUAGUCACUUGCAAUUAGGCUCUUCUCUCUUGUGCUACAAGCUUAGCCCCAAGCUUCUUGCCCUAACACAAGACAAAUGGUUUGUUACCAUUUUCGAACCCUAAUAUGAUUUUAUCUCUUGAAAUCAUGUUGUCCCCUAUGAUUUCCAAUCCCUUAGUUAGGGUUUUAAAGGGUUAAACAUUUUUUAAACCCUUCAAAUCCAAAAACCCUCUUUUGACCUAGGGUUUCCCAAAAUUCAUUGCAAAAUCCAAAUCCAUUUGCUAAUCUCUAUAAUUUGUAAAUUAGAUUAGCCUAGGGUUUGAUAAAAAUCCAUUUAGAAGGUUUAAAUCCAAACCCUAAUCUUAAACUCCAAGAAACCUCACUUUAGCCACAAGUUUCUCACUUUUUCUUGCUCAAGAAAAAGGCUCUCCACCUCCAAAAAAUCCCUCCUCCAAGCGUAAUUGUCACGCCCCGGGACCGGCAGAGGCCCUCCCGGUAGAGCGCCCAGACCCGCCAUAUGUUUACACAUAUAAGGCGUCUACAACAACAGCGGAAAUAAAACAAGAGAUGAUCUACAACUAGAGAUAUCAGAGCAAGUACACAUCUAUAAUCUACGAUAAGAGAAGUUGGAACAAACUAAAUAAUAAAGAGGAAAUAUAAAGUUAUACAAUAACUAUCACAAAAAGUACACAAAAUGGGUGGUCUCUAAUACGCUGGUACAACUCUCAACCUCUCCAAAAGAAAACAAAGAGAGGUAGACCACCUAUCGACCUGUCCCUCAAGGCAAGCUAGCUCGAGGCGAUACCCUUUCCGCGGUCCCUAGCCUCUCCCGGCGUGGAAGGCUCUGAAAUAAGACAUAAAACAUAGGUGUGAGAACUAUAAUUUAUAGUUCCUAGUGGGCAAUUACUGACCUCAAUUCAAUGCACCACUAGGCCCCAGAAGAAAAGGGUAAGUACGGUAAGCAACAAUAAUAAUAAUAAUAACUGUAAUAUGAAAGCAUGUAUGUUUACUAUACCAUAAGCAUUACGAUGUCAAUGUGUUGUACAUUUACUCUUUCAUGAUGAAGAAUGUCCAAUGCAUAAGAAAUAUGUCCAAACAUGGCAACAAGUAAGUAUCAUGACCCGUUUUAUCAAUAUAUGAUGAUUAUGCUCUAUUAUGGCAACCAAGUAUACAAUAAUGCAAUAAGUAAAAUAUCAAGUAUACUACAUGUCUCAACACUAUGUGUCACGCCCCGGGACCGAGCGGAAGCCCGCCCGGCACGUGCCCAGACCCGCCAUACGUCUAAAACGUAUAAGGCGUCUAGAAACAACAAUAAUAAAAGCAAUAUUAAAGGACAUCUAGGAGUAUCAGAGCAUAAUAAAUGUCUAAAUGCUACAACAAAGGAUAAGGUAAAACUGUAAAUCUACUAAAGAAGACAUAAAGUAAAUACAAUAGGAAAUCCUAAAUACAAGUGCUAUAGGUAGGUACAUAGGUGGUCUCUAUACAUGGAUACAAAACCUCUCACUCUCUCAACUACAAAAGAAAGAGUAAACCACCUAGGCAAGUACCGCUCCUCGCUAGCUAGCUAAGCGAUUCCUUUGCCGCGAUCCCGUGCCUCCGCCGGUGCCGAAGGCUCUGAAAAGGAAACCAUAAAACAGGGGCGUGAGAACUAUUAAAAAUAGUUCCCAGUGGGCAAUUACUGACUUCAGUGAAUACACCACAAGGCCCAAAGCUACAAAAGAUGUCAGUGACAGUAACAGUAGAAAGGCGAAAGGUAAGUAAAAAUAAUGUAACCUACUACAACAUGAUAUCUCUACUUAGCGUAAUUAGCAUAAAUAUGAAGCAAUUAUGCAUGAAGUAAAAGUCUCCAACUAUCAUAAUGUUCACAAUGCGAAAUAGUAAAGUUCCGUUGUUUACUAUUCUAGUCAAAGUCCACGUAAUACUCUAAGUCAGUAUCUGUCCACAUGUCAUGAUGAAUGCUCAAGUCAAAUCUGAAGAGACCCACCCGAAGGCUGUCUAUGGCCCUGAGACCCACCCGAAGGCUGUCUGGCCGGUGCCGAGCCUAAUGGCCCCGUGGUAGUCANGGUCCCCGAGAGUAAAAACUCUCAGGCCUCAGCCAAAACUCUCGAGUUCGAACUUUUAGGCCGGUAUACCAUCGACGGCCCUCCACCGAGUGUGGAAAAGUUCGGAAUACACAUCGAACACUCGAACCUCGCAAUUUGCAAAGGUCCAGUGUGCUACACUAUGCUAUAAGCAUGUCAUAGUAAUCCAACUACUAAUCCUAUCUAGUAGUGAUUGUCAUUUUCCGGUUCAAUGUCAGUGUUCCCAUCAUGUUCUAGGACCUACAUAAAUGUAGUAGUCCAGCUUGUGCCACCUAAGUGUCGGUGGUAGCUCCAGCAUUCCCACUCUAGGAAUGAGUCUAUCCCUCCCGACCCCGUAGGUUUUUCGAUACCGCACGAGCGAACAUAAGUCGCGUAGGCCAACUCCGGAGUGCCGGCUUGUAGGGAGCAACCCUCACAAGCAUGUGCGAAUGAGCACAAAUGGCAAACAAGCGUAGUCAUCGUCUCAAGUACCCAAUCAUCAUGUCUCUAACAUAGCACUAGUCACUAGCAUCACAAUGAUCUAGUUUUAUGUCACAAUGUGAAAUUCCAACAUUUACCAAGUCUAGUGCCCCUUUAUGACACUUAGACAAUUCUAUAUUCAAGCAUGUUCUACUUUCCAAAUCUCUCAAUGGCCCUAUCCACUAGGUUCACAUAUAAUCCGAGCUCAAUGCCGCUUUAUGACUUUAGCUCACAAUUUCACAUGUCAAUCUUGUCUAAUGCCUCUUUAUGGCAUUGUAGUAGUUUCUAUGUCCAAUGAAAAUUUAGGUUCAAGGGCGCUUACGCAUGCUAUUUCUACUAUAGGAAACAUGGCCCCAAGUCUCCUAUAAGAAUGCUAAUGCACACAUAAACCUCAAAGGUCUCUACUUCAUAGAGGUCCGAAAAUACUAUGUAUAUAACAUAGGCAUUUUAAGCAUUCUAAAAUUCAUAAUAAAUAUAUUUAACAUGAAUAUGCAUGAAUUUCUACUUUACGAAGCACAAAAUAUAGGAUAUGAGAAUUUCUCAUAUGCUAGGCUAGGUCAAACCCACCGAACCGUCUCGGAACCCUUCGUAAGCUCAAACGAUGUUGUCCCCAAGUCCUCUAGCACCCUAAAGGUAAGGAAAGAAGAGAGAAACGAACGUUACGAACAAUCCCUAGCUCGAUAUUUAACCGGCUCAAGAAUAGGGCCAAAACUCACCUUCAAUGAAGAAAUCUCUUCUCAAGCUCCAAAAGAGAGCUAGAAUCCUUCCAUUCCAACCUAAAGGAAGGUUCUAAUCCCAGUGGAUUAGCCCUAAAAGCCUCUAAUCAAAAAGCCCCAAAAUCACCCCUAGGUUUCCAAUCUAGGGUUUCAUCUACCAUAUAGCAACAAAACUCAAAUCUAGAGGGAGAGAAUGGGCUACCAACCUCUUAGAAGCUUCAAUCCAGGCUCAAAGUCCUCAAACUUCAAAGAUCUUCCCUCAACCAAGCUUCAAAUCCCAAGUCCAAGCUUCAUUCAUGGUGGAUAGUUCACCAAAGCACCAAAAGAAGCAAAAAAAUGUGAUUAUUCCUCUAAUAAUCCAAGGAAUAGGGAAGGAAAUCAAAGGGAGAAGUCUCCUACCUCUUCCUCUGCUGGUGGAGGGCUCAGGGAGAGCCCUAGGGGCGUGGGGUGCUAUAUAGAAUAGCCACAAUUGCAAAAACACCCCUGCAGUUCAAACUGCUCAAAAUCUGCCAAAGUGUACCGGUACACGUUCCCGUGUACCGGUACAAAUCCGGUGAAAAUGCAAACCCGAGCCUCGGGUUUGAAAUUCGGCACAAGUGUACCGAUACAACCAUCAAAAUAUACCGGUACAAAUGUGUACCGGUACAGCCAUCGACCUGUCACUGGUUUCACCAUAUGCAGAGAGCAAACCGAGGGUAGUCUAAGUCCAUCUCUUUGGUGACCUUAGCGCUACAUAAAAUACUACAAAUCUCGGGAUACGAGCCAUAGGUCGGAACACUGUCAACGACCCACCAGAAAAAUCUGGAAAAAACUCAGAACACAGCUCAAACACUCGAACCUUGCAAUUUGCAAAGGUCCAGUGUGUUACAGUAAUCUCCCAAGCUCCUAGGGUUGGAGAUGCUCCAAUAGAGAGAGAGAGUGAAGAGAGUAGGAGAGGAGAGAAGAGGUAAAAGUUCUCUUGUGUACCAAAUGGGGAGAGAAUGGCUGAGGUCCCACUUUUAUAAGGUGUUGCAACAAUUGCAAAUAACUCUCCCACAUUUUGCUCAUUACAACUAGUCAAAACUGGCAUUUUGGAGCACUGCGUACCGGUACUCGAACUCGCGUACUGGUAGGUCCGGUACAUGGGCAUUUAGUUUCGGUACCUAGUUUUCCAGUUCCGCAAAACCCGAGUGUUGAAUUUUCAGGUUUUCUAUUGCGUUCUGGUACUCAGUUUUUCUGUACCGGUACACAAUAUUUUCAGUACCAUAACUAGGGUUUAGUUCCUCAAAAUUCGAGAACUAGCUCCUUACCAUUUUGUAUUGCGUACAGGUACCCAGAUUCCAGUACUUGUACUCAACACAAAAUCUGCAGCUUUGGUAGAUUUGACAUUUCGGAGUCCGUUUUUGCGCACGGUUUGUGCCGAAAAAAGCACUCGAAUAUUCCCCAAGCCUCGUUGGAACUAUUCGAAUAGCCUUUUAAGCCACUUUUCACUAGAACUGCACAAUUUGUAGAAGUUCAGUGCACUACACCUGUAGCUGAGGACGUUGAGUGAGGCUGUCCUGACAUCUAUGAUAGUACAUUUCGGGAUAGCAUAGGGACCGUAAUGAUGCUUGACUUGUUCGUUUGUGACUGCUUGAAUUUCGGGAAUCGAUUCAUAGAAUUAAUGUUCCGAACGCGUCGUAGUACACUUCGGUGCAGUUUGACCAUAUCGGUUAGUAUCGUUGAUGCGUAGAGGGCUGAUUAUGACCCAUGUUUGAUUUGUUUAGGCCUUAGUGAUACCUAUAGACAUGCAGAUGAGUCGAGGGCCCAUGAACACAGAUUAUAGGUCGGUGCUUGGAUCCGGUUGUUGGUACAACUUUAUUACUUGGUUAUUCCCUUUCCAUUUGAUACAUAUAUACAUGCAUAAUGUAGUUUUUUAUGGUUUUACCUACUUUACUACCUAUUACUCAGAUACUGCAUACCUGUGGUUAUUUCUAUGAUGAUUAUUACUCUCGAUUGAUAUUAUCGCAUGUCACUUGACUCUUUAGAUUGUAUUACAUGCUAUGAACAUGAGUAGUAGGCAGGAUGAUUGGUUUAUAACCUUUGGACAUAUUUGUGAGUUAGACCCCGUUUGGGUUCAUUGUUGCUCUAUGGGAGUAUUUUUGGCUUUUGCUGACACCUGGACAAUUAUAGCUGCUUGAGCAUGAUUGCACGAUGAUUGCCACUGUUCUCUAUGCAUUCACGUACAUUAGCGGUUUGGCCACCGCAAUGAUUUUUUUCCCCCUAAAAAAGUGGUCGAGAUCUGACCUGUGAAUCUUUCGGCGUACUUAUGAGGCAAGGGUUAUAUGCUAGUUUCGUCGAGCAUUGUUGCAGUAUGAGCCUGCGGUCCUCAAGAUCAACAAUGGCGUAGAUUGUGUAUAUAGGAAUUUUUUUUAUAUAUAAUCCUAUCAAUAUAUAUAAUUACAAAAAUAGUCUUCUAAAAAAAAUAAUUAUAAAAAUAGAUUUAUAAAUGCGGUGAAUCAUUCACCGCUUUCAUAACUCUACUUAAAAUUAAUAUUUUAAAUGCGGUGAAUCAUUUACCGCUUUUAUUAUUUUUUCCUUUCAUUCUCUCUCAUUCUUUUUUUAUAUAUCCUUUUUAAAAGCGGUGAAUCAUUCACCGCUUUCUCUCUCCAUAAAAAAAUUUGACGAAUGUGGUGAACCAUUCACCGCUUUUACCACUUACAAACACAACGGAGACUAUAUUAUAAAUAAAAUUUUAACGGAUCUAAUCUUAAAAUAAAGUUUUUGAAGAAGACUAGGUUACUAAAAUCCCCCAUACAAGGAGUUGUUGUUUGCUUGGCGCAUGACAUAGUACACUUGAGAAAUGUACUGAUGAUUGGCUUUCCAUUACAGUAGUGUUCGACAUUCUAUUCUUUAUGUUCCCUUACUAGGACUUACUGUCGGUUAUGCUACUAUCACUUACCAUACAAUUUAUUAUGCUUUCUGUCAUUACUUGAUCUUAUUACAGUAGCACUAUCAUUCCGUAUUGGAAUAUGACUUAGCUUACCAUGUAUUUUGCCUCUAUAUUUUGUUAUGCUACUGUUCAUUCGCCUUCUGCGAUUCUGUACCCACUAGAAAACAGAAAACAUUUUACAUGUUUUUCACCCUCUGUUUUUACAUGUGACUUUGAUGGUGGGAAUUGGUGCUGUGUACGGUCCGAGUUAGAUAGAGCUACUUGAGUACCCACCCUGGUCGUAAAUCAAUUGUGGAAUUGGAAUUGUAAUAACUUACUCUUGUUACUACUUAUGUUGACGUUUGUGGUUUGGACUCGUGGAUAUUUUGUGGUUUAGUUUAGUUAGAUAGUUGUCGGCCAUAAUUAUGUUGAGAUCUUUGCGGAGUUUUGAUUUUUUUGGUUCAGUUCGUACUAUUCUACUUUCUCCACUGUCAUGAUUAUUUGGUACACAUUUGUUGUUUUGUGUUGCAAUUGUGUUGCUUUGUAUCACGUCGCUGUGCACGAACAUGGGGGAUGUUGUCUGUUGGGGGGUCUGUUCGCGUCCCAGGCAAGUUUUUAAAAAGUUUUAAAUUGGCCUUUCGCAAACUCUAGUUUUUCAAAUCAAAUUAGCUCUCGAAAACAAUUACAAAACGAGGCCGGAGGCGUGACACAAACAGAAUACACUUUUUGCGCUGUCAGUUUCAUUCAUCAAGCUUUAUCAUUGUUAUCAUGUGACCCCUGGUAAGUUGUUGCGUAUUAAAUGCCUCUCUAUGAUGCACAAAUACCUUCAUUUUACUGGCCGUAUUAUAGUAGAUACGUAUUGGAAACCAAUAUGUGCGUGAUACAUGCCUGAUUCGUGUUGCAUACUUCAUAAGAGUAUCCAACAUUUUUUAAAAUUUAGAAAAAUACCGGAUACUUGAUGGAUACUCGUGUACUUGCGAGAUAGGGGUAGAGUUUUUUUGCAUAGGGAUGAUACUUGCACCAUGUAUUCGUUGUUUUGAUUAAUUUUGUUUCUUUAUUAAUAAGAGUUGACUAUGUUUGUAUCUUUACACAUAUUAAUUAAUUUAUUGCUCUACAUUAACUAAUUAUCUGAAGUUCUAGACAUUUUUUUUUUAAGGGUCAAUUGCAUACAGGUCCUUACAAAUAUAGUGAAUUGCAGAUAUAUUUCUAUAAAGUUCAACUUUCAUAAGUUAUCCCUACAAAAGUUCUAAUGUUUUCAGAUAUGUCCCUGCCGUUAGAAUCCGCUAGAAAAGUUUAGUUAACCAUAGGUUAAAUACUUUACCCGGGUUAAUUUUUGACAUUUUUACCUCUCUUAUAUUAUACUAUUAUAACUUUUGGAGAGACAUAUUUGUGAUCGCAAAAUUGAAAAUAUGAACAGUUUUCUAACGGUUCUCUAACGGUAACAAAUCAAAGGGACAUCUGAAAAUAUUAAGACUUUUGUAGGGAUAACUUAUAAAAGUUGAACUUUAUAGGGAUAUAUUUGCAAUUCAUUAUGCUUGCGGGGACCUAUAUGCAAUUAACCCUUUUUUUAAUGUAUAUUCAUUGUCAUAUGUAAUAAUAAUGUAUGCAUUAAAAAUAAAUUUAAUUACUGUAUCCCCUAUGUUAGGUGUCGUAUCACUAUAUCAAUUGUUGUGUCGUAUUCCGUAUCUCGUAACCCUCUCUAUCCAAUGUAAAUGGUUUUCUUUCUUCUGUUCAUCAUCUCUUUGCCUGCAAAACUUUUGCUUGUUUGUGCUUUUUUUUUUUCUUUGUAUAUAUUUGUAUUGGAUAUUUCAGUGCAAAUUGGAUAGAGCUUUUUGAUCUUUUAGAGUUGAAGGCUCAUGAAAGCACCCAACCUAUAAGCAAAAGCCAUUGGAAUUGAUAUUUUAUACAUCGGAAUAAACCAAUUUGUAUAUGGGAAACCCUUUUUCUCUUUAUCAAGAAAUAUCGGUUCUCUCUGUUUAUAUUGGUAAAGUAGGCAUAGAAUUUCCUUUCUCAACUUAUUCUAUGCUAGUAGCACAGCUCACCUUAAGAGGCUGAUUUCUGAUAUCUCAUAUCGUAAAUGAAAUACUAUGGUAAUUAUUUGAAUUUCUUCCUUUGCAACAAUAUAAUAGUUUCUACAUUACAGUGUCAGUGGAUGGAUGAGGGGGGAGAUGAAGCAUCGCUUGCCUUUUAAGGUUGGACAAGAGGCUGAAGCAAGGUCCUUUAUUACUGGCUUUCGUGGUGCAUGGUUUCGCUGCAAGGUAGGUGGCGAAAAUUUAUAUUACUGUUACUUACACUUGAAAGAUAUGUGUGCAUUGAAAUACACGAUGAAAUUUAUUUGUGUAUGCGCACUUUUAUUCAUGCGUAAUGUGGGAUUACAUUCUAAAGUAAACAUUUGUAUGCUUGUGAUAUUAGCAAUUUUUAUUAAUUGAGAAUAGUUUCAUAGUUGUAAUGCGAUAGAAAGUCUAGUAUUAUUUAUUUUUAUACAUUAUAAUAAUUAUGUUGCGGACUAAAAUAGGAUUUUCAUGUGGAAGUAGUUAAUUCCCCAAAUUAGUUAGAUGUAGUUUUUUAUCUGAUUGUAGUGUUGAUUGAAAUUGUAAAUUAAAAAAUCGCGUUAACUGGUCUAUGCAGUUAAUUGUCCAAGUUAAUCAGCUAAAUUGGUCUUUUAUUUGAUUGGGCAGUUGAUUAAAAUUGUAAAUCAGAAAAUCACAUUAAUUGAUCUUUGCAGUUAUGUGUAUUUUUUUUUUUAAUUUUAAUAUGUAUUGUAAUCGAUCGGAAAGUCCAAACUGGAUGUAAGAAGCAUAUUAUUAGAAACCUUGGUUAUUCUGUCACAUCUCCUUUCAUUAGUCGUGGUUACUUGACAUUGUGGUACAAAAGAAUAGCUUAAUGUUGCUUGGAACGGGAUACGCUGUGGUGUGUGGUACGGGUAUGGAAAUAUGGUUCUCUAAUUUCCUAGGAACGCGGUAUGAGGGGGUAGGAUUAGUUAGAAGUUGGAACACUUCCAAAAUGUAGUUUGUUUAGAACGUCACUAUAGAUCGUCAAUAACUUAUCUUUGUUACCGGUUAAUUCUUUCCUUUCAUUAAGGUCAGAUUGAGUAUUCUCUCUUCUAACCAAAACCGUCUCAACUUUUUUUUCAUACGAGUAUGACUUUUUUGUAUUAUUCUAUCUAGUGAAAAAUAUUUUUUUAGGCAACUAAACAAAUUAGAUCUAGAAAAAUUGAAGAAAAUCUUUACUAUUCCGGUUCACAACUUUUUGUGAAUCGAAUCGAGAACCCACCACGAAUCAAUAUGUGCAAUCCAGAUCACAGUUCGGAUUUGGGGGGUGGGGGGGGGGGGNGGGUCUGCGAUGUCACGCCCCGAGACCGCUACCCAUUUGGUCCGGUUCGGGCACGUCGAACAGACGCCGAACGGAUAGCACCUCCUCUGUCCGCCCAAGGCUCAAACACGGGAUCAUGUACAAGAAUUCGCCCAGGAACAAUUCAAUACAUACGUGAUCCAUACAAUGACAAUAGAAGCACCACCAGUGCAUAACAACAAGAGCAAGUAACACAAGUAUACAUACAAGUGCAAAAAGAGAGAAUUCUAUCUAUUACAUCACAUUCAUCCAUUGAUUACACUUGUUUCAUCCCAAAAUACAGAUACAAGUUUGUUCACAUCUCUCCAAAAUGCAACUCACAACCUAUACAUCAUCUACUCUCAUAUAUAUAUAGGUACCUCUAAUGCAGUAGGAGAGCUACUAAUGCUAGGGCGCCAAGCCCUUACCGCGAUCCUCGCCCGAAGUGUUUGUACUCGGCCCUGCAACAAAGUGGGGUGAGAACUAUUGUCCAUAGUUCCCAGUGGGUUCGGCCGCCGACUCCGCCGAUCUCCCCACUAGGUCUAAGUGGGCACAAGCAGAUAAAUAGGUAGAUAGGUAUGUGAAAGCAGUAACGACAUAAUAAGAAAGCUCCGCUACUAUGCCCAAAUCAUAUCCAAUGUAUGUAUGCAUAAUGUGAUAAGUAAUCAACUAACAUGCCACUAUGUCCAAGAAGUAAUGUUAUUUACUUGUUCAUUAAAUUCUCUUGACUUACUCAAUCCUUGGCCAACCCUGAGGUUCGCCUGCGACUCACAUGCAUCUCAUGGUAAGGAGACUCAACUUGCUCAGCAAACCCGAGACCGUCUGCGGGACCCCAUAAGGCUAUCCCAGGGACCCCAUAAGGCUAUCCCUUAUGUGACAAAACUCCGGAGCUCACCCUUGUGAGAAGCGACCAACACAAGUUCUGAACAGACAACGAAUAUGAUCCAAUCCUCUCAACUCGAGGAUACCCUAUCCACUAGGGCUAAUAGUCACUCACUCGGGAAUCCACCUAUCCCAAAGUCCAUAUGCAAGUGUUUAACUAUACUAAGUAAGUUCUUGUUCAAUGACUCAUCUCUAGGGAAUCCACCUAUCCUUAAGUUCACAUGUCAAGUGUCAUUUAUACACUAAGUUACAUGCCACUCGUUCUGUUGUCAUUGUUAUUUAUAUGCCACUCGUUAUGUCUUUAUCAACCAUCGAGUCCAUCUCUUAUCUCAGCAUUAUAGGAUUCAAUGUCUCGACCCAAUCUUUAUCUAUCCACUAUAUCAAGCAUUCAACUCACACUAUGAUAUCAUUUAAGAAAGCAUAAGGAAAUGGCAAUGCACAUUUAUCCUACAAUGCAUAUAUACAAGAGAUGCUAGAUUAUAAUGCACUAAGACAUAAAGAGGAGCCCGGUUGCUUCGGGAUGACACCACCAACAUUCUGGUGUUGUCGCGACUCUAGGAAUGAAGUUCGGCGAUUUUACGAUGUCGUCUCAGCCUCCCAGGCGGAAACGAAGCUCGGAAGGUUCUUUUUGCCAAUAACUUUACACCCGCCUGACGAAUUGUCGAACUGUCUUCGCCAACGCGUUCAAACACCUAGCAAUUAGGUUUACGCUUGAUCAAUUUAGAUCAAUACCCAACAAAUCACAAAACCCCCAUUUUGGAGCCCUGACUUGCAAUCAUGCAAGAAUCCAUCGCUAAAUCUCCAACUCAUGCAUUAAAGCAUCUAUUUAGCAUGCUAGAGUUCCAUUUAAACCAUUCUAGAGUUUAAAGAUCUAAACCCUAGAAAUCUACCAUGGUUGAGCCUAGAAGCUUACCUCCAAAAGCUUGCUCCAAGCGUGAGAGGAAGAAGAAGAUGACGAAGAUCCUUCUCUUUGCUUGCUUCUCCACCAAAACCCUUCUCUUCUUCACCUUCUAGAGAGAGAGGAAGAGCGUUUAGAGAGAGAGAGGCUAGGGUGAGUUUGGGAGAGAAAUGAGAAAGAGAGAGGGUUCACCCUCUCAUAUACCCCCAACUCAUGCUACAAAUGCAUAAAAGCCCCUCAACUUUGUCAACAUGACACAACCCAUCUUGGGCAAAUUCCGGCUACGGGGACCGGUCUCUCUAAGAGGGACCGGUCCCCGAGAGUGGCUUAUUUACAGAAAAGGGCCAUUGACCCCUUUUCCACGCUUACGGGGACCGGUCUUUCCAACGAGGGACCGGUCCCCGAGAGCUCACUCUCGCAGGACAGCCCCUUGCUCAAUUUGCAUUCCUACGGGGACCGGUCGCUCCCGCCAGGGACCGGUCCCCGAGAGCAAGUUUUAUGCACAGAGUCCUUUGCCACAUUUUCCAAGCUACGGGGACCGGUCUCUCCCACCAGGGACCGAUUCCCGAGAGCAAAAAUCCUGCACUUGCAGAAUCUUCACAACUCGCUCGGAGGCCUUCUCCAAUGUACUUUUGGCCUUUCCGAUGCCUUCGGACUUUCCGAAGCACCCCAAGUCGACAAUUAGUCGAUUCUAACUGAAGUUCAACUCUCGUAUUUCGAGAAUUCACUUCCUUACAUGCGACCUCAGUAAGCGUGAGCUUAACUAGAAGUUACUAGUAAAACAUGUAGUGAUAUUAGUGCUUUAUAAGUUUCAUCAAUCAUGUAGAGUCCUACUCUGUAAACAAAUUUUCUUAUCGUGCCAAGAUUUUCUUUUUGAGAUUUGAACAGAGCUAUAUUUCUAUGUUAGGUUGGAGAAGAGAGUUUGAAUUGUGAAUUGUGGAUAUGGAAGUUUGGUUUCAAAAAUUAAGCAGGGAGAGAUGGCAUCACCAUGAAGUGGAAAGCUAGUAGAAGCAAAAAACCUAAAAUAUCUUUUAUUUUGUCCCUAAAAAAGUCAACAUAAGGAAUGAUAAAUUGUUAGGACUAACACUAUAAGUUAGGAGAAUUAGCAUGGAGGCAAUGUUUAAAAAGGUGCGAGGCGCAAAGGCCUUCUGUAGCAAGGAUUAAAGUGCCGUGGCACAAGAGUGCAUACCGGUUGUUGCUUAGCACGGUAUGGCACAGGUACGCCUCUGUGCCGACACGUGGCACGCUUGUGUGCCGAUGGAUAUGCAUGACCUCCCAGUGGUGCACUUUGAUACGUUUUUUUAGUUUUUUUAUUCCCAAGUAACUCUUAUAAUGCUAUUUUGAAAGAUAUAGAAAAAUAAUUAUAAAUAUUGGCUAUAUAUAUAUAGUUUACUGUACUCAGCAAUUAAUAUAGUAGGAAGCUUUUUAUAUAUGUAAAGUGAAAAUAUGACUAUAGCUCAUAGAGAAUAAAAAUUAAAAAUCGAUGAACUUUGAAAAUUCUUUUGAUUUUACCUUUUCUUUCAUACUGAAAAAAAUUAUAAAAUACAAAAUUAGAGAAAUUAUUUUUUUUUCAAAACUUUUAUAGAAUUUGCAAGAUUCAUCCAUAUUGAUUAGACGAGAGACCGCAUGAUGACUAGAUUAACCAGAAUAGCACUACAAUUGCUUCAAUAAUUUCUUUUAUUUUUGAAUCUUUUAAAAAUAUUUAUUAUAAAUUUGAAGAGAAAAUUAUUUUUUAUUAAAAUUUUUAAGAAAAAUUGUGAGAUCUAUUGAUAAAAAUUUAACAAUAAAUCAUAUGACGAAUAAUUAAGCAAAUUUAAAUAUUAGUUGCUUCAAUUUAGUUUUUUUUUAUGUUUUAUUAGUAUUUUUCAUUUUCUAAAUCCAAAAAUAGAAUUUUCAAAGUUAAAAAAUUUUUGUCAUAAAUCUCAUACCCAAUGUUAGAUUUAUCCAAAAGAAUGACUUAAUCAAGUAGAUCUAUUUUUAAAUUUUUGUAAACUAUAAAUAAAAAUUGUAUAAUGACAAAUUUCUUCAAUAUAGGAACUUUGCAAGUUAGAAAUAUUCAAAAUGUAUGAAAAAAAUUAAAAUUGUGAAUUUUUUACUUACCUAAUAAGUACAUUUUUGAUUUGCUAUUUCUUUGACUUUUCUCUUAAGAUUGAAGUGAUCAAAGUAAAAAUGAAGUAGAAAUAGAAGGGAUUGAAAGGAGAAAUUACAGAAAAUAUAAUAAGAAAAGGGAGAAAAAAAAAUAGAGAUAAAACAAAGACAGGAAGAGAUAGUGAGAAGAAAAGGAAAUAUUGAAAGAGCGAGUUGAGGAGAAGAAAAGGUAGAAGAGAAUGAGCGAGAAGGAUGUGUUUUAUCUCUAUUUUUUUUUCUCCCUUUUCUUAUUAUAUUUUAAGGUUGGCCGGCCGGGGGGGGGGGUUAAAUGUUAAAAUGGUCGGUGCCCUUAUAGGCACUCAGUGGCACUGUGCCGCAUACCUUUGGGUAUUGCGAUGUCUCGUGCGAUACCCAAACGCGGCACGGGGGGUCCAAGAGAGAAACCCCCUGUAUUGUGCCCCAUUGGUGGUACGAUAUGUAUUGCCCCGUGCCGGUCCGCUCGGGGCGACAUUUUAAACCUUGUUUUGGAGCCUAGGUGCGAGGCCCACUGCGAAGCGCGCGCCUCAAGAAGGUGAGGCGCACAUCUAAUAAUAUAUUCUUAAGAAGCUUAGUUUGAAUGGAUGUUUUAUGUUUAAAAAUCCCAAAAUAGCCAACUACAAACUAUGAAAAAGCAAAGAAAUCACACGUUCAAACGUUCUCAAACUAGAAAGAAAAAAAAUUAUGUUUCAACUUUCAACUUAGAAGUGCUUGUAUUCGGAAUUACAAAUGGUUAAUUAGGCAUGAAGAGAUUGUAGGUACUUGAUCUGUCAUCCAUCGGAUUAGGUUCAAAUGCUUUAAUUUAUUGUACUACACCGAAAAUACGUAUUGCAAAAUAGACAAUGAUACAAUAUUGAAAUAGGGACAAGAUUUAAAGAGAGUGGGCAUCUUUUGGGGGCAAAAAUUCCAGGAAAUUCUCUCUUGUACUAUUAGUAUGGACUAGAUCUUUGAAUGAAGAACAUGUGGAUUAUUCUAAUUUCUGCGAUAUUUUUGUUAGCACAAGAGGCCUACGGAGUAGCACUAUAUAAGAUAAACUGUUAGAUCUGUAAUCAUUGAUUGUUACCAGAAGAACCAGCAAUAAGUAAAGGGGCUGGCAAUUGACAUCCUUUUGGCUCCUUUGGCACCCUUUGGCACCUGGAGGCUUUUGAUCAGCACCUCUGUUUCUUUAAUACCUCGUUGGCGUUAUUAUUGCUUUUCCUUGUCUCUUUGGAUUGCCGACAUGACAAUCCAGCUUUGCAUUUGUUUUAUAUGCUUUCUGGGUUAAUAUUACACUUUUAAAUUUUAGGCAUCGUUAAUUGUUGGCGGCCUUUUUUAACUUAUUUCUUGAGCUAAUAUUUUUUAUUUUACCUUCAGAUAAAGAAUAUUGGCUUCAAGAAAGGAAAACUUGGCUACUACUUGGAAUUCUUUGAUUUUCUAGAUGAAAGUAAGUGAUCCUUCAUUACGAAAAGUUCUUGUACUAAUUGUUUGCUUUCGAAGCAUAUGGAUCCUCGAUGACUGAAUUUCUUUAUUUGAGGCUGGAUGGUUGCCAUAUUGCGGUUAUUGGAGAGUUUCUAAUUGUUCUGACAACUCAUUUGUUGUAAAAUUUUCUUUUACAUGGCAUCUUUCUUAGGUUUAGAGGUGUGGAAUUUGAUUUAUGAAGUGAUACUUAUUAUGUUUGUUUUUAUUCAAACCUCAGGUUCUAACCUGCAUAAUGAUGUUUUGUGUUCUGCAUUUUUAUCGAAUACUGUUCAUGAGUAGUCAUAAUAGGAAUGAUGCAUAACAGAGUCUGUUCGCUAUUUUAUAUUGCCUUGGAAAUUUCUAUGAUUAUCUCACUUGCAAGUGCUUGGUGCUGGAUCGAUAAACUAAAUUCUGGCUUUGUAUUCCUUUGAUGGUGGAUCUUCUUCUUGGUUGCAACAAACAUUUUCAGAGAUAACAUGGACGAAAGUCUAUCAAAAGCCCCCCAAGCACACUAAUAAGCCACGUGGAGUGAUGAAAAUGGAUCUUAUGGUCCGCCCUUCCUUUCCCCCUUGGUAUAAGGAGAGCGAACUACUGGAUCAUCAUUCCACAUCUGGAAUAGUAGCAAUUGUUGAUGAUACUUGGAAAGUUGGUGAUCUGGUUGACUGGUGGUAUGACAACUGUUACUGGACUGGUAGAGUAACCCAAUUACUUGGAGAGGAAAAAGUUUUGGUAAGGCAUUUCUAAUUUGAUUCCCUCUAUUUAUUUUUUUUGUAUCUUAUUCUUUUAAGCAAGGAUUUAAGUGUCGUGGCAUGGGGUCGUGCUGGAAACUUGCCGGCACGGUACAGUAAGGUGUGUGCCAAGCCAUGCCGAUGGUUGAUUAUCAACCAAACUUUUUGUUCACACUCAUUUUUUGGUUAGAAGUACAGGGGGAUUUUGUCGAAACUUGAUUAUCAACCAAAAUUUUUAGCUGUGCUAUUGAGAAUUGAGCCAAUCUUUGCAGAAUUCUCCUAUCCUUUCCAAUAGAGCUGGACCUGUUAGCUCUUUCCUCUGCUGCUAGUCUCUAUGUUGUUCUACAUUCUUGUUCUUUGGGAUGACAACAUGAACUGAAUAGGAUUGGUACCCUGGGUGUGUUCACCCUAUAAAACUCUUUACCAAGGAUUUAAGCGACGUGGCACGGGGUCGUGUCAAAAACUUGCCAGUGUGGUACGGCAUGGUGCGUGCCGGGUUGUGCCGAUGCGUGCCGGUCACAAAGAAUAUAUGUGUGCCAACACAUAAUAGCAUGAAAUAUUUAUUUUCUUUAGCAACAAAAUAUGCCAAUUAUUUAUUAUGUAUUUUUAUCAAAUCUUUUGAACUUUAUUGAGAAAAUUACUUACUAAUUUCAAGAAUAGAGGGUUUUGAGUUGUGUCAUCAAUGCAGGGGCUGUAUCGUGUCGAUAUCUUGUCGGCACGAUACGGCAUGGUGGAUACGGCCCAUGUCGAUGGGCACUUUAAUCCUUACUCUUUACGACUCCUAAAGUGAAACUGCUUGAGCUCAAAGUUACCUUAAACCUCAAAUUAUACAAAUGUAAAGUUAUCUAUAUUUAAGGCAAGUAGCUUAAAAUUGAGGUAGCCUGAAACGUGAAGAAAGGCACAACUGAACACAAAACAUGAACAGUAAAGUCAAAAAAGUCUGAAACUUGAUCUAGCAGGUUUCUUUAUUUUGCGAUGCAUGCUUCUAUUUAUAAGGUCUUAUGUACAUUUGCUUCUUUGACCACCUAGGCACCUAGCGUAGGCUUGGCGCCACACAAUGAGUACACGUCUAACCCUGCAGGCUCACAUUUUCUGUACAUGUGAGGAUUAAACAUGAUAUUUGGAAAUGAUUAGCUAUUUGAACACUUGGAUAUCUAUUUCUAUAUAGAUAUUGUGAUUCUUAUUUUGAUUUUAUUUUGAUUAUUAUUUUUUUCUUAUCUAUUUUAAUAUAAUGAAAGGUAUGUUAAACCGAAGCCUCCCUGCGUUUGGGGGGCUUCGGUGGUGUCACGCCCCGCUCCCCGCCAAUUUGGUCGGGUUCGGGCCACGUCAACAGACGCCGAACCGACAGCACCUCCCCUGUCCGCCCAAGGCUCCAACAACAAGUAUAAUUAAGCAAUUCAAACAACGAGAUUGCAAUUAUACAAGGCUUGCAUGAGGGCAAGCAACAACUACAUAAGUGAAAGUAAACUAUCUAUUACAUUCAUUCAUUGUAACUUGAUCACUUUUAAUCAAAUACAAAGCUUGUACCUUUACUUUACAUUCAUUCAUCCAAUUUACAUAACCAUCUCUCAAAUGGAUUAAUUACAUUUCAUAUACACUUUACAUUCAUCGACAUAAUAGAGGAAAUAUACAAAGGGUGGCUCUAUACACAUCGGUAGUCCGCUACCUAGAGCACGAUAACCAUGCCACGAGCCACGAUCGCCCCGCUCGCGCUAGAACCUGCAUGGUUAGUGGGAUGAGAACUAACAACAAAGUUCCCAGUGGGUUCGGCAACCGACCUCGCCGACUUACCCACUAGGUCUAUUUAGGCAUAUGUAUUUCAAGAAAGGAAGAUAGCAAUCCUACUAAUGCUACUACUAAUACAAUGCCUGCAAGAAAACUGAUCAAUAAACAGAUAAUCAUAUGUAUGAUAAAUGCAUGCAUGCUCUUUCCAUAAUCUCUACUUUGGUUUUUACCCAAUCUUACAGGUUAAUCUUGUUAACCCUAAUAACUCACAACCCAAAAUCCCUUAAUAGCGGGGGACUCGAACCUCCCUAGGGACCGUCCUUUGGGGGGACUUUACCACGCCCAGUGGUGACCAACUCCGGAGUGCACCGCCCGAAGGGGAGCUACCUCCCUCAAGCCAAGACUUAUCGUGAGUAUCGAUCCAAUCCUCAACUUUAGGACAUAUAGCCACUAGCCACAAUGCCACUAUAUCAAUGAUAGGUCUCUACCUUGUCAUUUAUGCCACUCUUUAGGCUACACUUGCCAUAAUGCCACAAUGCCACUAUGUACUAACAGGUUUCUACCUUGUCAUAUAUGCCACUCUCUAGGCUACACUUGCCAUAAUGCCACAACUAGUUAAACCUUGUUUAGCAAUUCAUAUCAUAAUGCCAAUUUUGUCUCUAUUGUCAAUGUCACCUUUGUUUACUAUUAUCAUAGUUCAUAAAGGGUUCCAACAUACAUGUCCUCUAUGGUUCUAUAUCAAUCACUAUGUUCAUCUACAUUAGAAGCAUAAUAUUGAAUUUCAACCAUUAUUCACAUGCCAACUAUCCUAUAUGCAUGAAUGACACUAUUCACAUAUAUGCUCAAUAAAAGGCAACAUAGACAUAGAAGGGAAUCCAACGAUUCCGGAAAGCACCCCCCACCUUAUAGGAAUGCCAAGAAGCUACGGUUCAAUUUUCGUGAUUUUUGGGUGCCUAUUCUGCGUGCUGCGGCCAUCUGUAUGAAAAAUGGUAUUUCGUCAAUGUCUUCGCGUACACUCGUCGGAUUGACGAACCGAGCGCACCAACGCGUUCGUUAUACCCCUAAUUAGGUUUCCAUGAGGCCAAUUUAUCUCGGAAACGAUCGGAGGCAAAAGCCCCAAAUAUGGUGCCCUAAUAAUGUCAUAUUGCAAUUUUUCCGUAGAUUGAUCUUAGAGCUAAAUAAAACUAGGUUAGAAUCAUCUAGGAAGCUCUCUAAUACCAUUUCUAGAUCAUUUAAACCAUUCUUAGGGCAUCUAACAUGAACCCUAGCAAACCACCAUGUGAGCACUUGAGCAAAACAUGGAUUUCCACAUGUUCUAUAGUCUCUACUAGGUUUCUAACCAUGUGAAAGGAUCAAAUCUCUGAGAUUUGGGUGCAAGAUCAAACCCUAGCAUCAUCCUUUCAUAAGAACUCACCUUAGCCCAUUAGCUCUCCAAUAUCCACCUUGUUGGAGAGACCAACACCUUGAAAAGCUCCAAAUCUCCCCCCAAUCCUCCUUUAAUCCAAUUUGUAGAGAGCUUUUAGAGAGAGAGAGGGAGAGAAAAUGAGAGAAGAGUGUAAUCUCAGCUUGCUGUGAAGAGAAGAGAAGGUUUGGGUCUUAUUUGGGCUGCUACAAUUGCAGUUAGGCCCUCCAACUCUCCAAUUCUGCAGCCGGCUGCGCCUGCGGUCCACCGUGCACUGUACCAGUAUACGAAAUCCUGUCACCGGUACAACAACCUUUUUUUGUGGUCCACGGUGCACUGUACCGGUACACAAAAUCUUGUCACCGGUACACAGCCUUUUUCUACUCAACCCGAGAGCUACUUCUUUCGAUUUUACACUAUAUACCGGUACACUUUUUGUCACGUCCCCCGCCCCGAGCCAGCUACCAAUUUGGUUCGGUUCGAGCGUGGCGAACGGACGCCGAACGGACAGAGUCUCCCCUGUCCGCCCAAGGCUCAACGACGAGAUCAUGUACACAAGUUCCCAGGAAAUACACUCGUUUACAUACAUGAUCAUACAACGAUAGCGAGAGCACAAACAGUGCUAAACAAACAAGAGCAAGCAUCACGAGUAACCAACAUACAAGUGAAUAAAAGAGAGAUACUAAUCUAUUACAUCCAUACCACAUAAUACAUUUGAUUAACUUUACAUUUAAACUUCAAAAAUAUUAAACAUUGAGUUUACAUCAUCCAAAAUACCUCACACCCUAUACAUCAUCUACUCUCAAAAUAGAAAUAGGGUACUACUAAUGCAUAGAAAAGUAAGCUACCAAAUGUCUAGGGCGCCAAGCCCUUACCGCGAUCCUCGACCGGCGCACUAGUACUUGGACCUGCAACAACGUGGAGUGAGAACUACGAAUAGUUCCCAGUGGGUUCGGCCGCCGACUCCGCCGAUCUCCCCACUAGGUCUAAGCAGGCAUAGAGAGAUAAUGCAACAGAUAGAUAGUUGUGCUGAAUUGAAAGGAUUUAUAAUAAAUAGGCAGGAGUAUAUAAUGAACAUCUAACUAUGCCUCAAUCUGCAAUAAUGCAUACAUAAACUUUAAUCAUAGUAAAUAACUACAAGUCUACUACAUGAUGCUUCAACAAUAAUGAUAUGCCAUACUUAAUCACACAGGUGAGGAUCCGCUCACUCACCCAACUCACAAUCUAACAUACCGGGGAGGAUUCGCUCACUCGCCCGACUCACUAUCUAAACACUUCGGGGAGGAUCCGCUCACUCGCCCGACUCGCACAAAUACCACAACCCAAUCUGAAUCUCACAGGUGAGGAUCAGCUCACUCACCUGACUCACAUGGGGAGGAUCAGCUCACUCGCCCAAGAUUGUCUGCGGGGCCCAAAAAGGCUAACCCCUCGGGACCCAAAAAGGCUAUCCCUAUCGUGUGACAACUCCGGAGUACACUGCUUGUGUGGGGCGACCACUCCAAGCUUCGAACAGACAUAUGAGUAUGAUCAUAUCCCCAUCAUUGAGGAUACCCUACACUCUAGACAACCACACUUGGGUACUAGUUCACUUCUAAGUUCAACAUGCAAUGAGAGUUUUCAUCUAUACUCUAAGUUCAUCAAUGCUACUCGUUCUUAUAUUCAAUGUUUACUAGAUGCCACUCAUUAUCAUCUAAGUGUUCUUUAUACACUCUUAGCACUAACUCCCUAGGUUGUCAUUGUCCUAGGUUCAUAUCCACAUUCAUACAUACGUUAUGUCAUAUAGGGUGAAACUAUAUUAUUCCAACUCAUGCACACUAGGUUCAAGUGUUAAAUCCACAACUACACUACCAUAGCAUGCAAUGAUAUGUACAAUCGCAUUUAACACCCUAUAAGGCUAUAUUACAAUAUGAAAUUGAUCGACAAUAGAACUCAGACAUAAAGAGCAGUUCGACCGCUUCGGGAUGGCACUCCCCCACCUUUAGGUGAUGCCACGAGCCUACGAUUCCGAUUUCGCGAUUUUAGGAAGCUUUCGCCGCGAGCUGCGGCAAUCUGUACCUCAACAAGCUUUUUUCUUCAAUAUCUUCGCAACCGCUCGAUGAAUCAACGAACCGUCUUCGCCAACACGUCAGAAUACCUAGCAAUUAGGUUUGCGACCCAUCAAAUUAGAUCAAAACCCUAGAUUUCCCAAAACCCCAUUUUGGAGCCCUAGGUUUCAGCUAGGUAAAAAUCCACCACUCUAGCCUUGGAUUUAAGCAUAAUCCAUCUAAUUAGCAUCCUAGGAUUCCAAAAAUACCAUUUAUAAGAUAUUUAGACCAACCAUUAAAGAUCUACCAUUAAAGGGGUAGCAAGCUUACCUCCAAAGCAAGCUCCAAUGGUGGAGAGGAAGAAGAAGAUGCUAACCCCUCUCUUGAUCUUGUUCUCCACCAAAUCCACCUCCAAGAUCCACCCUUGUAGAGAGAGAGAGGUCUACUUGGUUGCAAAUGUGAGGGAGAAGGAGAGAAAUGAGCUCAAACACACCUCUAUACCCUUUGCACAAUUGCACAAAGGUCCCUCAACAAUAUAAGUCACACACAGCCCAAACUGGGCCAUUUUCGGGUGCUGGGACCGGUCUCUGGACUUGAGGGACCGGUCCCCGAAUGUCCAGAAAAACAGUAUUCCAGACUUAGCCAAAUUUUCAGCUUUUUCAGCUUUCGGGGUCCGUUUUCGCUCCGUUUUCGCCCGUUUGACCUCCGAUUCGUUUCAAAUCGAACCGAGACUCUCCAAACAUGUUUUCGAGCAUGUUUUCAUCAUUUUGUCAUCCACGCUAAUGCCGGAUUUAACUCAUGGCCCAACAUAGCCUUUCGGGUUCCGUUUCCGCGCCUACGCGCACCGAAUCGCCCGAAUGCUCCCGAACUUCACCGAACUUCACCGGAACCAUUCUAAUGGCUCACUAACCAAAUGUACACCGUAACUUCAUGAUUUUAGAAGUCCGGUACCUUACACUUUUGAUGUUAAAUUGGUAACACAACUCCAGAUUUCAGAUAUUCGCAUCUUUUCGAUUCUAUUUCGCUCCGAUAAAUGCUAAAACCUUUCUAACUUUUUUAAACUCAUUUUAAACUCUUCCAACCUUGUUGGAACGCUAAAUGGAACUUGUUCAACCAGUUUUCUCGGCACUUUAACCCAAUUUGGGUAAAGUCCAAUACUCUCUACCGAGUUUCGGUAUGUUACAGGUGGGACCCAUCCUUUUUUUUUUCUCUCUCUCUCACUCUCUCUCCUCUCUGUCACUCUCUCUCUCUCUUUUACUUUUUUUAUUUCUUUUUCUCUCUCCCCAUCGCGCUAAAAUAGCUACUAAAAUUAUGAAGGUUGAUUAAAUUUUUAAAUAAAGUUAUUAGAAUACUUUAACUCUACAAAUACUGAAAGCUAAAAAUAUUAAUAAAAAAAUAGCUUUUAUAAUAUAUAAAGGAUAUAUAAGUUUGUUUUAUAUUUUUCAUUAUAAAUUUUUUCAAUUUUAAAAUUUUAAAAAUUAUAUAUAUUAAUUAACUGAAAUAUUAUCUACACGCCGCGAAGCGCGGGUCCUGUACUAGUUCAUAGUUAAAAUCUGAUACAUAUGUGCAUUCAUGCAUCACUGUUUCAUUCUUUUCCCUCCUAUUUUGAGUCAACCAUUUAACCAUAUUAUAUUGAUUCUUCCUCUCAAGAUACGAAAUUAAAUCAAGUAGGAGGAAAUUAUUAAUAAUAAGAGUCUGGCACUCAAACUCAGAAUCUUCUACUUUGAUACUCUGUGAAAUAAUAUGAAACGAUCGUUAUUCUCUAAAACUCAAGCAAAUAGAAAACGAUGUUGAUAAAAUUUAGCAAUAAUUGCUUAUAUACUGCUCAAAAUUUCGAAAAUAUCUAAUUUAUCUUUUUUUUUUUCUGUUCCUGAUAUACCCCUCAUAUGUUCUUCUGUUAUUUAAAAAUGCCCCUGCAGUUACCACCCAUUAAGUUUUCUCGAGUUAAACGAGAAUUAAAUGUCUACCAGUGUUAAAAAAAUCAAAAUAUCUCUUUCGCCUUUAACUUAAGGACAAAUAAAAAAAGUUGGUGAUAGUAGAGGAAUAUAUUUGAAAAGACAAAAAAUCAAAAUACUUUUUUGUCCCUAACUGAAUGACAAAUAAGAAAAUUUGGUGAUGAUAGAAGGGUAUACUUGAAAGGAUUCACAAAAAUAACGGCUAUUGCUAAUCAUUUGCUAACAGAAUUUAACUCUAGAAACAUAUAUGAAAUAACUCGGAACGUAAAGAGUAUUUUUAGUAUUAACCUUUUGAAAGAGAUAAAUUAGAAGGUCGGAAAUUUUUCAGGAGUAUAUAAGCAAUUGCCCUUAAAAUUUAUAUUCAAUACUUUUAACACUUCAAAUAGUUCAUCAUAGUGAAGAACCACUGCACUAUGCAAUAGUUCAUAGGCUAUUGGAUGCCUCUUUAACCAAUUUUUUAUUUCAAUUUUCAAUUUAGUUUGAAAGAGAGAACCUUUUUUUGUACAUCCAUGCAGAAAUAUUCUUAUAAUUACUAAAAUAUAUUUAUAAUAUUUAGGAUAAUUAUUUUAAAUUAUUAUAACACAUAAUUAGAUGACCUAACAGGUAUGAUUGCUAUAUUAUAUAUAGUAAUUAAAUAACAAGUAUAAUAAAUAAUAAAACAUAUUUUUAAUAGAAAUUUUAAUAAGAGCCUUGAGUUUUUAUUUUCCAGGUAAAAUAUCUGGAAAACGGAAACUCCACUUCUCAAUAAAAGUAAUUUCUUCAAAAAUUCUUUAACGACAAACGUUCACCUGAACUGAAAAUGAUUUUUGAUUUCAUUUUACAAGGAACUAAACAGCCCCUUAGUUUUUAUGAGGGCAUGCAGGAGAUGAUUAGUACAUACGAUACGGUUGAUAUUUGUUGGCUUAAUUUUUAUAAAGGUGCAUACAGGUCCCCGCAAACAUGGUGAAUUAUAGAUAUAUCCCUACAAAGUUCAACUUUCAUAAGUUAUCCCUACAAAAGUCCUAAUGUAUUCAGAUAUGUCCCUUUGGUUAGCACCCGUUAGAGAACUGUUUAUUUUUAACAGUAGGUUUGUAAAAUGACAUUUUUGCCCUCACAAAUAUGUCCCUCUAAAAGCUCCAGCUGGUAUAUGUUUGGAAAAAUGCCCUCACAAAUGUCCUUUUCCCCCUUUCUCUUCCUUUUUGGGCUGCCAGAGCGGGGGGCGGCGCAGAGUUUGUCAGAGUUGCGGCCGACGAGAAUGAGGCUGAGGCCUGCAGCGACGAGGCGGAGGGCGAAGGUGCAGCCGAUUCAAAGAAAGAGGAGGAAACGGAAAAGGAAGAAGGAGGAGAAAAGGAGGAGGAAAAGGAGGAUACGAAGAAGGAGAAGAGGAAGAGGAAGAAUGGUAAAAUUAUCAAUUUACCUUAUUAAUUAACCGUGGUUAAGUAUUUUAAUUGUGGUUAACUAAAUUUCUUUAACGGAUCCUAACGGCAAGGAUAUAUCUAAAUACAUUAGGACUUUUGCACGAAUAACUUAUGAAAGUUGAACUUUGCAGGGAUAUCUGUAAUUCACUAUGUUUGCGGGGACCUAUAUGCAAUUAACCCUUUUGUAAAUAGACAGUUGUGUUUUUUGAGACUUUGAGUAGAGCUGUUUGAAGAACCACUAACAUUUUUCUAUUGCUACAUGUUUUCAUAUAUUUAUAAAAUUAUACGUGUUCAAAAAAAUAUUCUGAAAAAUAAUUGAAAUAUUAUCUCCCCGCGGCAUCGCGCGGGCCCUUACCUAGUAUUGUCAUAAUUAACAAGGUCUCCUCUUUUGGUUCGUGCCUACAGAUAGAGUUGCCACAGCCUCCAGUUGGUGAAGGAAGAUCAUACUGUGCUCUUUGUAAGGACUUGAGGCCCUCUCUUGACUGGUCUCCAGAAAAUGGUUGGGCAAUACCUAUAUCAAAGGUAUUACCUUCGUUUUUCUUUCUAUGUUGGUAUUGCAUUUUCUUAUCAUUAUUAAAAAAUCAUUUUGCUGAUAAAAUCACCAUCACUUUUCUGUCCUUUUAGCUAAACUCUGUUUGCUUCCUACUAUUCAUUGGUGAUUUUUGUGCUUAUAAACCUAUCACAGAACAAUAUCUGUUCUGUCCAUCAUUAGUAAUUUUUUUUUUAAAUUUUUUAAAUGCUUGAUUAUACAUUUGGCUUUUGUAACAAAAUUUAAGGGCCUAUUUCUGCUGUUUAUAUGUUGUUACUUCUGACUUUCCUAUCUGUAGUGGUUCUUCUUGAGGAGAGUGGAUGAGUUGUGUUCGUAAGGCUUGAGAAGGAUUGUAAUACAAAGCAUUGCCCUUCUCUUGAAUUUACCCUAAUAAAGAUAAAUGCUGUUGUGUGUACACCAAUAAUAGGGUUGAGGAUCUAUAUUGCAAGUUUGUUGAGAGAUUAGGAAAGAUAGUUUUCUCGAAUCAGGGUUGCAGCAGAUCCUACUCUCAGAUAGCAGGUUGUGGCUCAACCUAGCUGGACAGUUCAGUAGAUUAGUCUCUAGAUAUCCAGACCCUGGUGAUUUUCUUCUUGCCUCUCAUGCCAACUUCUAGCUUUCUACACUAUACAAUUCUGAGACAAAACAUAGUCUAACACCUGGCGAAAAUAUUAGUUUAAGCUGAAGUGAAAUUCUUUUUGAUGUAAUGUUAUAUAUACUCGGGAUGAACUAAAUUUUGCUUCUUGACAACUUAUGUUGUGCUGUAGAAGGUGGUCCUGGUGUUAUGCACUGUUAGCCACUAUUUCCUUGAGCCUAGUUACGUGUCAUGCCCCGGGGCCCCUUUAAAGUUUACGGACCAGCGGAAAGUGCCCAAUUUUUUUUUUUUUUUUUUUUUUAAACCUUGUCCCAAGGGAUGAUAGACCCGCUACAAAUAUAGAGAAUCCAUUGUCCCUGUGGACAGAGUCUCCCCUGUAUUUGCACGGCGUCGCAUACAGUACAAGUUACAACCACAUUCAUCCGCAACACACGUUCACAAUUACAUUCACCACACAUAAUAGGUAUAUCAUUAGCAACCCACAUCUAUCAGUUGAAAGUGUUUCCCACCCGAAAAUUCAUUUUGAAAAACUAAAGUCACAGAAAGCUUAAAACCUUUUUGAAAACUGUUUUCCACACGGAACCUUUUAUUUCUUUUGAAAACAAGCUACCACGAGGGGUAGAAAACUAUUUUAAAAACUGUUUCCUAAAUUCAUAUAAUGUUCACAAACCAGUUGUAUUUGAUAUCUCAAAUCAUGCCAUAGACCAAGUAAAACUAGAGUAAAAUCGAAUAACCUGAAUAGAGAUAAACUGGACCACAUGCUGUCUAAAUUAUUAUUCAAUAAAAGGAUAAGUUUAAAACCGAUAUGCAAUCAGGCCGGGGACUCUAACUGUCGCUAGGUACGUGCCUUACGCCUCGUCCCGACUCGGUCCAUCAAGAUCACCUGAAAUGGGGGGAGGGGGGGAGGUGUGUUGAGAAACUAACAAGGGUCUUCCAGUGGGUACCGCAAGUCGACGAGGGUGAGUCCAACCACUGGCAACCAAAAGUAUAGCUAUGAAAGGUAAUACAAUAGCAAUGCCAAAUAAGGAACAAGAUAUAUAUGCAACUACCGCUACUGUAAAUAACAUGCAUCAACCGGAUGAUCAGUCCAAAGUACCCAAUCCAGAAUUCGCCGUGUCGGUUUAAAGACCUCAGACAAAUACCAUGCCUCUCUAAAUAGCAUAUAAUCCUAGCAUAAGCUCUUGGGCUCACGGGUCGAAAGUCUCACCACUUCUCCGAAAAAGAACACCAUUGCGGUGGCCAAAUCGUUGGUGUACGUAAAAUGCGUAUGAGCAAUGGCGAUCGAUGCAAAUAUAAUCAAUAGCCGUUGGCAAAAAGCCAACAAUCAACCCCCUCAUGGUAUACCGACCGAAUAGGUCAUCAAACAACGAGAAUCAUAGAACCGACUAAUUAGGUCACAAUGGAUGUCACAAAUCCACGGAUACAGUAAAUAACCGCUCUACUUCUAGAUCAUGAUAAAUGAAUGUAAUGUAACUGAGUAGAGUAGCAUGCAAUGUAGUCAUAUGGUGCCAGGCUAAACAAUCAUAAGUAAUGCAAGGAAUAUAGAGAGAGAAGGAGGGAAUGUGUCAUGCCCCGAGCCCCGCCUAUUUGGUCGGAUUUGGGCACGCCAACAGACCGCCGAACGGACAGAGUCUCCCCUGUACGUCUUAGGUGUCGCAAUCAAAACAAUAUAAGAGGUUCCAACCAGAAACAGUAUUCAACAUACAGAUUGUAUAAGGAAGUAUUAAAAACAUAAACAACUAAGUUAUUACAUACAUUCAACCCACUUGCAUUUUUACAUCACAUUUUCUUUUACAUUUGACUUCCAAAUACAAUCAAGAUUUAUUACAAAUUGUAUUCAAGUUUGUUUCUCUCAUUUCUAACCCCUAAGCUAAGUCACUUCGGGUACCGCUAUCUCUGGUCUCGGGGUAGGGCGCUAUUUACGGAGCUACGCCUUUUUCUCGCCCCGCCGCGCCGCUCACGUGUGAACCUGUACCCCCAAAAACAACACUAGGGUGAGAACUAUUGUCCAUAGUUCCCAGUGGAUACAGCCACCCAAGGAAAAAGCUCAACCCACCAGGUCCAAGGAGGCACUGCAACAUGUUAGUCCAACAAUAUCCACAGAUAUAUAUAUAAUCAUAUGAUUUAUGCAACUAACAUCAUCAUGUUCAUGCCUCACGAUAUGCGAUAUGAAAAUCAUGCAAUUCUAUGCAACUAUGCAACCAAUCAGUAGAUCUAUUGAUUCUACGUUCAAUUAUGCUAAUCUUAGCUCAUGUCAUUUAGCUUUAAGGUUUCUACUACCUUAGGUUCACAAUUCGAGUCCACUUUCUACUAAGGUUUCCACUUCCUUAGCUCUUGCUAUUCACACUUGCUUUUAAGGUUUCUACUACCUUAUCCAAGCUAUCCACCCGACUCGGCCUCGAGUCAAUCAUCUGCGGACUACCGCGCACUGGCUGCUCAACAGCCCACCGCACUCCAUGAUUUAGCCACCUGGCGGCGAAAUUGUCGCACGCGCCAACACUGGCUCAAGUCACCUAGCGGCAUAAUUCACAAACCGGCUUAACCAUCUGGCGGCGAAAUCGUCGCACACGCCAAACAAUGGUUCAAGCCUCCGGGUGGUGAACUCUGCGCACACACCCUAUUUCCUCCCUUGGUAUCAACCUCGGCGGCGAAAUUGUCGCACACGCCCUAGCCUUGAUACCAAGGUCAUCACAAGUUCUGGGAUUCCGGAAUCCAUUUCCACAUCUCAAGGGUCCGUCUCCAACCCUAUACUUUUGAGUGUCGACCUACCUAGGCUCGACCCACAACAUCCUAGUGGCUACUACCACUAUUGUUCACAACCUAGGUUCAAUGCCAUUCUAGGUUCACUACAUAUCAUAACCUAGGUUCCAACACUCUAGGUUCUAUAUCAUCUCUACCUAGAUCUCAGCUUCUAGGUUUACUUGUGCAACCUAUGUUUACUAACACUAGGUUCAAUGCCACUCAUAUCCAACCUAUGUUCAUGUCACUAGGUUCAAUAUCAUUCAUGUCCAACCUACGUCUAUUAACGCUAGGUUGAAUGCCACUCGAUCUAGUACAUUUCACAAUGUCAACAUGCAUUCGUUUAGUACUCGCAUUAUAUCCUCAUGCAUUCUCCUAGCUUUAACCACAUGUGCCCAGCUAGCAUUUCUACAACAUGCUCAUCAUGCAUUCAUCUAGCAUUUUCCUGAAUGUAUCAACAUGCAUAUCUCAAUGGUAGGUAAUAAACAUCAAGCAUAAUAAGAUUCAUGCGUCUAUAUUAUCUUAUGCAACCCACCACUACACAUGGAUGCAUCAAUAGUAAACAUCAAUCCGCUUCGACAUGGAAGCGAGCAGGACAUUUCGAUGAGCAUAACCCACCUCAAAUCGCUUUCCGAUUGCUUAUAGUCACUUGCAAUCGGCCUCCCGUGGACCCGUUGUCCGGUUUGGCCCAAUCUUGCAAUUGAUCACUAACCGCGUGUCGAUUUGUGGCCUCGGAUUUUAAAGGUCUUCAGCUAGCUGCCGCGAUGCUGGGAAUCCAAUUUCGUGAUUUUUGGACGCCGCCUCGGCCCUCCAGGCGGAAACGAAGCUCAAACUAUUCUUUUUCCCAAUAUCUUCACAUAGGCUCGACGGAUCGCCAAACCGACUUCGCCAAUGCGUCAGAAAACCUAGCAAUUAGGUUUACAUAGGUUUAAUUUAGAUCAAACCCCAUCUAUUCACAAAACCCCAUUUUUGGAGCCCUAGAUGCCACUAGUGCAAAAUCCAUCAUUUAACUUCAUGAAUCAUGCAUUAUCCAUCUAUUUAGCAUCCUAAGGGUUCAACUAAAACCAUUCACAAGGUAUUUAAACCUAGCGCUAAGCAUUCACCAUUAGAGCACAAGAAGCUUACCUCUGUAAGCUUUCUCCCAAUGGUGAGGAAGAAGAAGAUGAGGAUAAAGCUUCUCCUCCAAGCUUCCUUCUUUUCCAAUCCUUCUCCUUGCCUUCCUCCUUGAAGAGAGAGAGAGAGAGAAAGACACCUUAGAGAGAGAGAGAGGGAGUGUUUUAGGGUGUUUAGAAUAUAAGGGAGUGAGAGAGGAAUGAGAGAAACCCAUCUCAUAUAACCCCUACUUGCCAAAAUUGCAUAAAACCCCCUCCACUUGCCCAAUAGUGCACUGCCCGCACUGGGCAUUUUCGGGCUACGGGGACCGGUCCUUGGCCAGAGGGACCGGACCCCGUAGUUCCAGACUGCCCAGUGAAUUAAGGACUUAGGCAAUUUUCAGCAGUUUUCAGCUUUAGCCCGUUUCUUCUCCGUUUUCGCUCGUUUUCGCUCCGUGGGUCUCCGAUUCACUUCUAAUCGUACCGAGACCCCCAAUACAUAUUUUCGAGCGUGUUCAAACCAUCUUUUCACCUACGCUUCGCCGGAUUUCGGUCAAAGUCCAAUAUAGCUUUUCGGGUUCCGUUUUCGUGCCCGACGCGUACCGAAAACAUCCAAACGGUCCCGAACUUCACCGGAAUCAUUCAACAGGCUUUCCAAACUAACAUACACCGUAACUUCAUGAUUAUAGAAGUUCGGUAUGUUACAGAACGUCACCGAGUGUGCACCACUAGAGUGACUUGGAAUCGAAGUACCCACCUGUACCACUGUCGCGCCCGUCUCCUGAGAUGCGUGAGAACCUACAAGGGCUCUACCGGAUCAGAGACCAACCCACUGACUCAAAAUGCAAUACUCACAAUCCUGGUAAUUUACCACGGAAUCGGUUUCCUAAAAAACCGAUCUUCGUAACUCGCUGGAAGUCCUAAAAAUCACACCGGGACGUCAUUGGGACCCACGAAGUGUCCCGAAAGACACCAACUCAUGUCAUGAGUCACCCGCUGCCUCGAAACACACCAUUUUGGGUGUCCUAGCAGCAACCACAAGAUCUCACGUUGAAACGAUUAUCGUCGAAUAAUCGUUCCGAUCCGGGUUCUCAGAAGUGUCAAUUUCGACAUCGGGACCCUCCGCCGCACACCCGUCAUCUCUGAAUACUUGAGACGACGUAGGUGACCAGCCAACAAGGCUCAACGGCAAAACCCAGGGUAUUCCAACAGCGUCGGAUGAAAUCCGAAUUGAAACUGCGUUCUGUCGUCGAAUUUCGCUGAAAAGCGCACCGAGACCGAUAUUCGUUCUCUGCGAAAGGUUUCGAACCUUGGAUGAUCAGUCCAGAGGUCACCUUCCACACAUACAUGCUGCCCACAGCAGCCACAAGGUGACAAAUUGCAUAAAAGCCCUUAUUAGUAUUCACAAUUACAAUAAUCUAUGCAAAACAAGGAAUUUUAGGGCUUUGUACCGCUAAUCGAGUACUUUCGAGAUCAGCCGAGACACUAGCUGACAGGUUUCAACGAGGCGGAGACCGUGCUCGCUAUUCGGAGCACCGCGGAUCGCUGUGGAAUGCGCGGGAGCAAGCCGAAGUUCUGCGAACAAUGCACACCGGGAGCGACAAGGCCGAAACCGACCGUCGAGACCUCGCCAAAGACAAACCAGGUGAGCAUUGUGAUCAGCACUGUCCAGGGUUCAUUGUGUUCACCUCCGAAGGUGUCAGAGCAGCCUCUGGUCGCCAGAACAGUGAAAGCCACAUGAAAGAAUUCCUAAUCAAGCUUGCUGUGAGCAACUGGGCUCCGGUUGGCUACCGGCGGGUCGGCGGCGUGUGCGCCGGCGGCAGGAGGGUGCGGCCGACUGGGAAGGGUCAGGGGGCGCACCAGCUGGCGGCGGCGGCGGCGGCGCUGGCAUAAUCCAAGCUCGCACGGGUUAGGGCUCGGCUUGGCCUUCUUCUCCGAUCGCGGCGAUGGUUGAGGCAGCCAAGGGGGUGGUGCGAGGUUCCGGCUUGGCCUUCUUCUCCGGUCGCGGCGAUGGUUGAGGCGGCCAAGGGGGUGGUGCGAGGUUCCACUUGGACUGAGAGGAAUGGAGGGUGAUGGCGGCUGGCGGUUGGGUGCAGUUGCUCGAGCACUAGGCAGCUCCAAAAAGGCUGCAGUCACGCCGGAGGCCCUCCAGGGCGGCAGCGGCCGAUGGGGAGCUUUGCCGGGGGGUCCUUCAAAUUUUAUUAUUUUAUGCUCAAACUCCACCAACACGCGUAAAUUGUGCAGUAGCCCCGCCCCAAUGAGUUUCGCAUGAAUCGAUACAGAAAAUGCCGCACUUUUUUCAAAAAUACCCUGAAACCUAGAUUUUCUCUCUGCUUUUCGCUUUAAUUCGUGCAUUUACCGCGUAGAAUCAGGAAACGGACCUUAUCACGACUUCCAGCACUACCGGACGGACCUUGAGGGUGGGAAUUUUGUUGCAUUAAAAACCAUUUCGGUUUGCGAAAUAGCUUUUUUCCAGAGUUUUGUUGAAUAUAACUUGGUUUUUCAUAAACUUUGAAAAUUACAGUUUAUACAGUCAUGGAAAUUUUAUCUAUGAAGUAUCAUCUUAUUUUCUCUUAUAGAAUGAUACUUGUAUAUCUAAGCAUCAUAAUUGCUAAUCUUGUGUUGUGAAUGAUUGUAACAGGAACAUGAGGGUUGCCAAUAUUCUGUUCGUUUGGUUCAUACGCAUAAUCAAGGUAAUAAUGGUCAUGUGAACACUUUGCUCUACUUCAUUUCAUGCAAAAUUAGUUCUUAUGAGUGAAAUGUAGACUUUAAGCGACAAAUGCAAUAGAUUCGUAAAGACAAUCUUAUCGUUCUUCUUGUCAAAUUUUGAUAGAAACAACUACUUUUGUCUUGCAUUUUUUUGAUCCAAGAAUCUCAAUUAUUUUCUGCUAACAGAUUGUUCAUCUGUAUUACCACUGCACAACCAGAUUUUCAAUGUAUUUACAGUACUAACUGGAAGACGAAUUUCAGCAAAUUAUGGAACAGGAUACAUAAUAGGAUUAGUGUCAUGCCCCGAGCCCCUUUUUGAGAACAUGGGGGAAGCUUAUUUGGAAACCUACUGGGAGCAUGCACAGAUUUGCCACAAACAUAAGUCCACCGCAGCGCUUAUACUUGCAUCGCGUCAGUACAAGGCAACCAACCCUAAUUUAAUAAUACAUUAAAUACAAUAGUGGAAUCAAAGAGUACAUAAACUCAACCAAAGUCUUACAAAUCUUUUAGUACAUCACUUAGAUUCUUUUGUGAUUCAACAUAAGGUAACGACUCACCAACUAGGUUUAUUACAAUUCUUUGCUCAUAUGCACCUAAGUUCACAACUUCCUUGAGGAUUGUCUAGGUGGCACUAAACUAACCUCGAACCUCAUGCAACGUCCGGAACCUCCCCGCCCAAGUCACGUGCAAUGGAAAGGGGGUGAGAAACACAAAAAUGUUUCCCAGUGGGUACAGGAAGCCGCACCUACUGAUCAACAAGAUAGAUAACAAAGUAGAUAGUAGCAUUUCAGAGAAACAAUAAAGCAUGAUAAACUGAAUGACAUAUGCUACUGUAACAAGAGUUAAUCAAUGAAGUAUCUCAAAGUGAGUGUGCCAUGCAUCAAGCGAAUAGAUAGCUCGUCAAGUGUUGUGUCCAAUCCAUGCCCGUUGUUACAUAGGACCUUGGGCUCCUGCCCUCAUGCUCAAGCCAGCUGUCAUGUAACAUAAUGGGCGUGUCCUGGGCUCAUGGGUCAGCUCCCGACUGGUUUUUCCUAGCAGAACAUCCUCAGUCCAUGUGAUGUCGUUGAUUAGACCUCUGUGCCGGUGUUCGUGAAUGCACAGUGAACGAUGGCAUGCUAGAUGCUCAAGGCCUCAACUCAAUCCAAUGCUCAAAAGAAAUUUUUAAUAGUCAAGGAGAGCUGCUGCAGAGUAUUAUGAAACCAUAUAGUUUCUAUGUGUACAAGCAUCACCGAGAGCCUCAUAAUUGGCUUCUAUGCCUUACUACUAAAGUUUCAAAUGGAUAAGCAAUGACAAAUGCAUAGUAUUAAGAGAAUAUGCUAUCAUCUCAAUCAUGAAUAAUAUGCUAGUAAAGAAAAUAUCCAAGCAACUAUGAAUUACGGGGAAUGGAUAAAAGGAAAACCAAGUAAAUACAACUAUACCAACUUCGAAUCAAAGCACCCACCCCCAUAUUUAGAACCUCUAAGCACUCAAGUCCAAAAUAGGGUUCAAUUACUUCCAAGUCCUUUCCAUCUCUACUUAAUUAUUUUUAAUACAACAUUAAUAAUGAUAUGUAUCCACUUUUGAAGUUAAAUUUAUUGUUAGAAGAGAAACUAUGAAUGUCAUGUACGUGUGAUUUUCUAGAUGAGAAACUAUAAAUUUACUGUUAACAAAUCUGCGAUUAAUCGAUAUAAUCUCACUAAACAAGUUAUCUUUGCACGUGCAGUUUCUAGACAAAUCCACCAGUGCCUAAAUCAGUCAAAUCUGAGCUAUAACGGAAAAGUUAUAGCAGAUUUAUGUUUCAGUCUCUGAACAAGUUUUUAGAGUUAUAGAUAGUCCCUGAACAAUCAGUGGUUUUGCAUGUUGGUUCCAGACCCGUUAAAUCCAGUUGUAAGACAGCUUAUGUUGUCCUCACCUGGUACCCGAGUUGAAAAUUGGUCCUUAGAAUCCCAAUUAAGCAAUUUCUUCAUUAGGUAGGCUUAGCUAGGUCCACUUUUCUUUAAUCAAUCAAUUUAUUAUCUUAAUUUACUUAAUUAUUUAUUUCGAAGAAUCAACUAUUCAGAGUUUAUCAUAAUCUAAAUCAAAGUAUAACUCCGAUUGAAAUUCCUUCUUUCGAACCGGACCAACCCAAAAUUUUAUGGUGAGACUCAUUCUUCUAUUGCUACAUGAAAAGCUCCAACAAGAAUAUGUGUCACUUUUUUUCCUACACAUUCAAUGAAGAAGACAAAAUAGAGGAGUAACACAUUAUUUUUAUUAUUAUUGUUAUUUAUUUUUAAUUGAACAAACCUCAAUACAAACCCGCUGAGAGGAGUCACGCUGCCUUGAUGCUCCCUGCAGCAACAAAGAGCAAUUAUUUUCUCCUCAGCCACAAGUAUGACGUGCCCUAAUUGCUCUAUAUGGGGUUUUAUAUGUGUAUAUAUAUAUACAAUUAGUUAAGUUCUAUUCAUUUUGGACAAUUCCCUAAACCCAUUAAGUCUUAAUUAAAGCCGGUCAUGUGUGAAUCCCCACAUACACCAAUCAGAUCAUUGCUUUAGUUCUCCUCAUAAUAAUAGGCCCGGCCUUUAGACAGACCAUGGUCUAUUAUUAUUUGAGUGAGGUUAGAAUUCUGAUCCAAGUAAUGAAUAGACUAAUAUAGGCAGACUCGCUGAGUGCACCAUGAGUAUUAUUAUUUUUCCUUCUAUGGAAUACCACCCAAAUUGACGAUUCUAAACAAAAUAAUUGAUUCUAGAUCAUAACUUGAAAAUUUUUAUAAAAGCAAUGAACUGGGUAUUAUAAUUAAAAAAAUAAAAAAAGACAAAAAAGACAAAAAAAAAAAACAACAUUACAAGAAAAGAUGGAAAUUUGUAAAAGCAAAUAAUAUCAAACUUCUAAUGCAUUGUUAUUUUAUAAAUUUUUAUUGGCAAUUGGUGAUAGUGGGUUUGAUAUUUUUAUUUUCUUUUUUUCUGGAGCCUGGAGGGAAUCUUGAAAUUACUUGUCUGUGAAAUGCUUAAUUGUGUUUGUUUUUCGAGUGACUGGAUGUCUGGAACCAUCUGUUUGUUGCAUUGUGUGAUUGGAGCAUGAUCAUUUUGCUACUAAACUAAGGCCUUGUUUGGUCGUGCGAAAAAAGCUUUCUCAACACCAUAUUGUUUUGUGGCUGCACGUCUUGUUGUGGCGCGCGACCGCACGGCCAAACAGGCACUAAGGUUCUUUGGCACAUUGACAAAGAGUGAAUGUUUGACAUAAUUCAAGAAUAAAAUCACAGUACUUGUUUGUUAGUUAUUUCUCUCUCUCUCUUAUUUAGUACUUGUUUGUUAGUUAUUUCUCUCUCUCUCUCUCUUAUUUGGAUCUCUUCUAAGUUAAAGGUUUUAGGGCUAUACUUUUCUAGUAAAUUUGUUCUUUGUUAGACAGUUUCUUGUUGCUAGGACUUUUUUUUUUGCAAAUAAUCUUAUAUAAUUUUUAAUUUGAUGAAAUGAUCUAUUGUAUAUUUUAUUUGGGCAAAUAAAACCUUUUUUUUCUCUCGUAAGUUGUAAGACGGUGGAUCAUUUGUUGCUUUCAUAGUAGAGUAACUAUACACGGUGAAUCAUUCACUACCUUUGAAAAAUGGUGAAUCAUUCUCUGCAUUUCUGUAAAGGAUUGUUUGUGGGUUGUUUGUGCAGGAUGUUGGAAUUUUUUUAGGGUUGUUUUAGGAAAUGCGGUGAAUCCUUCACCGCUUUUAAGACGUGAGAGAAAUGAUGAAACCAUUUUCUUUUUAAAGAUGAGAUACGGAAAACAAUUUACCAUAUUUCUACUUUUCACAUUUACGUGGCAUUGAUGUGGCGACGACAGGGUAAUAUACCGAAAUAAAAUUUUGGAGAUGUUAUAUACCCAAAUAAAAAUUUCAUAAGGUUUUUUUUUUCCCAGAAAAAUCCCUGUUGCUACUUUCGUUUUUGAAUCCACUUGUAUACCUUCUUGGGCUUUGGAAGUAGCUUGGUGCUACAAACUUGAUCUUGCUGAUACAUGUCAUGCCCUGAGUCCUACCAAUUGGACAUACUCAGGCACGUGCAACAAACCCGCCGGACGGGCAAGUUUUCUCUACCCGCAUGAAGCGGAACAUACACUACCUGUAACACAUACAUAUGUAUACAUAGAGUAUUAGUGUACAACUAUUAAAUUAAACCACUACAAGUUUAAACUCUUUAAAAUUUAUGACACUUAGGGCUUGUUUGGGGAUCAUUGAAAAAAAAGAGUUUCAUUUUACAACGUACUUGAUACAUUGAAAAACUCUAUUAAAAAAAUACUCUGUUUUGGGUGUUUGGAUUGUCUUAAAAAAAACACUCUAUUAUUAUUGUUAUAUAAAAAUAAAUUGAGAAAAGUUGCAUUAAGCAAAACUAAGCUUUUCCAUUUGUUGAUCAAAGCAUAGAGAAAAGCAUAAUUCAUUUGUAAAUUAUAUCAAAUUUAGAAAAAUUGCCAUAAAUAAAUCUAAAAUAUAUAAUUAAAUAAUAUAAUUAAAUCAUAUUAAUGAGAAGAAUUGCCGCACAACAAAACCUAUUGAUGAUUGAAUUGUAAAGUUACAACAACUUAGAAAGUCGACAUAAAAAUACAUAAUUUUACAAAAUCUUUUAUAAAACGAAAACUAAAUCUAGAUCAUUAAAAAAAUGAGAUAUGUGAGAUAUUCAUGAGACUCGAUUUUGCUCCAAAUUUUAGUUUGGAUAACAAAUUUGAAACAAAUUAUGCAAAAUGGUUAGUACCUAAAUUGCUGAAUUCAAAAAUUUCAUCAAAUUUCACUAAAAUAUAUCACCUAAAAAACCCUACCACUCGGGAGAAUCAUCAGGGCAGAUCCUCCUUCGGGAGGCACAGCGGGGUGAGCACCGCCAACACCAUUGCCUACUCUUUUGUCGUCACGGCUCACCGCUGCAGGAGGAUGUCCUAGGCUCGGGGCCUAUCCUACUUCACGAACUCUCCCACUCUGAUGUUGUUAUUGUGAUGGGUUUGGAGAGGAAGGGGGAGGAGGAAGAAGAAGAAAAAUAAGGAUGCGAGGAUGAGGGGAAAGCGUGAUGGGUUUGGAGAGGAGGGGGAGGAGGAGGGAAACAGAGAGAGAAUGGGGAGGGUGAGGAGAAAGUAGAACCAUAGUUAGUUAAUUCAGAUACGGUAAAAGUUCGGUACAGAUAAAAUACGAAUAAAAUUCUUUUCUUGAUUUUUAAAUUUGUUGAAAAAUAUGGUUUAAAAAUCGGAUUCGUCAAUAAUUCGUAUACGCUAUUUAUACAAGAAUUUUACGUUUAUCAUUUAAAAAUUCGGAAUAAAAAUUCGUCUAUUAAAUUAAAAUUUUUCUUUAGAUUAAUGCUAUUAUCAUAAAUAUUUAUAAUUCUUAUAAAUAUAAAAAUAAAAUUAUAUAUAAAAUUAUAUAUAUAUAUAUAUAUAUAUGAGUCCUGCUGGGAUAGUAUCGAUAGCACCAAGCACUUGGUGCUAUCGAGUUUUCCGAUGUUAGAUUUAACCCUUUGACUAUUUUUAUCCGUUAGAUUAUACUAUUCAACUAACAACUCACUCAACCCUAGGGGGCCCACAUCAUUCUAACCGUUCAUUUCUUCAUCCAAGGGCGGAAAACCUAAUAGCACCAACAACUUGGUGCUAUUGAUAGUAUUCUAGCCUAGUUCUCUCUCUCUCUCUCUCUCUCUCUCUCUCUCUAUAUAUAUAUAUAUAUAUACAAACACAAAGGGGGAGUAAGAGGUCCACCGUGGACCUUUCACUCCCCACGAUCCACGAGGCUGAGUGCAGCCUCGUGGACCGUGCUUUUUCCCAACGCGGUGAGCUGCGAUUUUCUUCUUCCUUGCCCCUCCUCUUUUCUUCUUUGCUCGUUCCCUCUCCAUGUUUUCUUCAAAAUAGAACAAGCAAAGUUGCUCGAUUGCUCAGGAGGAAGUGCACGGAUCUGCGGAGCAGCGGUUCGCGCGACACCGGUCCGAGAAAUUUCAUCUUUUCGUGGCCGCCCAAUCCAAAUUUUCUUGAGAAAUUUCAUCUUUCCACCGCUGCUCAAUCCGAAUUUUUUGGAAUAUAAUCGGCAAAACCGUUUUGAUUGCGAAUACUUUGAGCAAGGAAAAAAAACAUGUUUUAUUCUGAUUUUUUGGAAAAAAUUCGUAAACGGAGCGCUUUAUACGCUUGGAUGAUUACGCUUGGAUGAUUGUUAGGGAAUAAUUCGCGUAUUAUACACGAAUUAACUAACUAAGAGUAGAACAUGAAAAAGGCGAGAAAGGGGCGAGCUUUCGUGCACGACAAAUGGAGAAUAAAUUUACGGAGCAUAGACCUCUAUUUUUUUCCCCAAUACCCAUAAUACCUAUUUUACUCCGUAAAAUUUUUAUUUUGUUGGACCAUCCAAACAUAGCAACUAAAAAACAAAUAGAGGUUUCUAAAAUUCAGAGUAAGUUGGUUUAUUACGUUUAUUACCCUAUAUCAUGGGUUUCCCAAAUAGCCCCUUAGUACUUUCUAAAAUAUUACGAGUCUUUUUUUGUUCGCACAAAAGGGUACACUCUAGACCACUCACUCAGUCUAACUAUUCCGUGACGACCUUUGUUGCGGUCUCGCGCCUCACCAACAGUAAUAGAUUUGAAAAGGGUAAACAACAAAAAUGUGAGAACUUUAGAUGAGUUCUCAGUGGGUGCAACUGCCGAAAGUGGCGCUCUACACAUUCGGUCUAAAGGAGGCAUUAGUAACAAGCAAUACUAAGCAACAACUAUUACUACAAUAGGAAUGCAAAUAAGCAAGAAAUGCCUACAAUGCCUCAACAUAUACAAUAUGCCACAAUCAUUUUAUUAUGCCAUCGGUCUAUACUCAUGACUCAACUACAUGCUCAACUGUAACCAAUUUAUUAAUUUGGUUUCUUUUCUUUUUCACCUCAUGGAGAGUCGAGAAAUAUCGAACUUCUCUCCAGUUGGUAGAUACUUCGGGUAGAGGGAGAUCGGACUUUUCCAAGUGUGGCAUUGGGAGUCAAGAUGAUUGGACUUCUCCUUCUAUGACACUUUCGGAAGGGGCAACAUGUUUCCUCAUUCACCCCAAGUUUCUGACUUUUGGUGUUAUCCAUGUUAUUCAAUUGCCAUUUUUGUGUUCUCUCGUUCAAGUUUACUCCAGAGUUCAAACGUCACUAUAUUCACACCUUAGGUUUCAAACUAGGUUAGAUGCCACACUUGUUUCCUAUGUUUCGAGGUUCACAUAAUACUUACAUGCAUGUUACACAGUGUCCUUUUUUAUCAUACAAUGUGUUAGAAACCUCAUUUUUCGUAGGCUAAUGCUCAUGAGCUAUCUUGACCUACUAGAUCCCUUAACAUGCAACUAUACAUUUUAGUUUACAUAUUACUCAUAUUAUAUGCAUGCAACCAAAGGAAACUUUAGACAAAAGGACGAUCAAAUUCAUUUCGCUGACAUUCCUUGCCUUCUUCUUGAUCUUCUCUAAUGGGUGAUCCAUGAUUUCCUUAGAACCUCAAGAAAAUCCUAAAAAUAGUUCUAACAAAGUUAGAAUCUCAAAAUCCCUCAUUUGGAAAAACCUCUAGACAAAAUCCUAAAGAUACCAACUAACCUCUCCACCUCCUAGCAUGAGAAAAAUGGGUUAAGAGAGUUCUUCACCCUUCUAGAGCUUCUUCUUGAUGCUCUUGACCUUCCCCAAGCUCCUAAGGAGAUGGAUCUCUAAGCUCCAACAAUGAGAAAAACUAGGGCCCUGUUCUAGAGAGAGAAAGGAGGAAAAGAGAGGGAGUGAAAAGGAAAAUAAAGUGAGGGAUUAGGGUUUGGCUGUGAAAAGCCUAUAUAUGGGAGUGCUACAAUAGCACCUAAACCCCCCAACGAUCCAAAUUUACAACCAACAGAUUCUCAGCCUUUAUGCCAGGUUUCGGGCGCCGACUAACCUCACGUAGCUGCGCCCGAUUGAUAAUCCGGACGCCAGCUCAGUCUCUCUCCAAACAUUAUUUGGGCGCACGCAGGGAAAAUUAGGUGUCUAUUUAUUUAACAGGCCGCACGAUCCCUGCUCUCAGGUUGAGCGUCUGAAAGCCAUUCGGACGCUCACGGAAGACUAUCCGAAAGAUGUUCCGGGUGCCCGUAGGAACAUUCUGAUGGCCAAAUCCUCGACUCCUGCGCGCACCCGAACUUUCACGUUGGGAAUCCUAAAGAUAGUUCGAAUCAAAGUUUUAAGUGUCCAUUGGCACGUGCCGUAUCCACCAUGCCAUACCGUGCCAACAAGAUACCGACACGAUACAGACCCCGUGCCGAUGGCACAGCUCAAAACCCUCUAUUCUUUAAAUUAGUAAGUAAUUUUCUCAAUAAAAUUCAAAAGAUGUGAUAAAAAGAUAUAAUAAAUAGUUAAAAUAUUUUGUUGCUAAAGAAAAUAAAUAUUUCAUGCUAUUAUGUGUCGGCACACAAGAAUUUUUUUGACCGGCACACACCGUGCUGGCAAGUUUCCGACACGACCCCGUGCCAUGACACUUAAAUCCUUGGUCCGAAUGCCCUCUUUGAGGUAUCAAAACAUUUUCAGGCGCCUGAAUCCCUGUUUUGGGCGUCCGAAAAGGCUAAAACUCAGAUUUUGCUUCUAUUCAGGAUUCCGUUUCGAUCCGAAUUGAUUUCAGUUCGAUCCAAACUCGGUCUGAGCUUUUCAAAACCCACUUUAAUCAAGUCUAAUAUGACCUAAUCCGCACCUUAUCAAUUUAGCAAAGUUCAGUGCAUUACAAUAAGAGGUGGGGGAAAUAUUUUCCAAUACUUGUUCUGCUUUCAUAAGUCGUGGUCGAAAGUACAAAGGCAAAUCAGCUUCAGAGUUCAAUAAGUCAAAGAAUGGUCGUAAUACAUGGUCAGAUUUUCAUAAUCAAUAUAUCUCAUGCAAAGAUGUAGACUACGAUAUUUUGAUUAGUGUAAAUUAACAGUCAUUUUAUAUGAUAAACUAUUGCAUUGUUGAUCUCUUCAGAUGUGGUUUGUGUUUUAUUGAUGAUAUAUAUAUGUAUAUAUAAUCAUCUAACUAUACAUCAAGUUCUUAUUCCAUACGCCUUUCUGACUUGCUUGGAAAGGGAUAUUGUAAAAUCUUACUUCUGAUUGAUGCCAUGCAUUGUUUCAAAGAGUCAUGCUCUUUUGUGUGUUACUUCUUCACUAAUAAUCUAAUUGUAGAAGAUUCAAAUGCAGAAAGAUAUUCCAUGUGCCUUUCUGAUUUGCUUGGGAAGGGAUAUUGUAAAAUCUUACUGAGUUACUUCUGAUUGAUACGAUGCAUUGUUUCAAAGAGUUAUGCUCUUUUGUGUGUUACUUCUUCACUAAUAAUCUUAUUGUAGAAGAUUCAAAUGCAGAAAGAAUUAACAUGAGUACCGACUUGGAAUCCAAUGAUGCUAUGGAGGGAAUACAUAACUGCUUGUACGAAUCCAGUCUGAGUGGCAAUGUAAAAGAUUCAUCUGACACGGAAGCAAUGCUUAAUGGUUUAUAUGAUAUAUCCUGUUUGCGUGAUGAAGUAACAAGUUCACCUGACGUGCUGAUAGAGAAUGGAAAGCUGAACUCCUUUAGCAAAGCAUCUAGUUCAAGUGAUGAGGUGAAAAAUUCAGCGACCAUGUUGAUGAACAGUGAAAGCAUAUACAGGUCCAGCAGAUACCCACUUCGUUACUUUGAUUCUUUUGAUAAUAUAUGGACCGACAAGCAGAUCUAUCUGACUUCAAUAAGGCAUCCUGACACUCUAGAGGCUUCCAUUUUCGAACUGGAGGAGCUUGCUGUUAAAAUCAGAUGGCUUAAAGGUCUUUUAAAAUUUGGGCUUCAGUGGUCAAAUGCGAUGGUACCUUCCUGGAGGUUUGUGGAGAACUACAAUCGAACAGAUAUGACUUCAUAACAUAUCCUCAGUUUCAUCUUCUGAUAUCUAACUGCAAAGGUUUGCAUCUACCUUAUUCCCUUUAUGCGCAGUCGCCACUUCAUGGUUAGUUUAGUGAGUUCACUAAUGUAAUCUAAGUCAUUUUCUAUUAGCAAAUCAUUUUGGUUGUAGGUGCAUGAACUUAGUAUUGUUGAAUAUGUGGUGGAAUAAAAAAAAUAUCAAGGCGUUAUUGCAGAUCUCUUGGACCCUACUCUUUUUUAAUGAAGGGUCUACAAUGACACAUUUAUCUAUGGAUCAACAGGCCACUGUUUCAUCCUUGAAUAUGCCUCUCUUGCUUUUAUAAUUUGAAGAAACUUCAAUUUUUCAAGUUGUCCUCAGGAUCCUCAAAAAGCAUUUUUACUCUGAUUUAUUUUCAAUACAUGUGGUUCCUUCCAAAUGAUCUAUAUGUCUAGGUGAUCUAUUUUCCACUGAUAUAUACAUCCUCGGAUCCUUCCUUAUUUACAAGAAAUCCACAAGUAUAAUUUAGAGUUGUAUUAUUGUGAUCCUCGCUAAUGCUGUAGAUGUCUCCUUUUCCAUUUGGUGCUUUUGUUUCCCGCCCAUGCCAAUAAACUAGAAGCCUACUUCCACUCGAUUUGCUAAUAGACAUUGCAGCCUCCGUCCACCAAACAGGGCAUUGGUUUAUCUGAUGCUGUUUCUAUAGGCCGGAAGGUGAACCAAUGCUCCUGCAGUUGGCUGAUUCUGCUUCUGUCAUUCAGAAGGUCAACCAAUGCAGUCCUGCAAUAAAUGCAACAUUUCAGAGCCUUUAGAUGCUGAAAAUAUGAGGGCAGAUGUCCUUCCAUUUUGUUUAUUUUUCCAUAGAGCUGUAUCCUCUGCUGUGAAAUUAGGGAAACUAGAGAUUUUGUUUCACCUGCAACGCAGAGUCUAUAACUAUGCUGUCUAGGGGGAAUUCUUUAGGUACAAUGUGAUGGCAGAAAUGAUCUAUGAGAACAGGAUGGCUACUGGCAAGCACAGGUUGAUGGCAGAAAUGAUUUAUGAAAAAAGGAUGGCUACUGACAAUAUGCCUAACUCUUAGAAGGUGUACCCAACGUUGUCGCAUCCAACCAUAAGACCCAAAUGACCCAAAUGGCGUUGUGAAUAUGCUGCUGAUGUAUUUAGGUGUUAUUGAAGCUUCAACGCCAAGUCCUCAUUAAAUCUUGGACUUGAAGGCAUUUGACGUUAACAUUGAAGUUGGCCAACCUCUUAUUCUUUUUGUAAGAAUAAUAUUCAUAUAUAUGUGCCAUGGAAAAAAGAAAAAAGUGCCCAAAAUAAAGUUUUCAAAUCAUGAUCGCAUCAGGGAAACAAAGCCGGUAUGAUCAAACAUUGCUGAAUCCAUGCAUUAAAGACCUUAAGAUCAUGCUUUGUGUUCACAAUGCUAAAUUGAAAUCAAAUCUACAUGAGAAAGCGAAGAGAUCGACCUUUCUAAGGUCUUAGUAUAGUUUAUAGUAGGAUAUGUACUUGCUUGUCGUAUCAUGUAGCUGCGCAUAUGCUCUUUGUUUUGUUCUGGGAUAAUAACGAGUAUUGGAACAAAUUUUUCUAUCUUGAGAUAGUUUAUUAUUCCGUGAUAGUCAGAAAUAAAAGUAUAAUAGUAUUUGGUUCGUAAUGUUGUUAUCCUUCUGAAUAAGUGAAAGUGCAUUUGUUUAAUUUUAUAGAAUAAUAGAAAGUAGUAAAAAAAAAAAAAAAAAAAGAAGAUUGAAUUUGAUUUUGAAUAUGUACUUGGUUUUAAAAAAAAACCUAUUAUAAUAUUUAAUAAAAAUAUUUUAUUAUAAAAAUACUUUUUCUUUUUCAAAUUCUACUGAAGCGUAAAUUUAAUAAAAAUAAUUUAUCAUAAUCGUUAAGUAUAAUUUAUUAUAAUUUUUAAGUAUAAAAAAUAUGCAGUAAUUAAUAUAGUAUAAUUAAUAAUUAUUAUUAUAUAAUUUACUCUUUGUAAUAUGUAAAUAUUAUGUCUACAUAAUUUACUUUUAAGUCAAUUUAUAAUCUUUAGAAUUAACCUUGGAAAUAACACUAUUUCAUUAAAAUGGUGGAAUGGAUUAUUCAAAGCUCUCUUGGGAUAAUCAGGAAUAUUAAGGUUUGACCGGAAAAAAGUAUUUCGAUUAAAAGACAUCUUAUCUGGUGGAAUAGCGUUGAUAACUUUCGUCUUGCCUUAUCUCCGAAUCAAAAAGGACCUAGAGUGUAGGGAUUAAGAUUUGUUUUUAUCCUUAACAUUUAUUAUCUGUUAUAAGAACGAAAGGAGAACAUUGUAUAAACCUCACAGUUUUCUCAGCCGCAUCCUUAGGCACGUCCUUUUCGCGGGAGGGGAAGAAAGAAAAGGCUUAGGAAAGCUCUAGGAACUCUGAAUAGUUCUUUGAAUAAAAGUAGAUUCGAAAUGAGACAAACAAAAGAUAUAGAAAUGAGACAAACAAAAGAAAUAAAAAUAGAUUCCAAAUGAGACAAACAAAAGAGACCCUGUGGGUAUUAAGUACCUGUUUGAUGAUGAGCCGGGAGUCUCCGUGGACUGGUCUCUUUUUUUUUCUUUUUUUUUAACUUAGGAUUCCAACUUGGGUCUCAGAUGCCAACCACCAAGCUCUUUGCCACUUACUCUAGGGAUUGGUCUCUUGCUAUAAGAAGAAAGACGUAAUUACAACAAAAUAUAUUCCUUUUUAUAUUAUACUCAAGUUUUUGAUAAAAAAAAUCUAGUCGUCAUGCCUCUCCUGCACACCUUUAUUCUCUCCGAUCUUUUAGUAGAAAGACGUUUUCUGUACAAGAGUUAGCACCUCGGUGAGUACUCCGAUCAGAUCAGCAAUCUCGUUUGAAUAUCUAUAGAGGCCUCGUUUGAAUAUCUAUAGAGGCCAGACGUUUGCGGCCGAUUAUUAGAUCGCGGUGUAGAUUUAUUCGCACAAAAGUGAAGAUUGAAUCUUUCUUUUUCUCUUUCAAUCUUAAAUACACGAGAGAUCCUGUUUUUGCAUGGUUUUCGACAUUAGAUCUCAAGUUUUAAAAUCAAAUUUUGUUUCAUUUUUCUUUUCACUGCGUUUUAUUGUACGCAAAUCCUAACAGUGAACUAAAAGGCUUUGUGUAUUUCUCACCUUCUAGAUCUUUAAUAAAUGUUAAAACAAGAGAGAGGGUGGCCUCUACUAGGGCUAUUACUAACCCUAACUAGUGCCGAUCAAGGUGGGAAAGAGUAAAAGUUAUUCACUUCGAUUUAAUCCCAUGAGAGAUGAAGAAGCUAUUUUCACAGUUGUAAUAUGAAGCACCUGGUAACAUGUUUAAUGCUAUAAGUUGGAAAUUGCCCAAAAUAAAUGGUUAGGUGCUCGAUCGCAUGGCUAAAUCUAGUUUUAUGGCUAAUUAGGUGUCACCGUGCAGGAGAUGGUAAGCUUAGUUCAUGCUAUUUCACCGAUUGUUCAGCUCCAGAUUUGCUGCGUAAGAAAUAUAAUAAGCACAAGAUGUUGAGACUCAUGAUCCAAGAGGCUUUUCAUUUGCUAUUUUAAUCACGUGUGUUUGGUUCAGGGUAUACUAUUAGAAUUACAGGCAAUCCUAUUGGAAUUAUUACAUGUGGUUAAUCCAGUCUCUAAUCUAGUCGGUAAUGUAGCAUUACAAUAAUGCAAUAUUACUCUAAGGGCGCGUUUGGUUCGAGUUAUGUAAUAUUACAGAGUAUUUCAAUAUAUCCAGGUAUCUUGGAUUUCUAAAUGAGAUUACUAUUCAUGCUGCAUUAGUGCGUUUGGUUUAAUACAGUAAUGUAUUGCUGGAUUGCAGCGUUUAUAGCGUUACUACUUUGCUUCUGUCUAUAAAAUUUACUAAUCUAGACAAUAAAAUAUAAUCUAUUCCAAAAUUGCCCUUAGUCAUAUUUCGUAAAAUUUUUUUUACUGUUUACAAACAAUAUUUUUUUACCAAAUUUUAUUUUAAAUUAACUUAAUUUUUUAAAUUUUAAAUUUUAAAUUUUAAAUUUUUACAACAAUUUAAAUUUAAUAUUUUAAUUUAAAAUAUGGAAUUUCUAAAUUUAAAAUCUAAAAUUUAAAUAUAAAUAUAUAUAAAAUAAAAAAUUAAAAUCUAAAUUUAAAAUUCAGAAUUUAAAAUACAAAUUUGUGUUUUAAAAUUUGAAAUUUGAAAUUUGAAAUUUAAAAUUUGAAAUUUCAAACUUAUAAUUUAAAAUCUAAACUUUUAAUUUAAACUUAAAAUUUAAAAUUUAAAAUUUUAAACUUAUAAUUUAAAAUCUAAAAUUUUAAUUUAAAUUUAAAAUUUAAAAUUUAAAUUUGAAGUUUAAAAAUUUUAAAUUUUAAAUUUAAAAAUUCAAAUUUAAAAAUUAAAAAUUAAAAGUUGACAAUUCAAAAUUUUAAAUUAAAUUUUUUAAAAUAAUAUAUUGAAAGGGUUUCGAGAGUUAGAGGGUAAAAUUUUCAUUUUACAUAAUAUGUAGUAUUACCGGUUUUCAGUAAUGCAAGAUACACGACCCCCUUCUCGUUAAUAUUUUCGGUGUAAUCCUGCUCGAUUUGUAAUGCUAUAUUAACGGUUGGAUUACAUAGCGGAUGAACCAAACACAGUAAUCCUGACAGGAUUGUCUGUAAUCCUGCCAGGAUAACUCGAACCAAACGCACUCUAAAAAUAUUAUCAAGGAGUGGGUAUCUCGUAUUAUUGAUAAGCAAGUAAUCUUGCAUAUUAUUAUAUAAAAUUAUAAUUUUACCCCUUCAAACCCUCCCAAACUCUUUUAAUGUGUUAUUUUUAGCGCUCUCUCUCUCUCUCUCUCUCUCUCUCUCUCUAUUUGCACGAAUCCUAAUAAAUGAGUUUCUAAAUUAAAAUCUAUUUAUUUUUUAAUUAUUGUAUAUUUAUAUAAUAUAUUUUUUUAAAUUUAUUCUUAUAUUAGUUGAAAUUAAUUUUUAGCUUUAUAUGUGUCUUUUUAUUUAUAUUGCUUAUUAAUAUAAUUAAUUUAAGUGCAAAUUAUAUUAAGUUAUUGUUUAGUAAAAAGAAUAUUAAAUAUGAUCACAAAGAUAAUUUUGGAAUAGAAUAAUAAUUUACUGUCAGGAUUACUGAAUUUUAUAAAUUAAAUUAAAUAUAGUAAUUCAAUAUAAACUAUAAUGCAAUAUCAGUAGUAAUCUGAUUCAGAAUUUUUGAUUAUUUCAAAAUAAAGGAUAUCGCGCCUUAGACAGAGACCUCCAAAGUAUAGUUCAUUCCUGUAUGUCAUCUUUUGUUAUGAUGAAUAGAGUUGUAUAAAUGUGAUGUAUUUUGGGAUAAUCAUGUGAUAGAUGAUGUAUAGAGAAGAAAACAAGAGAAUGUAAUUAUUGUAUGCAUGUAUGUGAUCAAAGGUGUUCACAAUACUUGUAUGGAUGCAAUAGAUUAGAACUUUCACUUUUGAUGUUGCUUGCCCUCGUGCAAGCCAUAUAUAUCAUUAUUUUCGCUGUGUAAAAUAUAUACAUGUUGUAAUUGUUGAGCCUUGGGCGGACAGGGAAGAUGCUGUCCGUUCAGCGUCUGUCGGCGUGCCCGAACCGACCUAAUAAGCGGGCUCGGGGCAUGACAAUAAUUAAACGGAUGAAAAUGAUAAAAGAGAUAAUCUAACGGCAGAAAACUUGAUAGCACCAAAUGUUUCGUGCUAUCGAUAGUGUCACGCCCCCGACCGCACUCCCCGAAGAUGGUACCGAUUUGGUCCGGUUCGAGGGCGGCGGGCGUGAGGCCGAACGGACAGAGUCGUCCCUGUCCCCCCUAGGCUAACCAAUAAGAUUGUACACAACAAGUUCUCAGGAAAACAACUUGACUACGUACACAAUCAUUCAACGAAAACAAGAGGAGAAACAGUGCUAACACAAACGAGAGCAAGCGAUACUAGUAAGAACAUACAAGUAUACAAAAGAGAUAUGAGCUUAAGUAGUGGAAACAUAAUUGAAACAUUUAAUCUCUUUGAUGUCAUUAAAGCUUUAACCAUUUGAUACAACUUGCAUUCUUUUUCCAAAAUGUAAAUACAUCAUGUGCUCUCCAAAACCUCACCCUAUACAACGUCUACUCUCAAAAUGUAAAAGCAGGGUGAACUAAUGCAAGUGAAAAAGUAAGCUAUCAACCAAAUGCGCUAGGGCGCCAAGCCCUUGCCGCGAUCCUCCCGCUCGGUGGGGAUACUCGAACUAGCACCUGCAACGUGGGGUGUGAGAACUACGAAUAGUUCCCAGUGGAUUCGGCCGCCGACUCCGCCGAUCUACCCACUAGGUCUUAAGCAGGCAUAGAGGGAUAUAUAUAUAUACAACAUAUAAAGCUAUGCUGAAACGAAAGCAGGUAAGUAGAGCAGGAAUAUUUAGCUAUGCCUCAAUCUGAUAUCAUGGAUGCAUGAACAAUAAGUAAAGCUGCGUAAGUAAGCUACUAUGAACAUCAAGUAAGCUAUGCAAUCAAGCUAUCAUGAACAACAAUAAUGAGUAUGACUCAAUAGGUUUCCAAAUCUCCUGGUGAACUCUGGUUCACAAACAUGUCUCACGUGUAAGCCUCAUAGGGAAAAGUCUCACUGAACUAUUCCCCGAGACCGCCUGCGGACAGCACACAGACCGUCUAGACAGCACACUGACUAUCGUUCUAGUGACCAACCUCCGGAGUGCACAGCUUGUGGGGAGCGACCCCUCCAAGCGCAGACAGGCUAUGUGAGCACGAUCAACUCACGAACAACAGCAACCUACCCACUAAGGGUAAUCUCAUCAUGGAAUCAAGGUGUUCUUGUACCCAAUCUCAUAGUGUCUCAACUACACUAAGGUUAUCAACAAUCAUAUGCCACUCAUCAUAGUUUUCUAUAACUAGAUGUCACUCGUCAUAGUUUUCUAAACUAGAUGCCACUCGUCAUUUAGACUCAUCAUCAACACUAGUUACAUUAUACUAGUUCUUUAAUCACAUAAACAUUAAUCAUCACAUAUAGGCUCUAGGUUUUCAUCAUACAUUUCAUGCAUACUAAAUCAUGGAUCAACCAACCAAGGGAUAUAGCUACUAGUAUGCAAAUAUAAGCAAUAGCAACAAUCUUCUAACCCUAUAUGUAUAUGCACAAGAUGCAACUAGAUCAACAUUAACUCAGACAUAGAAGGUAGCCCCGCUGCUUCGGAAUGGUCACCACCCUCCUUGUGGUAGUGCCGGAAAGCUAAGAAACUUGGCGUCGCGGUCCACGUGCGCUGCUUCAACACCUUGGGUCAAAACGAACCCUAGAGCACCCAAAUCGGCGAUAUUUCCGCGCUCGCUCGACGUAUUGACGAACCGUCUUCGCCUACGCGUUCGGGAACAUAGCAAUUAGGUUUCCGACCCCUCAAUAUAGAUCAAAACCCUAUAUUCCCAAAAAUUCCAAAAUCAAGCCCUAGAUUUAGCAACCAUGGGAACCCAUGGUUUCUAGCUUCAAUGUGAGCUAGAUCCUUGUUCUCUAAGCUCAUUAGGUUCCAUUUGAACCAAUAAAACCAACAAAAAGCUCCCAAAACCCUAGAUCCACAAGUUGGGGUUGAGGCUUACCUCUAGGGUUUACUCCAAAGCAAGCCCUAGCUUGAGAAGAGGAGGGAGAGAAGCUGCUUCUUCUUCUCCUUGAUCUUCUCCUUCCUUUCCUUCUUCUUCUCUUUCUUUCUCUCCUUCUUUCUUCUUCUCCUUCUUCUUUCUGUUAGAGAGAGAGAGAGCUAAGUGAGAGGGAGAGACAGAGGCUAAGAGUGAGAGGGAGUCGCUGAGAGAGAGAGGCUUAAGUCCUCUAUUGUAACAAAAUCCCCAAAAGCCCCUCUAUUUUCUAUUUUUUUAAUCAGCCCAGCUAUUUCGGGUCCCUUGUACCGGUACACGGGUUCUUGUACUGGUACAAGGCCUGGGUGACAGCGAAACCGAGCGCAACCCGAGAGCUCGGUUUCUCGAUUUCGAUGGGUUUGUACCGGUACAAGGGGUCUUGUACCGGUACAGCAUCUGAAGCCCUCUAACCGGAGAGGCAGCGAUGGUUGUACCGGUACAACCAUCGCCCUUGUACCGGUACAACAGCUCCAUAAUGCUGUUUUCACUUCAUUUCGGCUUUACUUCGCGCCGAUCGAUGCCAAAACCCUUCCAACACCUUUGGAGCUCACUUUUGCUCUUCCAAACUUGUUAGAAUGCGAAAUGGAACUUGUCCAAACCAUUCAAUUGCCCACUUUGGUCCAUUUGGCCAAAGUUAGCCGAAUUCCAUCGAGUUUCAAUAUCUCACAUUCUCCGCCCCUUAAAAGGAGUUUCGUCCUCGAAACAACUCAACUCUUAUCUCGAACUCAACUCUUACCUCAAUCCUCGAACAAGUGAGGAUGAUUCGCUCUUAUCAGGUCCUCGAGUUCCCAAGUGGCUUCGCGAUCGUCGUGAUUGCUCCACCGAACCCUAACAUAGGAAAUCUCUCGAUUCCUUAGCUUACGCACUUCUCAAGCCAAAAUCUCCACCGAAAAUUCUUCAUAGCUCAUAUCAUCUUGAAGCUCCGGCGGCUCGUACACUAGAACGUGCUCGGGAUCAUGCACAUACUUGCGAAGAUUGGAGACGUGGAAGACAUUGUGCACACCCGCAAGCUUCGGGGGUAAUGCAAGUCGGUACGCCACCGUCCCAAUUCGCUCCAAGAUCUCGUAGGGGCCAAUAUAACGGGGACUCAGCUUUCCUCGCACCCCAAACCUCUUCACGCCUCGCAUCGGCGAAACCUUCAAGAACACGCGGUCACCCACCGCGAACUCUAAAUCUCUACGGCGUUUAUCCGAAUAACUCUUUUGCCGUGACUGCGCCGUGAGCAAUCUUUUGCGAGCAAGGUGGACUUUCUCUUCCGCCUCUCGCAAAAUAUCCAGACCGAACUCAACUCGUUCGCCUACAUCACUCCAAUGAAUGGGAGAUCAGCACUUCCGCCGGUAUAGAGCCUCGAACGGUGCCAUGCCCACUAGCAUGAUAACUGUUGUUGUAGGCGAACUCGGCCAUCGGUAUGUGCUUACACCAACCACCCUUGUAAUCAAUAACACACGCUCGCAACAUAUCCUCCAGAGUUUGAAUAGUCCUCUCUGUCUGCCCAUCUGUCUGGGGAUGGAAUGCAGUACUAAACUUGAGACGCGUCCCAAGGGCAUCCUGCAGGCUCCUCCAAAAAUGUGAGGUGAAGUCACCCCGUGAAGGGCAUCCUGCAGGCUCCUCCAAUCGACUUCGGCACCCCGUGAAGUCUCACUAUCUCAUCAAGAUAUACCUGAGCCAAUUUCUCGUCUACCCAAGUGUUAUGGAUCGGUAGAAAGUGUGCUGAUUUUGUCAAACGAUCCACAAUCACCCAAAUAGCAUCGUGGCCACCUGUCGAUCGAGGCAAGCCAACGACAAAAUCCAUCUUCCCCAUUUGCAACCACAGGGGCGUCUGAUUAGUAACCCACAAGGCUAGAUUUUCAACAGACUUCCGGCUAAGCGCAUCGGCAACUACGUUCGCCUUCCCGGGGUGGUAGAGAAUAUCAACAUCAUAAUCUUUAAGCAACUCCAACCACCGCCGCUGUCGCAUAUUCAGCUCCUUCUGGGUAAAUAGAUACUUCAAGCUUUUAUGGUCGGUGUAGAUCUCGCAAUGAGCACCAUAUAGAUAAUGUCUCCAUAGCUUCAAGGCAAAGAUCACCGCCGCCAACUCUAAAUGGUGAAUGGGGUAGUCCUUUUCAUAGCUCUUUAGCUGACGGGAUGCAUAAGCAAUAACUUUCCCGCCCUGCAUCAGCACACACCCCAAGCCCAGAUAAGAAGCAUCGCUGUAGACGACAUAGUCCUGUCCCUGCACCGGUAGGGCGAGUACCGGAGUCGAAGUUAACCUUUACUUCAACUCUUUAAAACUCCGGUCGCACUCGUCACCCCAAAUGAACUUGGUGCCCUUUUGUGUCAGACGGGUAAGUGGAGUCACAAUCUUUGAGAACCCCUCCACGAACCGUCGAUAAUAACCUGCUAGGCCCACAAAACUACGGACCUCAGCUACACUCGUCGGGCGCGGCCAAUUCUCAAUAGCCUCCACUUUCCUCCGGUCAACUGAAACACCACCCUCGAAAAUAACGUGCCCGAGAAAUGCAACCUCCCUGAGCCAGAAGUCGCAUUUCUUCAGCUUUGCGUACAACUUCUUCUCCCGAAGGAUUUGAAGUACUGCACGCAAAUGCUCCGCGUGCUCCUCGUCGCUACGCGAAUAUACCAAAAUGUCGUCUAUGAAGACCACGACAAAUCGGUCCAAGCACUCCUGGAACACCCGGUUCAUCAAGCUCAUGAACGCUGCCGGGGCAUUUGUAAGCCCAAACGGCAUCACCGUGAACUCGUAGUGUCCAUAACGCGUGCGAAACGCCGUCUUCUGAACAUCUUCCGGCUUAAUCUUUAACUGGUGAUAGCCGGACUGAAGGUCAAUCUUCGAAUACACUCGCGACCCCUGCAACUGAUCAAACAAGUCAUCGAUACGGGGUAGCGGGUACUUGUUCUUCACCGUGACCUUGUUCAACUCGCGGUAAUCCACGCAGAGUCGAAAAGAUCCAUCUUUCUUUCGCAUAAAUAAUACCGGGGCACCCCACGGCGAAACGCUCGGCCUAAUGAAUUUCUUAUCUAGAAGAUCCUGUAAUUGAUCUCUCAACUCCCUUAGCUCGGCCGGCGCCAUACGAUACGGGGCCUUAGAUAUCGGUGCUGUGCCGGGAACCAAGUCGAUCAUGAACUCGAUCUCUCGGUCCGGCGGCAUACCCGGUAACUCUGCGGGAAACAUGUCAGGGAACUCCCGCACAACCGCCAACUCCUCGAGGGUCGGAACUACUCGAUCAAUCUCCACAACGGUCGCCAAAUAGGCUGUGCAACCGCUGUUCACCAACUUCCUCGCUCUAGUUGCAGACACCGUCGCGGCGAAGCACGAGCUCUUGCAAGCUCGGUAGGUGAACUCUUCUUGACCCGGUUCCCGAAAUGUGAUAACUCGAGUUGGGCAGUCGAUCGACACAUAAUACUUCGAGUGCCAAUCCAUGCCCAAUAUGACGUCGAACUCAUUCAGCCUUUUGAGCACAAACAAGUCGACCGGCAUAACCCAGUCAUUCACCUGCACUGGACAUGCCAAACAUCGCUUCCUAACCAUAAAUGAUCUCCCGGGGCCCUCAACAUGUCAAACGUGCUCCCCCGGACGAUACUCAAUAUCAUGUGUUUGUGCGAACGAUCGACUAAUGAAUGAGUGUGAUGCACCUGUAUCAAAUAGAGCUCUCGCUCGAACACCCUUAACCAAAAUUAUACCUGCCACAACAUUAUGCUUACCGGCCUCUGAAGGCUUCUCAACGUGCACUGGAGCGGCAUACAUCCUCCCGCUCGGCGCAGAUCGUGCAGGCUCUGGUUGGCGUGGCGCCGCUGCUCGCCCAGUAGAUGCUGCAGGAGGGGGCAAGGCAUAGCGAGCUGGAACCGCCGGGGCCAAUGCAGUCAACAUAGCAGGCGAAGCUCCUCCUUGAGGACAGUUGCGGAUGACAUGUCCCGCUUGCCCGCACUUGAAGCACCUCCCACGGCGAUGCUCACACACACCCGGCCGGUGGUCUCCGCCGCAAAAGACGCAUCGCUCUGCUCCACGACCCUUGGGCUGAGAGCGUGGAUACUUCGGGGGCCUCCUGGANAGAAGACGCAUCGCUGAGCACCACGACCCUUGGGCUGAGAGCGUGGAUACUUCGGGGGCCGCUUGGAGCUAGACUGACCGCCCGAACCACCACCCUGUCUCUUCUUGCCUUUAUCCUUGUCGAGCGCCUCACGGUCCUCACGCUCGCAAGCGUUCCCGUGCUCGACCCAUAGCGCGCGGUCUAAAGCCUCCGCCAAAGAGUGGAACUUGAAGGCAUGCACCGUUUUGAAUACUCCGGGCCGAAGUCCUCGAACAAAACAAUCCGCCUGGUCCUGCUCUGUCACCGCCACGUCCGAAACGCAGCUCAGGAGAUGGGUGAACUCCCGCUCGUACUCCCGAACCGUGCGGUUACCUUGCUUGAGCUGGCGGAAGUCUUCCCGCAUCUUUCUCUUGUCACUGUUGGGGAAGUACUCGGCGAACAUUAGCCUGCGGAACUCCGCCGAAUCGAUCGGGGGAAGCUCCGGGAGUCGGUCUUGCUUGACCCUCUGCCACCAAUUCUUGGCCCGCUUCUCGAAGCAAUGAGCAGUCAAGUUCACCUUGUCCUUCUCCAAGGUGAAGAUGUCCUAAAAUAGAGUCUCCAUAGCCGUCAGCCAAGACUCCACCGUCGCUGGAUCCACCACCUCUCCGUCGAAAGUAGGUGGGUGAAACUUAGUGAACCUCGUGAGCGCUACAUAGUCGCGCUCACGCUCCGCCUCCUCAACCGCCACCGCGGGGGUAGGAGAACUUGAACUCGCCAGAGGAAUAUCCACCGGUGGGGGUUGGGCCGCCACCGGAACCGAUACGCCACCCACACCCUCGGCCGCAUCGGGGGCGCGAACCGAAGGCGCAGGCGGACCGCGACCUAGACCCGCUGCCGCAGCCGCCGCCGCCGCAACCUGCCGCUCCAGUAGCUCCUGGAGCCUAUCGAACCGUCCCGUGAGCGCCGUAACCUGCGCUCGCAACUCCUGCACCUCAGUAGGCCCAGCUGGCCCUGGCGCCACUGGAGGCACGACUGGCUCAGGCACCUCUCGAGGUGGUGCCGGAGCAGUCCUACGCACGUAGCAUCUCUUUGGUGCCAUAGCUCCUGAAACGCAAACAACCGGUUAAUUACUUAACCCAACAUGUCGUCGUAACUAUGAAGCGUAAGCGAUUAAACAACAUUAAUCAGGCGGCAGCUUGUAAGUGUACUCGUUCUUGUCUCUCGGCAUUAUGUUGUCAGCCGCCAACACAAUCACCUUAAGCCAAAAGCUAAUACCACUUAGAUCAUCUCUAGCCAUAACCAGAGUCUCAAUGGCAACUCCAAACCCAAUCGAUUAGCUUCCGCCGCGUCAUAGGUUCACGUCGCACUCAGGCACCUAUAACCUUAGGGUUAACCAACCUAGAGUCUCCUAGGUCAUCCUAGACUCUCUCUUUUGCUUGCUCUUAACUCGCUCUGAUACCACAACUGUCACGCCCCCGACCGCACUCCCCGAAGACGGUAUCGAUUUGGUCCGGUUCGAGGGCGGCGGGCGUGAGGCCGAACGGACAGAGUCUCCCUUGUCCGCCCUAGGCUAAUCAACAAGAUUGUGCACAACAAGUGUCACCCCCCGCGGCCAACCGCCGAUUUGGACCGGGUCGCGGCGCCACCGACAGACCGCCGAACGGACCGGGAAUUCCCCUGUACGCGAACAGAGUCUCCCCAGUACGUCCAAGGCGUCGCAAUCCAAACAAUCAACGAAUGUUCCAACAAGGAACGGAUAUCAAUCCAGAUUGCAUAAGGAAGUAUCAAAUACAUAAACUACUUGCUAUUACAAGCAUUCAUUUCACAAUCACGUUAUACAUCACAGUUUCAGUUUACAUUCUUUUUUUACUUCCAAAUUACAAUCCAAUUAUUACAUCAUUUAAUUUACAAGUUUGAUACAUUUUCUUUUCUUGCCUUCUAGACCCCUAAGCUAGACUGUCUCAGGGUACGGCUACCUCGGUCUCUGUGGUGGGGCGCUAUCUACUGAGCUACGCCCUCGCCUCGCGCCGCCGCGCCGCACACGAACGACCUGAAAACCCGAAAACAACGUGGGGUGAGAACCAACUCCAUGGUUCCCAGUGGGUACGGCCACCCAAGGGAAAAACUCGACCGAUAGGUCCGAGGAGGCACUGCAACAUGUUAGUUCAACAAUAUACAACAGAUAUAUAUAUAUUCAAUUGAAAUACAUGCCAUGCCUCACAAUAUGCGAUAGGAAAAUCAUGCAACAACUAGUAGAUCAUUUGAAUUCUACUUUUACUUGGCUACUUUAGCUCAUAACUUUACUCUAAGGUUUCUAUUACCUUAGGAUCACAACACUAACCACUAGCUUCUAAGGUUUCUAUUNUCUCGAAGCAAUGAGCGGCCAAGUUCACCUUGUCCUUCUCCAAGGUGAAGAUGUCCUCAAAUAGAGUCUCCAUAGCCAUCAGCCAAGACUCCACCGUCGCUGGAUCCACCACCUCUCCGUCGAAAGUAGGUGGGUGAAACUUAGUGAACCUCUUGAGCGCCACAUAGCAGCGCUCACACUCCGCCUCCUCAACCGCCACCGCGGGGGUAGGAGAACUCCAACUCGUCGGAGGAAUAUCCACCGGUGGGGGUUGCGCCGCCACCGGAACUGAUACGCCACCCACACCCUCGGCCGCAUCGGGGGCUCGAACCGAAGGCGCAGGCGGACCGCGGCCUAGACCCGCUGCCGCCGCCGCAACCUGCCGCUCCAGUAGCUCCUGGAGCCUAUCGAACCGUCGCGUGAGCGCCAUAACCUGCGUUCGCAACUGCUACACCUCAGUAGGCCCAGCUGGCACUGGCGCCACUGGAGGCACAGCUGGCUCAGGCACCUCUCGAGGUGGUGUCAGAGCGGUCCUACGCACGUAGCAUCUCAUUGGUGCCAUAGCUCCUGAAACGCAAACAACCGGUUAAUUACUUAACCCAACAUGUCAUCGUAACUACGAAGCGUAAGCGAUUAAACAACAUUAAUCAGGCGGCAGCUUGUAAGUGUACUCGUUCUUGUCUCUCGACAUCAUGUUGUCGGCCGCCAACACAAUCACCUUAAGCCAAAAGCUAAUACCACUUAGAUCAUCUCUAGCCAUAACCAGAGUCUUAAUGCCAACUCCAAACCCAAUCGAUUAGCUUCCGCCGCGUCAUAGGUUCACGUCGCACUCACGCACCUAUAACCUUAGGGUUAACCAACCUAGAGUCUCCUAGGUCAUCCUAGACUCUCUCUUUUGCUUGCUCUUUACUCGCUCUGAUACCACAACUGUCACGCCCCCGACCGCACUCCCCGAAGACGGUACCUGUAAGGUAUCGGACUUCUAAAAUCAUGAAGUUACGGUGUACAUUUGGUUGGAGAGCUGUUUGAAUGGUCCCGGUGAAGUUCUGGGGUAAUCGGGCGUUUCGGUGCGCAUAGGCGCGAAAACGGAGCCGAAAGGCCAUGUUAGGCCGGGAGCUAAAUCCAGCAUUAGCGAGGAUGAAAAGAUGAUGGAAACAUGCUCGAAAACAUGUUUGAAGAGUCUCGGUUCGAUUUGAAACGAAUCGGAGGUCAAACGAGCGAAAACGGGCGAAAACGGAGAAGAAACGGUGAAAAAGGCUGAAAUUUGGCUAAGUCCUUGAGGCUGAGUACUGGACCUUCGGGGACCGGUCUCUCACCGCAAGGACCGGUCUCUCAGGGACCGGUCUCUCACAGCAAGGACCGGUCCCCGAGCGCGAAAAUGGCCCAGUUCGGGCUGUUGCAAAAGAGGCUUUGUUGAGGGAUUUUUAUGCAAUUUUGCCCUCAUGUGAGUGUAUAGAAGAGAGAGAUGGGCCUUUUCUCUCUUCCCUCUCACCCUAAAACUCUCCCUCUCUCUCUCUAGAAAGAAAAGAAAGAGAAGAAGAAAGAGGAGAAGAAGAAGAAGAGGAGGAGAAGAAGAAGAAAAGGGAGGAGAAGAAGAGAAGCAUCAUCACCACCAUCAUCUUCUUCUUCCUCUCAACCUUGGAGCUAACACCUAAAGGUAAGCUUGAUGCUUAUUAAUGGUAGAUCUCUAGGGCUUGAGCCUUUUUCUCUAGAAUUGGAUUUAGAUGAAUCCUAGCAAGCUUAAUAGAUGUUUAUUGCAUGAAUUGGAGAUCAAUUUGGUGGAUUUUGCCGUAGUACAAAUCUAGGGCUCCAAAAUGGCGAUUUGAUUUACAGGAGGGUUUGAUCUCUUUUAACACUCUGUAAACCUAAUUGGUAGGUCUACGAACGCAACGGUGCGUUCGGUUCGGCGAUCCGACGAGUGUACGCGGAGAUAUUGAGGAUCGAAGCCGUUAAGGUACAGAUUGCCGCAGCUCGUGGCGAAAGCUUCCAAAAAUCAUGGAAAUGGAAUCGUAGCAUCGUGGUGUCGGGGAAUAAACUCCAGAACAGACGGAUCGCGGAUAGGAGGUCAUUUGGCAGUCNNNNNNNNNNNNNNNNNNNNNNNNNNNNNNNNNNNNNNNNNNNNNNNNNNNNNNNNNNNNNNNNNNNNNNNNNNNNNNNNAUACCGUCUGGCGGCGAACGGGUCGCACCACACCCAACAACGGUCAUGUCAGACUCGGUCCCCUGGAGGCACCCGCAUCGUACUUACCCAGCAUGGAUUCAGUCUACUCUGGUGGUCCGAUCCUCAAAUGGCUUAACCAUCCUGGCGGCGAAAUCGUCGCACAAACGCCACGGCAAUGGUUCAAGCCCCAGGCGGUGAUCUCCACAUGGUCACGCCCAAUCUACCCACAGUACCAAGCUCGGCGGCGAAGUCGUCGCACACACGCCCUAGCUUGUACUAGGGACAUCAAAAGUCCUGGGAUCCCGGAAUCCACUUUCCACAGGUCGAGGGUUCAUAACCAACCCUAUAUCAUCGACCUAACUCAUCCUAGUGGCUAUACCACUAUACUCAUCAACCUAGGUUCCAAGGCUCUAGGUUCUAUGUCCACGUCACUUGACCUAGGUACCCUUGCUAGGUUCUUGUCGUCAUCUUAGCCUAGAUGUCCACCUCUAGGUUUACUAGUUCGACCUAGGUUCGCUACCACUAGGUUCGAUGCCAUACACCUAGAUUGUUCGACUCUAGGUUUACUAUUCAAUCUAUGUUCUUUAACACUAGGUUAGAUGCCACUCGAUCUACCUGACAACCUAGUUGUCCAAUCAACUCUACUCACACUAGAGUUAUUAACUCGUGCUUUCUACGUGGCAUUUACUCUAUGCAUCUUUGAUCAUUGGCAUUUCCAUCUAUGCACUACUAUUAGUAUGCAUUCUUUACAUUAGCUAGCACUAUUUACGCGUCAUGCUAUCAUGCAUGCUACUUACUAUGCGUUCAUUACUUAGCCUUUACUUCAUGCAUUUCUUGUCCUUGUCUACAUGCACAUGCGUCAACAUAGAGAUACAUUGCUAAGACAUAAAGGGCGACUUAGUCGCUUCGGUAAGCACAACCCACCUUAGAUAGCUUUUCCGAUUGCUCGUCGACACUUGCAAUCGGCCUCCCGCGGCACUCGGCACCCGUUUGGACCCGAUCUCGCAGUUGCUCCCCAAGAGCGCGCCGCUUCGCCGUUUCAAGUGCUAGUGAUCUUCGCCUCGCCACUACGGUGCUCGGGACCCGAUUUCACGAUUUAUGGACGUUGCCUCGGCCUCCCAGGCGGAAAUGAAGCUCCGAGCGCCCGCUUCUUCAAUAUCUUCGUAACAGCUUGUCGGAUUGCCGAACCGACUUCGCCAACGUGUUUCGUUACCUACCAAUUAGGUUUACGAAGGGUCAAAUGAGAUCAAACUCAUCUAUUUACAAAAACCCCCAUGGAUGCCCUAGAAUGCCCUCAACAUCAAAACCACCAAAUCGAUCUAUGAGAUGGGGUGAAAUCAUCUUAGAGGCAUGCUAGGGUCCCUCUAAAUCCAUUUCUAGAGAUCAAAACCCUAUCUUUAAGGAUUUACCAUGAGAGGGCUUGGAAGCUUACCUCUCAAAGAGCUCCAUGGAGAGAAGAAGAUGAAGAUGAAGAUGAGGAAGAGGAUCUCCUCCUUGGUCCUCUCCUUCCUUUCCUUUCCUUUCUCUUUUUCUUCUUCUCUUCUCCUUUCUCUUUUCUUUCCUUCCUUUCUUUCCCCUUUCGCACAAUCAGAGGGAGAGAGAGAGAGAGAGAGAGGCUGAGGGAGUACGAGAGAGAGAGGAAAAGGUCUCUCUAAUACCCUAUCUCAUUUUGUAACAAUAUCCCCAAAGGCCCCUCAAUUUUUCUUCUCUUACACAGCCCCUUACUGGGCGUUCUGCGCGCGGAGGGACCGGUCCCCGGGGCCUUCCCCCGCGGACACGCGUUCGGGAACCGGUCCCUCCCUGAGAGACCGGUCCUCGGGAGACCGGUUCCUCUCAGAGAGACCGGUUCCCGAGAGCUAAACUCUUGGGACUUAGCCGAUUUUCGGCUCUUCUCACUGGUGUCGCAGGCUGGGACCGGUCCCUCCUCUGCCAGGGACCGGUUGCAUCAGCAACCCCACAGCCUUCAGCUGAUGGGACCGGUCUCUCACCUCUAGAGACCGGUCCCCGAGAGCAACUUCAGCCCAAAAAUGCUGAUUGCAUUAUUUGCUCUCGCGGACUCCAUUCCAAUGUACUUCUCGGCUUUCGUGCAUCCUUAGCUUUUUCAAAGCUUAUCCAUUCGACCCUUAGUCGAUUCUAGACGAGGUGCAACCCUCGGAUUUCGAGAGUUCACAUUGUUACAAAAAGUUCCCAAGAAAACAACUUGACUACGUACACAAUCAUUCAACGAAAACGAGAGCACAAACAGUGCUAACACAAACGAGAGCAAGCGAUACUAGUAAGAACAUACAAGUAUACAAAAGAGAGAUGAGCUUAAGUAGUGGAGACAUAAUUGAAACAUUUAAUCUCUUUGAUGUCAUUAAAGCUUUAACCAUUUGAUACAACUUGCAUUCUUUUUCCAAAAUGUAAAUACAUCAUGUGCUAUCGAUAGUGUCACGCCCCCGACCGCACUCCCCGAAGAUGGUACCGAUUUGGUCCGGUUCGAGGGCGGCGGGCGUGAGGCCGAACGGACAGAGUCUUCCCUGUCCCCCCUAGGCUAACCAAUAAGAUUGUGCACAACAAGUUCCCAGGAAAACAACUUGACUACGUACACAAUCAUUCAACGAAAACAAGAGGAGAAACAGUGCUAACACAAACGAGAGCAAGCGAUACUAGUAAGAACAUACAAGUAUACAAAAGAGAUAUGAGCUUAAGUAGUGGAGACAUAAUUGAAACAUUUAAUCUCUUUGAUGUCAUUAAAGCUUUAACCAUUUGAUACAACUUGCAUUCUUUUUUCAAAAUGUAAAUACAUCAUGUGCUCUCCAAAACCUCACCCUAUACAACGUCUACUCUCAAAAUGUAAAAGCAGGGUGAACUAAUGCAAGUGAAAAAGUAAGCUAUCAACCAAAUGCGCUAGGGCGCCAAGCCCUUGCCGCGAUCCUCCCGCUCGGUGGGGAUACUCGAACUAGCACCUGCAACGUGGGGUGUGAGAACUACGAAUAGUUCCCAGUGGAUUCGGCCGCCGACUCCGCCGAUCUACCCACUAGGUCUUAAGCAGGCAUAGAGGGAUAUAUAUAUAUACAACAUAUAAAGCUAUGCUGAAACGAAAGCAGGUAAGUAGAGCAGGAAUAUUUAGCUAUGCCUCAAUCUGAUAUCAUGGAUGCAUGAACAAUAAGUAAAGCUGCGUAAGUAAGCUACUAUGAACAUCAAGUAAGCUAUGCAAUCAAGCUAUCAUGAACAACAAUAAUGAGUAUGACUCAAUAGGUUUCCAAAUCUCCUGGUGAACUCUGGUUCACAAACAUGUCUCACGUGUAAGCCUCAUAGGGAAAAGUCUCACUGAACUAUUCCCCGAGAUCGCCUGCGGACAGCACACAGAUCGUCCAGACAGCACACUGAUUGUCCCUCUAGUGACGAACCUCCGGAGUGCACAGCUUGUGGGGAGCGACCCCUCCAAGCGCAGGCAGGCUAUGUGAGCACGAUCAACUCACGAACAACAGCAACCUACCCACUAAGGGUAAUCUCAUCAUGGAAUCAAGGUGUUCUUGUACCCAAUCUCAUAGUGUCUCAACUACACUAAGGUUAUCAACAAUCAUAUGCCACUCAUCAUAGUUUUCUAUAACUAGAUGUCACUCGUCAUAGUUUUCUAAACUAGAUGCCCUCGUCAUUUAGACUCAUCAUCAACACUAGUUACAUUAUACUACUUCUUUAAUCACAUAAACAUUAAUCAUCACAUAUAGGGUCUAGGUUUUCAUCAUACAUUUCAUGCAUACUAAAUCAUGGAUCAACCAACCAAGGGAUAUAGCUACUAGUAUGCAAAUACAAGCAAUAGCAACAAUCUUCUAAUCCUAUAUGUAUAUGCACAAGAUGCAACUAGAUCAACAUUAACUUAGACAUAGAAGGUAGCCCCGCUGCUUCGGGAUGGUCACCACCCACCUUGUGGUAGUGCCGGAAAGCUAAGAAACUUGGCGUCGCGGUCCACGUGCGCCACUUCAACACCUUGGGUCAAAACGAACCCUAGAGCACCCAAAUCGGCGAUAUCUCCGCGCUCGCUCGACAGAUCGACAAACCGUCUUCGCCUACGCGUUCGGGAACAUAGCAAUUAGGUUUCCGACCCCUCAAUAUAGAUCAAAACCCUAUAAUCCCAAAAAUUCCAAAAUCAAGCCCUAGGUUUAGCAACCAUGGGAACCCAUGGUUUCUAGCUUCAAUGUGAGCUAGAUUCAACAUCUCUAAGCUCAUUAGGUUCCAUUUGAACCAAUAAAACCAACAAAAAGCUCCCAAAAUCCUAGAUUCACAAGUUGGGGUUGAGGCUUACCUCUAGAGUUUGCUCCAAAGCAAGCCCUAGCUUGAGGAAGAGGAGGGAGAGAAGCUUCUUCUUCUCCUUGAUCUUCUCCUUCCUUUCCUUCUUCUUCUCUUUCUUUCUCUCCUUCUUUCUUCUUCUCCUUCUUUUUUCGGUUAGAGAGAGAGAGAGCUAAGUGAGAGGGAGAGAGAGAGGCUAAGAGUGAGAGGGAGUGGCUGAGAGAGAGAGGCUUAAGUCCUCUAUUGUAACAAAAUCUCCAAAAGCCCCUCUAUUUUCUAUUUUUCCAAUCAGCCCCGCUGUUUCGGGUCCCUUGUACCGGUACACGGGUUCUUGUAUCGGUACAAGGCCUGGGUGACAGCGAAACCGAGCGCAACCCGAGAGCUCGGUUUCUCGAUUUCGAAGGGUUUGUACCGGUACAAGGGGUCUUGUACUGGUACAGCACCUGAAGCCCUCUAACCGGAGAGGCAGCGAUGGUUGUACCGGUACAACCAUCACCCUUGUACCGGUACAACAGCUCCAGAAUGCUGUUUUCACUUCGUUUCGGCUCUACUUCGUGCCGAUCGAUGUCAAAACCAUUCCAACACCUUUGGAACUCAUUUUUACUCUUCCAAACUUGUUGGAAUGCGAAAUGGAACUUGUCCAAACUGUUCAAUUGCCCACUUUGGUCCAUUUGGCCAAAGUUAGCCGAAUUCCAUCGAGUUUCAAUAUCUCACAGAUAGUAUCCCAACCGGGCUAUAUAUAUAUAUAUACUUAGGCUGGAAUACUAUCAAUAGCAGCAAGCAUUUUGUGCUAUUAGGUUUUCAGCCCUUGGAUUUAAAAAUGUACGGUUAGGAUGAUGUGGGCCCCUUAGGGUUGAGUGAGUUGUUAGUUUAAUAGUAUAAUCCAACGGAUGAAAAUAGUCAAAGAGUUAAAUCUAAUGGCGGAAAACUUGAUAGUGGUGAGCCGUUUACAAGUUUAACGAUGUAGAAAUAUCUGAUCAUGUGAAAUUUUGAUUAAAAAUUCUUUAUACUAUAUAAAAUAAGAUCAAUAUCUUUGAUCUAAAAUUUUGUAAUAUUUUUAUUUUCAGCCAUUGAUUUUGAACCCUUUCGAUCAUUAGGCAAAUGAUAUAAAAAAAAAUCACGAAGUUUAUUUUCUAGGUACUUCAAAUACUCUAGAUUAAGCCUAACGAAACCGAUUGUCGAUUCAAAAAUUCCAAUAUCAAAAACGACUUGGAAACACAGAGGGCUCCAUGCUUCAAAAAGCAUACCAGCCUCACUAUAUAUAUAUAUAUAUAUAUAUAGAACUAGGCUGGAAUACUAUUAAUAGCACUAAUGACUUGGUGCUAUUAAGUUUUCUGCCCUUGAAUUAAAAGAUGUACGGUUAGGAUGAUAUGGGUCCCCUAGGGUUGAGUGGAUGGUUGGUUGAAUAGUAUAAUCGAACGGAUGAAAAUGAUAAAGAGAUAAAUCUAACGACAGAAAAUUUGGUAGCACCAAAUGCUUCGUACUAUCGAUAGUAUCCCAGCCGGACUAUAUAUAUAAUGUUCGUGGUAUCGAUCUGAUAUAUAUAUAUAUAUAUAUAUAUAUAUAAGAGAGAGAGAGAGAGGAAGAGAGAGAGAGGUUGAGGUCUAAAUACUCUCAAAAGCACCAGGGUGGUGCUUUUUGUAGUUUUUUAGCCUUAUGUAUGAUGGAGAGAUGUAGGGUUGGAUGAUGAUGGUAGGUGGUGUAGGUGGAAUAAAAUACGAAAUUUGAUCCAAGCGGCCUAUUAUUAUCAGGGAGAAGAUUACAGGGGUAGAAACUGAAGCACACAAGGGUUUUGGAGCUUCUAAAAGUACCUAUAUCAACUAUAAUAUAUUAUAAUAUAAUAUAUAUAUAAUUUAAGAUAUAUUAUAUAUAUCACUAGUAUAUAUAUAUAUAUUAAUAUGUGUAGAGCUACUAUGCUAAUCGAAGCAUAAAUUAGUUGAUGGCUUCCGAUUUUUUAGCCCUUUGGAUCAAAGAUCUAUGAUUAGAGGAUAAGAAGCAGUCACUUAAGAGUAUGAGUGGUUCCUAGGCGUUAGAGUGCAUCCCCAUUCGUUAUAAAUAUUAAUCUAUUGUUUAGAAAUGAUAUGGGGUUGAUUAGAGCUUAAAAAAAUGUAAGCACCAACCACUUUAUUCCUUCGUGCGAUAGCAUAGUAGCGAUACUAUAUAUAUACAUAUAUUAUAUACUAUGUAUAUGUAUCUGUAAUGUAUAUACUAUGUAUAACGGUACAUAUAUAUGUAUAAUGUACAUGAUACAUAUUAUGUAUAUACAUGUAUAUGUAUAUACAUAUGUAUAUGUAUAUAUCUAUGUAUAUAAUAUUAUAUAUGGGACAGUUUUUCGAAAAUAACUGUGAUUAUCAUAUUUGCAACUAACCUGUGAAAAUUUUAUGUUUGUGAACUAACCUCCUACUAUGAGGCAAACAGCGGACAUAGAGCAUAGCGCAGAUUCAGCAUUUCUAAAUAAGAGUGACUCGUUCACUCGUACUUAAGAGCCUCGUGAAGCGGUAAACUGGUUAACCGUAUUCUCAAGGCCAUUACAUACAGCCUUUCAGCCACUUCCAACGCGGGCCAGCUUCUUCUCAUGAAACUUCCCCCACCGUGGAGCGAGGUGUAGAGAAAGUCCCCCGUUUACGUUCACAAAGGCGGUAAAAUACCAUACCGCCUUUUUUUAUGGCAAUUCCCGCCUUUCAGCAUUCGCGUGGCGAGAAGUGACUAGAGAAGACGGUCACUCGUUACCCUUUCAAAAGGCCGUAAAUACAUACCGCCUUUUAAUUCCCCGCCCGCUUCUCAGCAAUUUCCCAGCGUGGUCGCAAGGUCCUAGAGAAAACGGUCACUCGUAGCAGUCUUACAAGGCAUAAAUAGUUUACCAGUCUAUCUUGUCAUAAGCCAUUUACCCAUAGCCAGCCUAAUUUCGGAGAUCGAGAGAGAGGACCUAAACAAAGAUAAGACAAUGAGUGUUUAACAUUAAUUAGGCGGUAACCUAUUCGCCGAUAUACAGUUAAAUUGCCACCUGCCGCUAAUUGGACCAAGUCGUGUGGCUAAAACACGAUAAGAACGUGAAAGCUUACCGUCUUAUUGUUCUGCAUAUAGGAGGUGAAUGGUUUAUCACCGUCUUAUCUGUUGUAAAAGAAACCCAGUCAGGACUUAAGCUUUUUUCGGGUUUUCAUGAGAGUUUGACACUAAAGGGUAACCAUUCACCGCUUUUAGUGUACAGUGGCAAGGAUAAGCUCAUUCAGCGACUAUUUUCAACAGAUAUAUGAGACAAGUUUUAUUCACAGUAAGAAAUUUCAAAACGAGAAACACACAUACGAUUGGAAUAACAAAAUACAAUCACUGGAUAAAUAUAAACAAUAUUACAAAUAUAAAAUAUGGAAAAAGAACCAGUUGAGAGCAAAACUCAAUUUUGCUAAAGAAAAAAUAAUUCCAACAAUAUGAAGCAAUUUUUUACAGAUAAAAUAUUUUAAACGAGAAAAAAAACGAGUGGAUAAACAAAAUAAACAAUGCAAAGAAUAAAAUAAUCAACAAACAUUAGAAAUAUACCAAUAUGAAGCUAAAUCAUGUAUUAUAAAUUAUACCAAGUUAAUUCCAAAUAAAAAAAUACAAUAGCUCCUCGUCGUCCUCUCCCAUGACGUCCCAGGCAAUCUCGCCAGCAAGUCACGUCACUUUAGCCACCCAUGAUAGCAUAAGCUCGCAUAGGUCACUCUAUAAAUAAAAGAUACCAGCCAUCUUCAAUGAGAUCCGAGAUAAUGCCAUCGGUUGCUCCCGAAUCGCCUGAGUAUCCUCUGGCUAGGUUGUCACCUCAGAUAAUGGCCGGUGUGAAUGCAAAAAACAAAAGGGCCUGUGAUGAUGAAAAUAGCGAGAUAUCUAAAGUGUACCUGCGAGACUGCGGGAAAUGCGUCAUAAGCCACGCGGAUAGGGCGCGCAAAACGGGAAAAAAAACGGGAGCGAUGUUAUCAACUCUGGCAAUCUGCAACAUCACUAGAAUGGAAUGGAUACUCGAUAAAGGCACGAUUCUCGGUAAGAUCCAGUCGAUUUAGGUCAGAGUGUAUCCUAGUGAUACCGAUGUCCGAGGGUUUGACCAAGAUCGACUCACAUCAGCGUGAAGGUAUGGAAUGAAUUACCAGUACUGUGGCGAUCAAUCUGGACAUCUCAUGCUAGUAACUGUCUCUAAUAUCGAAUCGUAAGAAGUCUAUAGAACUAGCCCUCGAUGCAACAUUUGAGCUGUCGUAAGCGUCCACUCCUGCAUUUAGAAAAAAAACCAUUAGAUGACAUUAAAUAUUACUGUAGAUAAUGCAUAUAAAAAUUAACAAUACUCGAUGAUCGUGACCAGUGUCUCUACCGGCUGGCCGCGAGGCGUCGGUAUGUCAAUGUGGAACCUGUACUGCAGCGACAUAGAAUCAAUCAUAUUCUCUAAUCUGCCAAUACCUAUAACAUAUAUAUAGAGGUCCGUAUGUACCGUCAGAGUGGUAUCACGAAUCGAUUGGUCAUAAUACCUUACUGCUGUCCCCAUCUCUGCGAAUCAGUUGCAGCCAUGAUGUUGCGCACGCUGACGUCGAGGUUCUGCGCAUAGUGAACUGACUCUGUCUGUUAUUCAUUAAUACAUGUGGUGAAAAAAUUUUAUAAUUUAAAAAAAUAUUUAACCGAAAUCUUGAGAUGAUAUUACGUUGGUAUAUCUUAAGCCUAGUCAUUAAUACACUUACGGUCGACGCAUCCAUUGGAUUUCCGAAUCCACAUCGAUACAUUAUGUCAGGUAUGUGUAAUACUUCGAUGAUAUUGUUCUCUGAAAGGAUAUAAAUUUUCCUCUAUGUUACACCCAACUGACACCACAUCCAUAAUGUUACCACUGAAGGUAACUCUCCUAUAGAUUCAUCAUCUAUAUAUCGAGCAGACAUAGUAUCAUUUAGCUAAUCACAGUAGGGCAGAAUUGUGUAUUAUAACAACAUUCUUCUCUAUUAAAUUUACUAAGUACAUUCUCCUUCAAAAUUCGCAUAGGAAUAUUGAACGAACGAAUCAAUUGCUUUCGACAGCGAAAUAUCGGAGGACAUUCAUCAUAUCUAACUGUCUAUCCCAAGCCUAACAGACACCGCACUUAGCCAUUUUAACAUAACUACAUCCUAAACUAUCACACAUCUCACCAUGGUCUCAUACAGCGAAAACUAACCUCAGUGAAAUGCACUAACUAAAUGAUAGGAAAAUUUGGCACACAAGACAUAAAAAGAGUGUUACUGACAAAAGUCUAAAACUUGUAAAUAUCUUUUAACAUGGUUGCGGCAGUUUAGACAAGUUUUAAAAGUGAAAAAAGGUGAAAACAGUAAAUAUAAGUUAAAAGCCAUUUUCAUGGAAAAAAAUUAAAUAUUAAAAAAAUAGUGGAUUCAGCGUUUUAUGGUUACUUUAAAACAGUGAGGUAUCUUAUACGAGAGCACUCUUCUUUCAUUUAAUCAAAUUUAUUGUUACUUGUAUAGUUCACAUCUUUGCUCUACUAUCUAAGUAAUGACUCUUUUAGCAAAUGGUUCCAUAAGUGAGAUUAAUUAAUGAAAGUGUAGGUACUACGACUGUAGUACGUUCUUUCAAGAAGCGGAGCAACUUUAUUCUUUAUGAUCUCAUUUCGAUCCGCUUAAUGAUAACAUUUGCUACCAUAAUGGGGCAUUGCUUCUUAUAUAAAAUCUAGAUGAUUGGAUUUGCACCAAUGGAAACCAUAAAUUCCAUAUACAAUAUGGGUAUACCUUUAACUAGGUCUAAACCCUAAACACUAAACCUAGUUUAAACUAGGUUUAAGGGUUUAGGGUUUAGUUUAAACUAGUAUAAACUAGGUUUAAGGGUUUAGGGUUUAGUUUAAACUUGUUUAAACUAGUUUAAACUAGGUUUGGGGUUACUUUAAACUAGGUUUAGGGUUUAAGGUUUAGGGUUUAGUUUACACUAGUUUAAACUAGGUUUAGGGUUUAGUUUAAACUAGUUUAAACUAGGUUUAGGGUUUAGGGUUUAUACUAGUUAAACUAGUUUAGGGAGUUUAGGGUUUAGGGUUUAUACUAGUUAAACUAGUUUAGGGUUUAGGGUUUAUACUAGCUAAACUAGUUUAGGGAUUUUAGAGUUUAGGAUUUAUACUAGUUAAACUAGUUUAAACUAGGUUUAAACCUAGAAACUUGCUAAGAUAGAAUAUUACUUGCAAUGUGGGUUGCUGUGGCACGGGGGAAGGCUCGGUGGGUCGACAGUGACCGGCGGCGGCGACGUCGGCUAGGGCGGCGGCGACUGGCGGCGGCGAUGACGGGGUGCGACUAUUGGUUGGAGCGGGAUGGGCAGAGAGGGAGAGAGAGACAGAGAGAUAAGAGAGAAAGAGAGCGAAGAGUGAGGGAGAGGUGUUGGGGCUUCGGGUGUACCUAGGUAAGACGGUGAAUUGUUCACCGUCUUCAUAAAAAACAGUGGAGACGGUGAACGAUUCACCGUCUUACCUUGGCCCACCUCCUGGGGGUUACCAAUAAAGACGGUGAAUAGUUCACCGUCUUUACUGCAGCACAAAUAAGACGAUGNUGAACGAUUCACCGUCUUACCUUGGCCCACCUCCUGGGGGUUACCAAUAAAGACGGUGAAUAGUUCACCGUCUUUACUGCAGCACAAAUAAGACGAUGAACUAUUCACCGUCUUAUCUGUGUUUUAUGUCUCCAGGACUUGGCCAAAGUUGGGGGGUGUGGGGGGAUAAUGUACCGUCUUAGGUAAGACGGUGAACUGUUUACCGUCUUAUUGAAGGGGGGGUGAAUUCGCUCUAAAGACGGUGAAUAGUUCACCAUCUCAUGAAGGCGGUGAACCAUCCACCGUCUUCGUGAGAAAUGCGCAUAGACGGUGAACGAUUCACCGUCUUUACGAGAAAAAUCCGAGCUGGCGCCGACGUGGCGAAAGGAGGGUUAGUUUUACAAAUAAAAUUUUCAGAGGGUUAUUUGGCCAAAUAUAAAAUUCUAUAGGGUCAGUUUCAAAAAAAGUCC
This 155268-nucleotide long non-coding RNA is filed under the name Ananas comosus (pineapple). RNAcentral describes it as "long non-coding RNA (ACOM_LNC021227)". The record is from RNAcentral. Lineage: Eukaryota; Viridiplantae; Streptophyta; Magnoliopsida; Poales; Bromeliaceae.